CCAACAACAUCGUUAUUCUCAGUAACAACAGUUUACCAUGUUGUUCUAUAUCUGUGUUAGAAAGAUUGAGACUUACUUGAUACCCAAAUAAAUAUGCUCUUGAAUACCAAAACCAAAGCAAUCAGUGUCGCUAAAGUUCCUUCUCAAAAGUUCGUAUUCUUUAACUUUCAGCCCACUGUCCAUGAGUUGCUGAUAUGAUCCUAGGUGAUCGACUCUGAAAAGAAAGGCAAUAGAGGCAGCGAUAUAAUGGCCAGAGUGUAUCGAUGAGGCGAUAUGGUGGUGGUGGUGACACGAUGAUGGCGCGAUGGCUGGUGUUUGUGGUUGUAGUGAUCGGAUCAGGGAUGAUGAUGGUGAGAUGAUCGAUUGAAGGUGUGGUGAUGAUGAGAUGAUAUCGAGUUUAAGAGAUAGAAGAAUCUAUUAUAAAUAGAUUAGUUUUUAAGAGAUUUGAAUUUCAGAGUUUUCUUAUACUCAGAAAUCAAAGAGAGAAGAACACGUUAAAAGUUGGCUAAAAAUUCUUCACUGAAUAACACUUAGGCGAUUUUGUCUCUUAAAUAGACAUAGAGAGAAAUCGCAGCCCUAAGAAACAAACUACAUGAAGUUUGAAAUAAAAACAACAAGAAGUUUGAUUAAAAAUAAAACUGCGAGGCGUCCCUUCUAAAUCCUAAGUGGUGCGCCUAAAAUACUAGUACACAAGUCAUUGUGACUUUGCACAUUAUUACCCAUUAGUAACAACUUCUAAGUAACUCGACGUAGCAAUGAUUUCUGCCUCGUUAAAAACCUUGGAGAAGAACCUCCUUCCUUCCAAAAUCCUUACCAAGGAAAAUAGUACAGAAUCAUCACCUAAGUUACCUAGUCAUUGUUACUGGGUUCUUCAUUCUUCAAGAUAGAGAUGUUGAAAAUGUGAGCUCCAGCCUCCAGUUGAUCGCUGUCCUCUGCUGCAAUGAGAGCUUGAGCCUCCUUAGCCAUCUCUCUAGCUCUGGAACGAGUUAUCCUGCCAGCUACCUCUGGUUCCUCCUCCUCUGAGCUUGUCACGAUCAUAUCAUCCUCUCCCUCUUGAAAAGGAUUUGUCCUCAAAUCUGAAUCUGCAACAUAAGGAAGCAAGUCAGAGUGAAAGCAUCAGAAACAUCAUACUUACCUUGAAGAUCAAUCUGAUAGGCGUUGUUGUUGAUUAUUUUGAUGACUAAUAAUGGUCCAUCAACUCUGGGCAUUAGCUUGUUUUUUCGUUCAGCUGGAAAUCGCUCCUUCCUCAGAUGGAUCCACACCAGAUCUCCUUCUUCGAAAAUCAGCUCCUUUCGUCCUUUGUUGGCAUGUUUCUCAUACUGCUUAGUCUUUUUCUCGAUGUUCUCCUUAGCCUUAGCAUGUAUUCUUCGGACCUGUUCAGCUUUCUCCUUGCCAUUCAAACUGCAAUUUCCACUUAAAGGCAAAGGGAUCAAGUCUAGAGGUGAUUGUGGAUUAAACCCAUAUACAAUUUCAAAAGGAGAAAAGAGAGUAGCGGAAUGCUUAGCGUGAUUGUAAGCAAACUCGACAUGAGGCAGACACUCUUCCCAUGUCUUGAGGUUACUUUUCACCAAAGUCCUUAGAAGUGUGGACAACGUUCUAUUCACCACCUCGGUCUGUCCAUCGGUCUGAGGAUGACACGUAGUUGAGAAUGAGAGCUUUGUUCCCAGCUUAGCCCAAAGCGUUCGCCAAAAGUGUCCUAAGAACUUUGUGUCUCGAUCUGAAACGAUAACCUGUGGCAUUCCAUGCAGUCUUACUACUUCCCUGAAAAACAAGUUAGCUACAUUCACAGCAUAAUCUGUCUUGUGGCUAGCGAUGAAGUGAGCCAUCUUGCUAAACCUGUCAACAACUACAAAAAUAGAAUCUCUACCAUUUCUGAUUCGAGGUAAGCCAACUACAAAAUCCAAGGUUGAGAAGGAAUAGGCAGAGGAGUAUACAAACCGUGAGGUUGAACUUUACUCUUGGCCAUCUUACAUACGACACAUCUAGAACAGAUUUUCUCAACGUCUUUCUUCAUGUUCUGCCAUUAAAAGUGCUCUUGUAGUCCAAGAAGUGUCUUUGUGACACCGAAAUGUCCAGCUAAUCCACCUCCAUGAGCUUCUCGUACCAGUAGCUCUUGGAUGGAUCCUCGUGGUAUGCACAAUCGGUUACUGAAGAACAAGUAUCCAUCCUGUCUAUAAAAUUUCUCACACGCAAACUUAUGACACUUGGCAUAGCUCUCAGAAAACUCAGUAUCAGAUUCAUAAAGAUCUAUAAUGUGCUAAAAUCCAAUCAACUUUGAUGUUAAAGUCGAAAUAAGAGUGUACCUCCGGGAUAAUGCGUCUGCGGCCACAUUAUCUUUACCUUUUUUGUACUUAACAAUGUAGGGGAAUGUCUCAAUGAACUCCAUCCAUCGCCCAUGUCUUUUGUUAAGUUUCUGCUGACCCUUGAGGUGCUUUAGAGACUCGUGAUCGGUAUGAAUGACGAAUUCCUUAGGCCAUAGGUAAUGCUGCCAUGUCUGGAGAGCUCGAACCAAUGCGUAUAACUCCUUAUCAUACGUGGGAUAAUUCAGCGUUGAUCCUCCUAACUUUUCGCUGAAGUAAGGGACGGGCUUCUUAUCCUGCAUAAGAACUGCUCCAAUACCUACACCAGAAGCAUCGCAUUCAAUCUCAAAAUUCUUAGUAAAAUCAGGAAGUACUAGUAAGGGCGAAUUGAUAAGCUUCUCUUUAAGGGCUGUAAAAGCCUGUUCUUGUGCCUCUCCCCACUUGAACCCCACGUCUUUCUUGAUUACUUCUGUUAAGGGCGCGGCUAUGGUGUUGCUGAAGUCACGAACAAAACGCCUGUAGAAUCCUGCUAAACCAUGCAAACUUCGGACUUCUCCAAUAUUCUUAGGGGUUGACCACUCCUUGAUAGCUUUUAUCUUCUCUUCAUCUACUUUAACUCCUCCUGCACUCACUACAAAGCCUAAGAAAACAAUUUUGUUAGUGCAGAAUGAACAUUUAGAUAAAUUAGCAAAGAGAGUUUAAGAGCGAAGAACAUCAAGAACCGAUCUGAUGUGAUCUAGAUGUUCUUCCAAACCUUUACUGUAGAUGAGGAUAUCGUCGAAAUAAACCACUACGAACUCGCCAAUGAAUGGUCUCAGGGCAUGGUUCAUAAAUCUCAUGAAGGUUCUGGGAGCAUUGGUGAGACCAAACGGCAUAACUAGCCACUCGUAGAGUCCUUGCUUUGUCUUGAAUGCCGUCUUCCAUUCGUCUCCUUCUUUCAUUCUGAUCUGAUGAUACCCACUCUUCAAGUCUAUCUUAGAGAAGAUUGUCGAUCCACAGAGCUCAUCCAGCAUAUCAUCUAGCCUUGGAAUCGGAUACCUAUACUUCACAGUGAUGUUGUUGAUAACUCGGCAGUCUACACACAUCCUCCAGGACCCAUCUUUCUUUGGCACUAACAGAACUGGAACCGCACAUGGACUCAAGUUUUCUCGGAUAUGUCCUUUGCUCAUCAGCCCUUCCACUUGCUUCUGCAGCUCCUUAGUCUCUACAGGAUUGGUUCGGUAAGCUGGCCUAUUAGGUAAUGCUGAUCCUGGUACCAAGUCAAUCUGAUGCUCUAUCCCGCGAAUUGGAGGUAGCCCUGGUGGAAUUUCUUCCGGAAAAACGUCCUUAUAUUCCUGAAAAAUCUCAAACAUAGCACUAGGAAGCUCCUGUGAAGGGUUAGUACUAACAAGGGAUUCCUUGUACACAAACAUGAAAGUAGUCAUUUCAGGAUCAAAGAGUUUAGAAAAUUCACUGUGGUUUAUGUAGAGGCUGUUGGCGACUUUCUCCUUCUCUUUGAGCUUCAUCUGAAUUUGAUUGGUAAAUCUCGGUAGGCGUGAGAGGUAGGAGGGUAAUUUUGCGACCUUUGAACUCGAAUGAGUGCUUGUUGGUAUAACCAUCGUGUAUCACCCUACGAUCGGAUUGCCACGGUCUGCCUAGCAACACAUGACUCGAACCCAUGGGAAUAACAUCACAUAUAAUCUCAUCUUCAUACUUCCCAAUAGAUAGAGAAACCAUAACUUGCUGAGAUACGGUCAAGGCUCCACUGUCAUUCAACCACUGAAGCUUAUACGGUCUUGGGUGACGAAUAGUCUUGAGCUGGAGCUUCUUAACCAUCUCUUUGCGUGCAGCAUUAGUAAAACUUCCUCCAUCUAUGAUCAGGCUACAAACUUUUUCUUUAAUGAAGCAUCUCGUAUGAAACAGGUUCUCUCGCUGACAGGUCUCUUCAGGUUGACUCUGAACACUCAAAGUCCUUCUGGCAACCAGCAUCUCGCCCACGACAGCAGCUUCUUCCUCUUCCUCUAGUUCAUAUUCGGCCUGGCAAUUUUUGAGAAGUCUUUGAUAAAUCUUCUGUAAAACCCUGCAUGCCCAAGGAAACUCCUUAUCCCUUUGACUGAAGCGGGGGUUUGCAGGUUCACCAUUACUUCACCUUUUGCUCUGUCAACCUCUAUGCCCUUCUCAGAUAUCUUGUGCCCAAGAACUAUUCCUUCCUGCACCAUGAAGUGGCACUUCGCCCAGUUCAACACCAAGUUGUGCUGCUCACAUCUCUCCAAGACCUGUGACAAAUUAGAGAGACAAUCCGAGAAGGAGGAGCCAUAGACACUAAAGUCAUCCAUGAACACUUCAACUUUCUCUUCAAUAAUGUCAGAGAAAAUGUGCAUCAUACAUCUUUGAAAUGUGGCAGGGGCAUUACACAGACCAAAAGGCAUUCGCCUGUAUGCAAAUGUGCCAUAAGGGCAUGCGAAUGUUGUUUUCUCUUGAUCCCGGGGAUCUAUGGGAAUUUGGAAGAACCCCGAGUACCCAUCGAGAAAACAAAAGAAGGGGUGGUUUGCAAGCCUCUCUAACAUCUGAUCAAUGAAAGGUAAAGGAAAAUGAUCCUUCCUAGAGGCUGCAUUGAGCUUUCUAUAGUCUAUACACAUUCUGUGUCCUGUGACAGUUCUAGUAGCUAUAAGCUAUUCUUCUCGUUUUUAACCACUGUGAUCCCACCCUUCUUGGGCACAACAUGAACAGGAGACACCCAUCUUGAGUCAGAGAUUGGGUAAAUUAUCCCUGCCUCAAGAAGUUUUAGUAUCUCCUUCUUAACCACUUCCUUAAGGUUGGGGUUAAGUCGUCGUUGAUGCUCAAUAGAGGACAUAGAUUGGUCCUCUAGGUGGAUCCUGUGGGUGCAAAUGUCAGGAGAGAUCCCUCUAAUAUCAGCCAAAGAAUACCCUAUGGCUCUCCUGAACUUUCUUAUCUCACUAAGCAAUGCACUCUCUUGAUCCUCUAAUAAGCUAUCAUUGAUGAUGACAGGAUAUGUGGAGUUUAAACCCAAGAAAGCAAACCUGAGCCCUGUUGGUAGAUGUUCUUCCAAACCUUUACUGUAGAUGAGGAUAUCGUCGAAAUAAACCACUACGAACUCGCCAAUGAAUGGUCUCAGGGCAUGGUUCAUUAAUCUCAUGAAGGUUCUGGGAGCAUUGGUGAGACCAAACGGCAUAACUAGCCACUCGUAGAGUCCUUGCUUUGUCUUGAAUGCCGUCUUCCAUUCGUCUCCUUCUUUCAUUCUGAUCUGAUGAUACCCACUCUUCAAGUCUAUCUUAGAGAAGAUUGUCGAUCCACAGAGCUCAUCCAGCAUAUCAUCUAGCCUUGGAAUCGGAUGCCUAUACUUCACAGUGAUGAUGUUGAUAGCUCGGCAGUCUACACACAUCCUCCAGGACCCAUCUUUCUUUGGCACUAACAGAACUGGAACCGCACAUGGACUCAAGUUUUCUCGGAUAUGUCCUUUGCUCAUCAGCUCUUCCACUUGCUUCUGCAGCUCCUUAGUCUCUACAGGAUUGGUUCGGUAAGCUGGCCUAUUAGGUAAUGCUGAUCCUGGUACCAAGUCAAUCUGAUGCUCUAUCCCGCGAAUUGGAGGUAGCCCUGGUGGAAUUUCUUCCGGAAAAACGUCCUUAUAUUCCUGAAAAAUCUCAAACAUAGCACUAGGAAGCUCCUGUGAAGGGUUAGUACUAACAAGGGAUUCCUUGUACACAAACAUGAAAGUAGUCAUUUCAGGAUCAAAGAGUUUAGAAAAUUCACUGUGGUUUAUGUAGAGGCUGUUGGCGACUUUCUCCUUCUCUUUGAGCUUCAUCUGAAUUUGAUUGGUAAAUCUCGGUAGGCGUGAGAGGUAGGAGGGUAAUUUUGCGACCUUUGAACUCGAAUGAGUGCUUGUUGGUAUAACCGUCGUGUAUCACCCUACGAUCUGAUUGCCACGGUCUGCCUAGCAACACAUGACUCGAACCCAUGGGAAUAACAUCACAUAUAAUCUCAUCUUCAUACUUCCCAAUAGAUAGAGAAACCAUAACUUGCUGAGAUACGGUCAAGGCUCCACUGUCAUUCAACCACUGAAGCUUAUACGGUCUUGGGUGACGAAUAGUCUUGAGCUGGAGCUUCUUAACCAUCUCUUUGCGUGCAGCAUUAGUAAAACUUCCUCCAUCUAUGAUCAGGCUACAAACUUUUUCUUUAAUGAAGCAUCUCGUAUGAAACAGGUUCUCUCGCUGACAAGUCUCUUCAGGUUGACUCUGAACACUCAAAGUCCUUCUGGCAACCAGCAUCUCGCCCACGACAGCAGCUUCUUCCUCUUCCUCUAAUUCAUAUUCGGCCUGGAAAUUUUUGAGAAGUCUUUGAUAAAUCUUCUGUAAAACCCUGCAUGCCCAAGGAAACUCCUUAUCCCUUUGACUGAAGCGGGGGUUUGCAGGUUCACCAUUACUUCACCUUUUGCUCUGUCAACCUCUAUGCCCUUCUCAGAUAUCUUGUGCCCAAGAACUAUUCCUUCCUGCACCAUGAAGUGGCACUUCGCCCAGUUCAACACCAAGUUGUGCUGCUCACAUCUCUCCAAGACCUGUGACAAAUUAGAGAGACAAUCCGAGAAGGAGGAGCCAUAGACACUAAAGUCAUCCAUGAACACUUCAACUUUCUCUUCAAUAAUGUCAGAGAAAAUGUGCAUCAUACAUCUUUGAAAUGUGGCAGGGGCAUUACACAGACCAAAAGGCAUUCGCCUGUAUGCAAAUGUGCCAUAAGGGCAUGCGAAUGUUGUUUUCUCUUGAUCCCGGGGAUCUAUGGGAAUUUGGAAGAACCCCGAGUACCCAUCGAGAAAACAAAAGAAGGGGUGGUUUGCAAGCCUCUCUAACAUCUGAUCAAUGAAAGGUAAAGGAAAAUGAUCCUUCCUAGAGGCUGCAUUGAGCUUUCUAUAGUCUAUACACAUUCUGUGUCCUGUGACAGUUCUAGUAGCUAUAAGCUAUUCUUCUCGUUUUUAACCACUGUGAUCCCACCCUUCUUGGGCACAACAUGAACAGGAGACACCCAUCUUGAGUCAGAGAUUGGGUAAAUUAUCCCUGCCUCAAGAAGUUUUAGUAUCUCCUUCUUAACCACUUCCUUAAGGUUGGGGUUAAGUCGUCGUUGAUGCUCAAUAGAGGACAUAGAUUGGUCCUCUAGGUGGAUCCUGUGGGUGCAAAUGUCAGGAGAGAUCCCUCUAAUAUCAGCCAAAGAAUACCCUAUGGCUCUCCUGAACUUUCUUAUCUCACUAAGCAAUGCACUCUCUUGAUCCUCUAAUAAGCUAUCAUUGAUGAUGACAGGAUAUGUGGAGUUUAAACCCAAGAAAGCAAACCUGAGCCCUGUUGGUAGAGGCUUGAGCUCAACAGGGGGUGCAUCAGCCUCAUUCCAAUCCUGGUCCAAUCUGCUUUGGCUGGUGACUGAUUCCUUGAUAGCAAAAACAUCAGAGCCACUUUGUUCCAGCUCCAAAAACCUUGUCUCAGGACCCAGCUCUCUUGCAUUGUCCAAAUACAGCUUAUACCCUUCACUUGCUUCAGCUAAGAGCCCAUUGUCUCCUUGUUCUUGAGUUAGAGCAGCUUGAAGAGGAUCCUCAGUGUUCAGCUCCUCAAGCAACUCAUCAGCCAACUGAUCCAUUGUCUCCACAUAGAAACAUUAACCUUCAAUGGUGGGUUUCUUCAUUAUCUCAUUCACAUCAAACUUGAGCUUUUCAGACCCAAGUUGAAGCUCUAUUAUCCCACCUCUCACAUCAAUAAUAGCUCCUGCAGUGGCUAAGAAUGGCCUGCCCAAGAUAAGAGGAUCUACUGGUUCCUCAUCCAUUUCCAGCACAACAAAAUCUGUUGGAACCUCAAAACCACCAAUCUUGACAGGUAGAUCUUCCAACAUACCAACAGGCAAUCUAACUGAUUUAUCUACAAGGAUAAGAGAAAUCCUUGCAGGUUUGAAGACUCUAAAGCCCAGCUUCUUUGCUAUGGAGAAUGGCAUCAAGCUGACUGAUGCUCCUAGAUCACAAAGACAUCCAGAGAAUAGAAGAGGUCCAAUGGCACAAGGGAGUGUGAAACUCCCUGGAUCAGUUAACUUCCUUGGAAUGGACUUCUUCUGAAUGAUAGCACUGCAUUCAUGACUCAGUACUACCAUGCCUUGAAGCUCUUUUGUCUUGUUCAGAAUGGCAUCCUUCAAGAACUUCCCCAUCUUUGGCAUCAUUAAGAAUGCAUCAAUGAGAGGCAUUGUGAGUGGUGUCUCCUUGAGUGCCUUCUCAAAUACAGCUCUUGCCUUAUCCACUAGUUGCUUCUUGAAUCUCCCUGGAAAUGGGAGCUUGGGUUGGUAUGGAGGUGGUGGCACAUAUACUUUUUCUGGUUCUGGUUCCUUUGCUACCUCUUUACCCUUUUCUGUCCUUGGUUUCUCAGCAACUUGAUCCUCUUUUAAGGCUGCCUCCCCCUCAGUUUGAUCAUUUUCCUCAAUAAUCACAUUGUUGUUCUCAAUACCAGGUAACUCCUUCCCACUCCGCAGUGUAAUGGCCUUGGCAUAUUCCUUGGGGUUGGGUUCUGGUUUUCCAGGUAGGUGACCUUGGUUCCUUGAGCUUGAUGCCUGGUUCUGCCUCAGUUCCUUGAUUUCCUGCUGCAUGGCUGCAUUCUGGCUUGCAAAGAUCUGUUGACCCUGAAGUAGUUGUUGCAGAAUACCAACCAUAUCUGUACCCAUCUGGGGCUGCUGUUGAACCGUUGGUGGCUGAUACUGUUGUUGAACAGGCGCUUGCUUUUGGAACUGUGGAGGACCAAACCCUGGUGGUGCCUUUUGCUGCUGUGAACUGAAACUAGGACCUUAAAAUGGUUGCUGUUGCUGACCAAAACCUUGAUUCUGAGCAAACUGAUUCUUUGGUUGAAAAGAUCCUUGAAAGUUGUUCUUGGGAACAAAGUUCUGUCGAGCUUGAGAAUUUGGAUAGACCUGGUCUUGUGGGUUAGCUACAUUGGUGUUCCUGUAAGAAAGGUUUGGAUUGGCAAUACCAUACUGAUAUCUCUGGAACUUCUGAUUCCCAAUGUAGUUAAGCUCCUCUUGGGUGAGACCCUCUUCACUUAUGUUCUCAAAGAUUUGAGAUGGUUCCUCAUACUCUCCAACAAAAUGCAUUGGCUUGUGAGUUACCAACUUCAACUUGUCUAAUUCACUUCUCAACUCCUUAACUUCUCUGGUGAGCCUCUGUUCUGAGCUUGAACCUUCAGACCUAUUUGAUCUGUCAUAGUCUUCACCAUAAGUAUCAUUGCUCAGUGCUAAGUUCUCCACUAGCUCUAAAGCAGCAUGUAUCUCUUUACCCAGAAAGUUCCCAUUGGAAGCAGUAUCCAGCUGGUUUCUAAUUUUGGGAAGGGCUCCUCUAUAAAAUGUGCUGAGAAGAGAAGCCUCACUAAACCCAUGGUGUGGGCAUUGGUUUGUGUAGCUCCUGAAUCUCUCAUAUGCUUCACCAAAACUCUCAUUGCUGUGCUGAGUGAAGCUAGAGAUUUGGUUCCUCAGUUUUGCAGUUCUUGAGGUGGAGAAGAACUUAGAUAAGAAGGCUUGCUUGCAUUGCUCCCAGGUUUGAAUGGAGCCUCUUGAAAGAUUCUUCUCCCAUUGAUGAGCUUUGUCACCAAGACUGAAUGGGAAUAGUCUUAGCUUGAAGCUGUCCUCAGAAACUCCACUUAUCUUUGUCAGAUCACACACCUUAUCAAACUGGUCCAAGUGUUCCAAGGGAUCUUCCAUUGCUAACCCAUGGAACUUUGAGUUUUGGACCAUAUUCAGCAAUGAUGCUUUCACUUCAAAGUUGUUGUUUUGCACAGGUGGUGCCUGAAUACCAGCUCCAUACUGAUGAGCAUUAGCCCUGUCAUUCUCUCCAACAUAGACUUGGGGUUGCUCAUAUCUUCUUUGCUGUUGUUGGAAAGGGUGGGGUUGGUGGUGCAUCUGUUGUCUUUGCUGAACAUUGGCCUGAUGCCUCUGUUGAUGANNNNNNNNNNNNNNNNNNNNNNNNNNNNNNNNNNNNNNNNNNNNNNNNNNNNNNNNNNNNNNNNNNNNNNNNNNNNNNNNNNNNNNNNNNNNNNNNNNNNNNNNNNNNNNNNNNNNNNNNNNNNNNNNNNNNNNNNNNNNNNNNNNNNNNNNNNNNNNNNNNNNNNNNNNNNNNNNNNNNNNNNNNNNNNNNNNNNNNNNNNNNNNNNNNNNNNNNNNNNNNNNNNNNNNNNNNNNNNNNNNNNNNNNNNNNNNNNNNNNNNNNNNNNNNNNNNNNNNNNNNNNNNNNNNNNNNNNNNNNNNNNNNNNNNNNNNNNNNNNNNNNNNNNNNNNNNNNNNNNNNNNNNNNNNNNNNNNNNNNNNNNNNNNNNNNNNNNNNNCUGUUCCUGAUGAACAAUUACCUGAUGAAAGCCCUGACCAACUCAUUAACCAGCUCCAUUUCCUUGAGCAUGUGCUCAUGAACUGGUAGUUCUAUAUCUACCACGUGAUCUCCUUGUUCUGCCAUCUCAGUCUGAUCAAAUUUGUCUACCACGUCUGUCCCUUCUCCUCCUUGGUACCAGAAGAUUGAUAUUGUCGUUGAGAGGGAAAGGUGGACCACAGCUUCUUGAUCUAGACCUGGUGUUCAUACACCUGAAAUCACAAACAGAACUUGAAAGUAAUCAGUUAAAACAAGAAAGUAAGCACUUGAUCUCAAGAACAGAUCAGAGCUUAAUGCUAAACAAACCACAAUUUGGCAACGGCGCCAAUUGAUAGACAGACUUUUUAAGGUCUCAGGGCUAUCAAUCCCCUUGUCAAAGUAGCACAAAGAGGUUUAUCAAUCCACGAAUGUGGUGAUAGACACUAAGGUAUGUAAUCAGGUUCUUAAUUCAAGCAAACAAGAGUGGUUUUGAUUAUCUAAAGACAACUACAAACUUAAACAGGAUUAAAGACUAAUGACAAUGACAAAUGAUAUGAAUAUGAUAUGAUGGAAGCAUGAGAUUCUAGACAUGAUAGUUGGUUAGGGUGCUUUGGUGCUAAACUAGAAAUGCUAAUGACAAUAAUGAGACAUGAUUCAAAUGAUUAAGAACUCUAAUCUAGGUUAAUCCUCUCAUGAAGGUAUUAACCCCUAUACUAAUCCAUUUUCAAACCAAAUUCCCAUUUGUGAAAUAUGAAUCAAUAUGCAUUAAUAGACAGUUCUUAAUGAUCAUUCAAGCAAUUAACAAUACAUCAUCAUGCAGAAAAUGCUUAAACCUCUAAUACAGCUCUUUCAGGAAUUUCAUCAAACACUUUUGGUGCAUGAAAUUCCCAGAAUCUAGAUCUCAAGGGAUAUGCAAGGAUCUAGCAUAGAGAACAGCUGUUUAGAGAGAUGAAUCAAUGAAUCUAGCCCUAAGCACUCCUAAUCUAACACUUUAGCACCCUAACCUACAUAUCUAGAACCUCAUUAAGGUGACUACUCACUAAUCAUACUAAUCUCUCUUAAACCUUUGCAAGUAGAGAAGAUCAGCAUGAUUAAUGAUGAGAAAUAGAGGUGGAGAUGAUAGAUUAAGAAGAAAGCAGCUUUAAAACUCAAUAAUCCCUUAGACUCUCUUGAUUAAAAGGCCAAAAAUCGAUAUUUCUUUUUCACAAAAGAGGCAAGAGGCAAAGGGAAUAAAGUUUUGUUCCCUCAAAAAAACCUUAAAAAGUACUUAUACCUCUCUAAAAACGAACCGGGUCAGCCCGGAACAAACUGGUUCCUGACCCGGCUUUAAUGGAUAAAGUGGAAUUACUGCGGGUUGGUCCAGUGUCUCCCAGGUAGCACGCCCAAGUCGCAGUAGAUGAAGAAUGCUGCUUGUGAGACUUAAAUCGCUUGUCUUAGCCGCACGCCCAAGUAGGAGUGUUUUACGAGUGUUGCUGCAGCUUGAUCUUCUUCUUCUUCAACUCGCAGGUCCAAGGCGGUUUCUGGGGAAUGUGCAUAUGUGCGGGUUGGUUUCCAUUGCACCUAGGUCGCAGGCUCAAGUCGGAGUGAUUUGCGAGUGAUCGUGCGGCUUAGUUCCAGCAAUCUUCUGAGCUCAUCGGCUCGGUCCAAAACAGCAGCGAGACAGGGGUUUCUUCCGACGAGCAUCACUCUCUGCUCACGCGUCUGAAUUCCAUGAUUCCACUUGCUACGAAACCGUGAUCCAAUCCUCUCCAACUUCUAUGAAUCCCCCGAAAUCUGAAUCGGACCGGAAGGUUCCCCGGACAGGCGAUUUCGGAAACAUGUCUGCACCCGGAGAUUUUGGCCGAGAGAUCCAAUAGCCGGUACGCGUUUUGGCCGACAAAGUCUACCCGCAGUACGUGAAAAUGGCCGAUAAAAUCCUUCCUGGUACGCGAGAAUGGCCGAGAAAAACCUUCCUGGUCAGCGAGAAUGGCCGAGAACCUCCUUAAACCCAAUUUUACCACUUUUCAAGCUUUGAUCACCAUUCCACUGUAUUCAUCUUUUCAGCUCCAAACACACCUGAUAAACACUCAAAACAUGCAAAGACUCAUUGGGACCUAAUGCAUCUCCUAAGUUCUAAAACAAACCCUAAGGACCUAAAAUGCAUGGAAUAAAACAUGGUUUAGAAUGAAUUAUGCAACCUAAAUGAUGCAAAUUAUGAACAUAUCACAAGGCUCCACUGUCAUUCAACCACUGAAGCUUAUACGGUCUUGGGUGAGGAAUAGUCUUGAGCUGGAGCUUCUUAACCAUCUCUUCGCUUGCAGCAUUAGUACACUUCCUCCAUCUAUGANNNNNNNNNNNNNNNNNNNNNNNNNNNNNNNNNNNNNNNNNNNNNNNNNNNNNNNNNNNNNNNNNNNNNNNNNNNNNNNNNNNNNNNNNNNNNNNNNNNNUUCCUCUUCCUCUAUUUCAUAUUCGGCCUCUGAGUCCUCUUGAGGAACUAUCUCUCAUCCCUCUUGUAACAAGAAAACCUUCUUGUUUGGACAAUCUCGAGAGUAAUGUCCCAUUCCUUGACAUUUGAAACACCUCACAUUGCUGAUAGAAGUACCACUUCUAGGUUUGAACUUAGCUUUAGCUUCUUCUUUAACUCCAGUAGAGGGUGGUUUGCUGAUCUCUUUAGGCUUAGGCACACUAGGCGUGAAUGUGGACUUGAUGAUUCGCCUCUUGACUUGAGAUUCCACCAAUUCAGCCUUAUGCACCAUCUCUUGUAUAUCUGCGAAAUCCUGAAGUUCCACCUUGUCUUGAAUUUCUCGGUUAAGUCCUCCAAGAAAACUCGACAUUACCAUCUCUUCUCCUUCUCGUAAAUCUGCACGAAUGAGCAAAGUUUCCAAUUCUUGAUAGUAAUCUCGAACAGACUUUGUACCUUGGACGAGGCGCCUAAGCUUGUUGAGUAUCUCGCGCUGAUGAUGGGCUGGAACAAACCUCUUCCUCAUCUGUAUAACAAGCUGAUCUCAAGUAGUAAUUGGAAGUUCCCUCAGGCGAUUUCUGGUGACUCCCAACUGCUCCCACCAUAGAAGCACAUACCCAUGAAAUUCCGAAACUGCGAUCUUCACCUUGUUGAGCUCAUAAGUUCCUUGGACCAGAAAAUUAGACUCCAUCUUCCUUUCCCAAUCGAGAUAAGCUUCGGGAUCAUUAGUUCCAUGGAAAGGAGGAUACUGGAUUUUGAUGUGACGCAGCUGCUGACGUAGAGGAUCAUAAUCUCGACCAUGUCCUCGGCCUUGAUCUCGUCUCACAGUUUCUCUGCUAUGAUCAGAAGCUUCGUCCUCCUCAUAGUAUUCUGGGUCUGAUUCCAGGGUAACUCAGUGCCCAGCAAUAUAUUCCUCUCUGCGAUGCUGACGAUCUACCCUUAAGCCAUCUCGAUCUGCACCAGUAGGGUUCCUCCUCGGAUUAAACGUAGUCUCUCUGCCCCCAAUUUGGCUUCGGCUAGACUUAGCUUUAGUCCUGGCUUCGGAAGGUGUUGGGUGGCGUGGGAGUUUCCGGGAAGAUCCUAUAUGCCUUUUACCCUUAGCUAAGCGCAUUGCUUCCGACGGAGUUGGAGUUUGUGACGACUCUUCUCCACUUGCACUAAGAUAUUUGAGCAGGUCAUUCAUCUUUGUCUCGAACUUGUGAUUGAGUUGUUCGAUUUGUUGCGUGAGCUGAGUUGCUAUGGCUUGAUUCGCUUCUUUAAUCUGUUGGGACAUUGCUCAGUUCAGAGCCUGAAAAAAAUUUAAAAGAACUCGCAGUACUUGUUCUAGACGGAAUCACAAAGACAUAAACAUGAUCGAACCAAACUUAACAUAAAAAAAGAACGAAAUUCACGAAAUCUGAAAACAAAUUUAACGAACUUAACGAAUUUUUUUUUUUUUUUUUUUUUUUUUUUUACGAAAAAUUCACGAAAAUUAACGAAAAAUUUACGAAACAAAGAUUUCCUAACAAGCCUAAACGAGAAAACGAUGAACAACGAAACCUAGCUAAAUCGAAAACUAGUUACGAGAUCACGAAACCCUAUCAAACCUAACGAAAUCGCGCAGACUCUUAACAAACCCUAACGAGCGACUACACGAAGACUCUUAUCGACCAGAACGAAAACAAUAGAUGAGGACUCGAAAAAAAAAUCAGUCUCGAAAUCAAUAACGACGAGUUAUGAACCCUAACGAAAUCGGACACCUAAAAACGAUUCUCAGACUCGAAACUAAACAAACCUGACUUGACACGAAAUAAACUUGAGACGAUCACGAUCUAACAGGAACCCUAACAGCGAUCGAUCCGAAACCCAAAACAAGAGAGAACGAUGCGAUGAUAUGAAACAAAAGGAAUCAAAUCGAUGCACACAGUCACAGAACUCGCUAACCCUAAUAACACAGAGAUGAAAAUUCAAAGUACAGAGACUAGGGUUAGAGUUUCGCUCAGCCUUUGGUUCAGAGUUGGCUCUGAUACCAUGUGAUAUGAUCCUAGGUGAUCGACUCUGAAAAGAAAGGCAAUAGAGGCAGCGAUAUAAUGGCCAGAGUGUAUCGAUGAGGCGAUAUGGUGGUGGUGGUGACACGAUGAUGGCGCGAUGGCUGGUGUUUGUGGUUGUAGUGAUCGGAUCGAGGAUGAUGAUGGUGAGAUGAUCGAUUGAAGGUGUGGUGAUGAUGAGAUGAUAUCGAGUUUAAGAGAUAGAAGAUUCUCUUGUAAACAGAUUAGUUUUUAAGAGAUUCGAAUUUCAGAGUUUUCUUAUACUCAGAAAUCAAAGAGAGAAGAACACGUUAAAAGUUGGCUAAAAAUUCUUCACUGAAUAACACUUAGGCGAUUUUCUCUCUUAAAUAGACUUAGAGAGAAAUCGCAGCCCUAAGAAACAAACUACAUGAAGUUUGAAAUAAAAACAACAAGAAGUUUGAUUAAAAAUAAAACAGCGAGGCGUCCCUUCUAAAUCCUAAGUGGUGCGCCUAAAAUACUAGUGCACAAGUCAUUGUGACUUUGCACAUUAUUACCCAUUAGUAACAACUUCUAAGUAACUCGACGUAGCAAUGAUUUCUGCCUCGUUAAAAACCUUGGAGAAUAACCUCCUUCCUUCCAAAAUCCUCACCAAGGAAAAGAGUACAGCAUCAUCACCUAAUUUACCUAGUCAUUGUUACUGGGUUCUUCAUUCUUCAAGAUAGAGAUGUUGAAGAUGUGAGCUCCAGCCUCCAGUUGAUCGCUGUCCUAUGCUGCAAUGAGAGCGUGAGCCUCCUUAGCCAUCUCUCUAGCUCUGGAACGAGUGAUCCUGCCAGCUACCUCUGGUUCCUCCUCCUCUGAGCUUGUCACGAUGAUAUCAACUGCAUUGCCUUGUGUCCCCUGACAGUCACGUAGCACGCAAUCUUCUCGUUAUGUCCGAUACCAAAAGAACGAACAGUGUACUGUGCUGCAAACGGACACAUGCGUUUAGAUUAUAUCAGAAAAAAAGUUUUAGUAAUAUACAUUUGGCGGCAAUCCGCUGAUAAAUAUUAGAUCCAGCUGAGGCAUCUUCGGAACAGAAUACAAACUGAAAAGAAACUGCAGAACCAUAGAGGCUUCGUCCCUUUCUCUGAUAAGAUCCACAUGAUCAAGUAUCAGGUAUACCAUCUUCACCAUGGGUUUUUCAUCCUGCUUAUUCAAUCAUGAGAUUCUGGAAGCAAACUCUAGCGUUUCUAUCACAUCACUAAGGGCUUGUCGAAGCAAGUUGACAAAAUCAGAUGUGAGUGAUACCAUCUCUCAAUGUGAUACAACUGAGCAUUAAAACUCAAAACAAGAGGUUUGCACAAGUGAAGAGAUGAAACUGAAAGAAUAAAAUGCUAUAACCACAUGUGCUAAAGUUACAAAGCAAAUCAAUGUGAACCAUCUUUCUCCAAGUUGCAGUCAGUUAUAUUUUUUUUCUCAGAGGCAUUAACGAGCGAAAGGAAAAAGAAGAGACUAUGGAGAGGAAGCCAUUCCAAAUCAAACACAGAAAGAAGAUAUACCUAUAUCAGAGAGAGACCAGUAAAACCUAGCAGAAACAUGAAUUUAAGUCUUGUACGAUUUAAGAAACUCUUGCACACACAUAAGACACUGUCAAAUUCAGAUAUGUUCUUUACUUUUCACUGAAAGAUUACAGAUGUCUGAUUGAAACCGACACUUGGAGACAAGACAAUGAAACAGAUCGAGCAUUAGACUUAUCAAGAAAAAACCCUUCGUAUAUAACAAACACGGGUCUCUCUUUACAUCUUUAUUAUAUGUUCGUGACCCAAAACAUAAUAAUAACUCUGUACCUAUAUUGAGCAAAGGAAUCGCAACCCUUAAUCAAUCAGAAGAAGUAAACAACAGAAGAUUGAGAAAACCAAAAAAAAAAAAAUUCAGUGUUUUUGAUAGAAGAAGCAAACCUGGAAGCGAGCAAUUAAGGAGAUGGGAUUGAAGAAGAUAGCAGUGAAUCAAUCAAUCAAUCACAAAUUGAGAAAUACGAAGCCAAAAAGUGAAGAUCUUUCCGAGAAGGAAAAUUGGUCGAAGGAAGAAUAAUUUCCGAGAAGAAAAAUGGUCGAAAACAGAAUAAAAUUGGUCGAGGAAAAUGCAUACUAAUUGAGUCAUCUUAUUAAUUUAUCACUUCUUGACAUGAGUGGACAAAGAUUCAAACUUGGCGUUUAGAUCAUUGUACAUACAAUCAACCUUAACGUUGAUAUCCUUGGUCAUGACAAGCUGUUGGAUCGAUUGCUCGAGUCUUCCAAUUUGAGAAGCAAGUUGGUUCGUGGUCAAUCCUUGCUGCUGUCAGUAUUGGUUGACAACAGUAGUUGUAAGGGUGUCGAGGUCGUAGUUUCUGAUUUGAAACUUGUUUUGGAAUGGUCUUUGUUGCUGCGGGUAUUGCUGAUCUUGGGGGUUCUCCACGUUCUGGAUACGGUAAGUGAUGUUGAUGAAGUGGGAAACUACGACCUUGGAAGUCUUCAGUAAAGUUGAAGGCCAGAGACUCACGGUUCCAAUGCAGUUGGUCUCGUACCGUUUGGAGCCCUAAAUUGGAAGUUACAGCUGUCGCCGUGAUUUCAUGGCGAUAAUCAUGAACUUAACAAUCUCGUGGCGAAAAUCAUGCGCCUCAUAAAUCGUUCAGAGUGGAGCCCUUCCCAAUCAAUGUGGAGGGACAUUGCAGCUAUCCUUUGCAUUUGUAGCUGAAGUAGGCCCACUAAUUGGCUAUGAUGGUCUCCUGAGAAGUGGUAGGUUUAUAAGUCCUUGUGCCGUAGGAGUUGGAAUUACACAAUUUGGAUCUCUGGUUGGAAAGAUAUAGUCCUCGCCCUCUUACAUAUCCGUCUGGCGCGCCUAAAGUCCUCGCCCUUUAACAUAUCCAUCCUUUCCAAACUCUCUCCACUUCCGCAGAGACAUACUUCUGCAAGUGCACAGCAGUGCGUAGUAGUAAUUACGGUAUCAAUCCACAUGGAGGCAAGACUUCUUCUGCAAAACUGUAUGAAAGAGUAAUGGUAUGGAAGUAUAGAACUAAACAUUUUUAAAGGGGUUUUGGGUGUCAUAAAAAAGUAAAUCUAAAACUAAGCAGGAAAAGUAAAAUUUAUUUUUAAAAUUGGUGUAGACUAAUGAAAAAUGGACGUUGGUCGUUCGGGAUUUCUCAUGGGUAUGUAGAUUUAAACUGAUAGUAGGAUUUUAGCCUACUAAGGUCAAUUAACCUCUUGUGUUGUAGCAUUUGAGGGUCAAUCCAAAUGGAGAGAUUCUAGACACCAAGACUAUGAGGAUCAAUUCUUAGUCCUAACAAGUGAAUGAUUGGUAACCAAGAUGAUCUAAAAACAUAAAACAAAUCAAGCAAGAAGCAAUAAUUAACAAUAAGCAAACAAGAGAAAUUCAAGACUCAAAUUCAAGUAAAGAGAAAGCUAAAUCUCUAGAUGUGAUCAUUGAUAAGGGUGCUUUAAAUGUGAAUUCCUUAUGCUAAGAAAACAAUGCAAAACUUGCAAUUCUUUAGUCUAGACUUCAAAAGCAGAUUAAUUCAUUCCCAAGACAAAAAUCCCUUUGCAAAUUACUUAAUCAAGACUAGUUCCCAUUAGUAAAUAAGCAAUUAACAAGCAUAAGGUUCCAAGUCUAAAGUGACCAAACAGCCUCUUUGUGCAUCAACAUAAAAGCUAAGAAAGACUGAAUAUUGUACAGAAAGAUAAAGCAAGAAUCACAUGAUGUGAAAUUCCAAUCAACAUAGAACUCAAAGCAAGACCAUUUCUUUCCCAAGACAAUGAUCACUAUACUAAUCAGCAUUCAAACCUAACUCUCAUUGGUGGUAAUGAUGAUCAAUAUGCAUUAAUAAAUAGUUCUAAUAUGUCAUUUAUGCUUCAAACAAACAUCCUCAUGGCAUUUAAAACAUAAACCCUUAACUUAGCUCAUUCAGCCUAAGUUCUAGACUACAGUGAUUAUCAAAGAUCUAGCAUUAAGUGCCCAAACAUCAUAAUUCAAACCAAAACUAGCACCGGGGUGCAUUAUCUCGGUGUGGUCCUCGCUGUGGGUCUCAAUGUAGCAAAAUCCUCAAGGUAUGUCCAACACCGAGGUCAGUCUUCCCGGUGUUCAUCUCGGUGCCUGGAACCUCUCUGUACUUAACCCAUUUUAACUCUCUGAUCAGUACUCCAAAUGAUAACUCAACCAGCUCAAAGUUUGGUGAAGACCCUGAUUGCAUCCGGGGAAGGGAAGGUCUCCCGGACGGCUGAUCUUUGAAUGGACCGGAAUGCUCCAGAAAAGGCUUCUGAAUAAGUGUUCACUCUAGAAAGGUUAUCUCCCAGCUCAGAGCUCUAUAUCGUGUGAUCUCAAGCGUUCUGUAAAGAAGACUCAAGCUUUUGAAUAUUGGUGAAGGGCCCGGAAAAUUAAUCGGAGAGGAAGAGCAUCGUCCUGCAUAAUCUCUUAAGCACAUUGAAUCGGUCUGGAAUGCAAACGAGACAGGUGUGCCUUCUGUUGGCCAUAACUCUCAGCUUACUGAUCCGAAUCCACUAACUCCAACUGUUCUGGAACCACGACUCAAUCCUCUCCAACUUUGAUGAAGACUGUGGAAGCUGAAUCGGACGACAAGGUUUCCCGGACAGGCAACUUUAGAGAUGUAUGGGCACAACAGGUUUUAGCCGAGAAACUUAAGCAUCCGGUACGUGUUUUAGCCGAAAAAUCCUGCCCACGGGAUGGAUUUUAGGCGAGAAACAUCAUCAUGUGGUACAGUGUUUUGCCGAUGAACUAAAAUGGCUCUUUCACCAUUUGUGAUCCUUUCUCCACCAUUUUAACACCUGGUCUCAUCUCUCCACUCCAAAUAAGCUCCAAAAUAAAUCUGUUUAACACUCCAAACCAUGCAGAACUCUCUUGGACCUAAUGCAAGCUCCUAAGUUAUAAAUCAAUGCUUAAAGACCCAAAAUUUAUGCAAAUGAGACAUAAUUUGGAUUUAAAUAUGUACACUAAAUGAUGCAUUUUAUACAUAUAUCAACUCCCCCACACUUAUCCUUUGCUUGUCUUCAAGCAAAAAUAACAAAUGAGAGAAAUAGGUUGAAGCUUGGGAGUUCACAUUUCUUAAAGAGAGAGAGUAAUCAUCAAAGAGUUCAAAUCAUGUCCUAGUUACUAAUUCUAAAUUGCAAUGAAAACUGGUGUACUCAUAAAAACUAGCCAUGUCAUCACCAAGUGAACCAAACUCAAGAAUCCUAACUCCAGCCCUUUGACAUUCAUUUAAGUAUCAUGUAGAUCAUGCUCAUGCAAAUCAUGUGAAGUCAUUUGGCUAAGGGAUGAGGUUAUGACACAAAUAUGAUCUCAUUCAAUGCUUAUAGGUUCAAUGCAGCUCAAGGGAUCACUCAAGAAGGAAUAAACUUUAACAGAAGGCUAAGGGUAAAAGGAAACUGAUGCAUACAAGAGUAGAAUCCCAUCUACCCAAUGCCCUAAGUUGGUCUUUCACCUUAACUCUAAACCCAUGAAGAACACACCUAAGCUACCCUUCUCCCAAGGCAUUCAUUGCCUUCUCAAGCCACUUCUCACUUCACUCUCAAUCUUUUCCUCAUCAGGGGAUUCAUCUUUUCAUUCUCAAACUCAGGCUUAAGGGUCUAAACCUUUCACUUAGUUCCUUCUCACAUAACAUUGCUUGGCCUCUUUCCUUUUCGCUUUAAACACUUGAGCCUUUUUGGCUUCUUUUCUUUUCUUUUUACUUAGAGGCUAGACUUUUCUUUUCAAAACACAAGAGCUUUCUUUCUUUAAUCAUCAUACCCCAAACCAAUUUCUUUUCAUUUCCAUCCCCUGGUUCUCAUCUCAAUCUCUCUCUUUUCCACUCAGUGUUUCCCAAGAUCCCUUUCUAGCCUACUCUAGACUCAUGAUGCAGAGUGAUAACACCGUAUUUUGACCACUUUUAUGGAUCAUUUUGAAAUGCUUUUUUUUAUGUUUUUAAUUGCUUUUAAGUACUUUAUUACGUUUUUUCUAGUAUUUGUAGUUCCAAGACUCUUUUCAGGUAACUUAGGGAAAAGCUUAACAAAAUGGAUAGAAAACCAGAUUUCAGCUCAGAGUCAAACCGUCAGAAGUUCACCCUUGAUUGAAGGCCUUCUCACCGUCUGAUCCAGCUAAAAUUUGGAGACCUUAAAGAUGGAAGUAUCAGAUUUCCAGUGCACUUUACAGCUUGGCAAUCCAACGGUUCAAUCAAAAGAUACGCGAAGAGCAAGAUGUCCCGUAAACCAGCUGGCAAGAACUUCCACCCGCGGCCAGCAAGCAAUUUCCCGCGGUCAGAAGCAUCCCGACCGUGGCAAACCACUCAUUCCCCACGGUCAGAGCACUCCCGACCGCGGCCAUCAACCUCCGAGCCCAAAAAGCCCAUUUCUGAAGCCCACAUUUGGAGAAACCCUAAGUGACGUCCAGAGAGGUCUUGAGCACUAUAAAUACAUGUCUUAGGAACCCUAAACGAAAGAAUAUCGAACAACCUCAUAUCAUCUAUCAUUACUUCAUACUUUUAUUGUUUUUACUUUAGCUUUUAGGGAGAGAGAGAUUUGUUCUCUUGAACCCUUGUUCUUUCUUUUUCAAUUUUGGUUUCUAUUAUACUUAUUAAUACUAUGUUUUUGAUUUCGUUCAUCAUGUCUGAGUAGAUUGAUUGUCGGGAUUAAGAGAUUUUCGAUGGGGAUUAUUUGUUCGAUGAGGAUUCCAUGAGCUUUUGAGCCGAAUCUUAGAACUUUUUCUUCUGAAAUCGUUUUUACUGCAUGAGAGUAGCGUCAUGAACUACAAUCUGAUCCAGAUGCUUGGUGACACGAAAGUGUUCAUCAGGUAUCAGAUCUAGUUUAAGAGAGCAAAACAAACAUAGGAGUAGAAACCUACCUAUGGGCGAUUUAUGAAUUAGGACGAGUCUUAAACAUAAUGCAUCUUUUCUUUUCCAGGGCCAGAGUGGAAACCUACUGGUUAGGGUUGAGAGAGAUAGUUGUCUAUGAUCACGACAGUGGCGUAUUCAUAGUCCGUGACUCCAGUUCGAAAAGUUUAAGCUAAGAUCUUAUCAAAUUUACUCUCUAUCAAUGUUUUGAAUCGUUCGUACCCCUAAGAAAACUUCCCUGAAGCCCAACGUUCUUUCCCAUUGAUUUAAAACGAUUUUCUUUCAAGCUUUAGUUCAAUAUUGUCUUUCCUUUUUAGUUCAUUUUCAUUUAAGCAAUUAGAAUAUCCGUUUUACUCGUUUUAAUUCAUUUUCGUUAAGUUUAGUUAUUACGUCAUUUAAUUCUCGUAUUCUCUUUUAAUAUUUCGUUUUUACAUUUUAAACAAACUACCAAACCCCCACAAAACCUUUUUGGUUCUAUACUUCCUUACUUUAUACUUAUUUCAAAGGCUUUUUGCAGGAAAAGAUCAUCCUUCCCUGUGGAUUCGAUCCCUAAGUACUACAAUCGAUCGGCUGUGCACUUGCGGCUAUUGAUUUCAUUUAGGGUAAAACUUGACAACCCUCACGACACCACCACAAUCAAGUUUUUGGCACCGUUGCCGGGGAAGGCACGCGUUUUCUUUUCUGCAAAACCCCGAGAAAGGUUAGUAAAUCGACUCUAGAACCCCCUUUUCUGCAAUUUUCCAUUUUUCGCUUAUUUUGUUUCCAUUUCAGAAGAUAUGGAUCCUAUAAAUCGAAAUAUACACUAUGAGGAAGGUUUCUAUAACACUCCUCAUGCCACCAGACGCAGAGAGAAGCAAUUUCUACGCUCAGAGAAGUUCAAACCGAAGACUACAGAACCUUCCAGAAGGAGCCCUACGCACCUCAAAUGGCAAACCCUAUAUACUCUAUGUAUCGCCUACCUCACCAAGUUCUCCAGCAAGAUGAGAACGUCCAGCUCAGCAACAGACUGAGUUUGCUCAAGCAACCACUACAAUUGCUCUAAACGAAAGGAUUGAUGGGAUAUCGAAACUUUUCAAUGAAAAAAUCAAUAACCUAGCCUCACAAGUCAAUUCAAUUGAAGAACGUGCAACCAAGGACGCAGCUAUGAUUGCCAACAGGUUCAACAGCAUGGAGGAAGAGCAAGCAAAGCACAACUAUGAGCUUCGCAACACCAAAAACAAAGUCAUGGAACUGGAUUUCAAACUUGAUGACGUGGACAAAGCCCUAAACGAAGCUAAGAACGAGUCUUAUGACUUUACGGUCGAAGUUUCAGAGAAGGUGUACAAAGUCAUCGACAAAACCGAAGAGCUUGACUUAACCAUGGACAAAGUAGUCUAUGCUCUUGAUGAAAUUGAAGAAAAGGUUGAGGAGAUCAUGCAAGGACUUGGAGAUCAGAUUCCAGCAACCAAAACUAAAGACUCAAGUCCAGAGAGGAAGUACAUCAAGCCAGAAGACCCAGGAGACCAUCUAGGAAGCAAAGGAGGAAGCAACAGCAGCAGAGCAACUCGGAGGCAAAUCCCCGCGGUCGCGUUAGCUCCGACCGCGGCCAACAAGCGCUCCCCUGCAGUCAUGUUGGGUCUACCCGCGGCCGAUGGUCGCUUCCCCGCGGUCGCGUCACCUGCAGUCAUGGCCAAUCGGAAAAACGUUCAAAACAGUCCCGUUCAGCUCAUACAAGCAUCUGUGGAUCUGGUACACCUCCUGGGAUAACUAAACCACUCCAUCAACAACUGGUUUGCUCCAUAAGCACCCAAAGAUCUGAAGAAGAGGACAAGUCAUGGCCUUGCAACAUGGCUUUGUCUUGUGAAGAUGAGUAUGAAGAGCAAUACUCUGAAGAUGAAGAGUAUGGGUUGUUUGUAGAAGAUCCAAACGCAGGAUAUUCCUUAGAAGACGACUCAGGAGAAAUUCAAUGGAUCACCAACAACAUCAGUAGAGAGAAGCUAAUGGAGUUCAACAACGUAGUCAGGUCAUUCCCUGCUCAUUUAAGCUUUGAUGAAAUCUGGAAACUUGGUCGUUUGCAAGUCUUUUUCAGGUACUGCAAGGAGUCUAAAGAGGAUAUCCAUAGAUUCUUUAUGAGAGCUCGAUACAUGACAACACCAGAAGCAGCUGUCUAUGCGAUUCACCUCAAAAAUCCGGAAGACUGCAGCCACUACACCAACAAAAUCAGCAAAGAAAAGAUCGAUGAAUUUAAUGAUGUGGUUCGAAAUUUGCUUGAAGGAAUCACGUUCUAUUAGAGGAGAAAUAUUUAAAAACGUGCUAUGUGAUUCUGGAGCUUGUCUUAACAUGAUGUCCAAGGCAAUUGCUUUGAGACUUGGCAUUAAACACCUGAGCAGGACUAGAGCAAAGAUUAGCCUAACUGAUGAUUCAAAUGCAACACCUCAAGGAAUAGCUCAUGAAAUUCCUUUGAGAAUAGGAAAUUGCAUAGUGCCUGUCGAAUUCUACAUUGUCGAAACGAGAGAUGCAACAUAUCCAGUGAUUCUGGGAUGGUCUUUUCUAGCAACUUCCGGAGCUAUAAUUGACUGGCCAAACCGGAGGAUUUCAUUUGCUAAUAUUGACAAAGAUGUCUUCACAGAAGCUGUUCCAUACAACAGCAAAGCAGGAAAACGUACUGCAACAGAAGAGUUUGAAGAAGAACUUUGGAGUCACGAAGAACCUGCUAGGCAAAGCAACGAGAUGUCGAAAAAGACUUGUCUCAGGACAAGGUCUUCUUCAUUGGAAUAAGUCACGUCCAAUACCAAAAGUCGAGCUAAACGACUUAAAACAAAAGCGCUUAAUGGGAGGCAACCCAUUUAGGUAUUGUUUUCUUUGGAAUUUUUCUUUCUUUUUCUUUUGAUUUUUUUCUUUUACUUAGUUUCAGGUGUUUCUUAUAAAACAAAAAAGCCAAAAAAAUCAAAAAACCAGAAAAAACCAAAAAGAAGGAUGGUACCUGACUGCUCGGCCCAGCAGGAACCAAGGAGAAGCAGGAAGAGGCCUCGAUAUAAGCCCCCGCGGUCGCAGGUGUUUGGACCGCGGGAAACACAUGUUCGACCGCGGUCGCGUGAUCCUGAUCGCGGCCAAGCACUUGGUUGCCGCGGUCGUAUGGCCCCUGACUGCGGCACUUGGUCGUUGACACCAAACCCGACCCAAACCACCACUUUCUCCUCAUUUCACCUCACCAAUCACCCUCCACCUCAUUCAUCACUUUCCACCACCUUCAUCACCACCUAUCACCUUCCCAAACCCCUUCGAAUGAAUCCGGUUCAUCUCCACCAGCAUCCCGGAUCAAGGUAAGUUCUCUUUGUCCUUACCAAUUCGAUUAUCUAUGCAUUUUUCUCAUCCAAUCUCGACUUGUUUCACACUGAGGACAGUGUGAUUUAAGUCUGGGGGAGGAUUUCAUCCCUUUCUAACAACUUUUCUUUCAUGAGUCUUGCAUUAUCUACACUUUUUGCAUUUUCCUUAAAGUUUUUCAAAAUCGGUUUUCAAAACAAAAUACGUUUUAAAGGGAAUGGUGAACAUGAAUCAAUGAUAGUUGACUCUGUGAUUUUAGACUGUUCCUAGUGACAUGCUCAUUCAUCAUUUAUGACUAGACUAGGCGGUAGCUAAGCACAUUUGAAACGAAGUACCCUAGAGGAAUUUGAAUGAUUUCGAUUUAGAUGAAGGGAUACACUAGCUCUGUUUUAUUUGGACUUAAUUUGGACUUAAUUUUCUCAUUGAAGCAUUAGACCAGGGAAACGAAUCAUACAUUCAAGACUCCUUUAUCAUUUUACCACUCUCUGUUGAUCCUGAAUGGCUAGUUCAUAUUUAGCUAGUUCCCCACCUUAUCCAAUCCUCUUUCAAACCACAUACACUCUUGUUUUCUAUUGUAUUAUAUGCAGAUAAGUGCCAAAACGUUGGAGAGAAAGAGGAACGACACAGUUUUCAGUCACUAAGGACAGAGACCUGCGAUUUGCCGGAAAAGUUCCCGGAAGGAUUCAACACAAGAGGAAACUCAGUUUGCCUUAGAAAAAUCUCAAAUUUUGGUACAAUCACGUCCUCUAGUCUCUCUCUCUUUAAAAGGCAUUUCCUAUUCGAAAAAAAAAAAAAAAUCCGAAAAUAAGAAAAGAAAGGAGAUAAAAGCCUUAGAGAGUCUAGAGAGGUCGAAUUUUAACUCCCAAGGCAACAAGAGUUUGAUUUUAUGGAGUUUUGGAGAUUGUUUUCUGAUUCCCGGAAAGAAUCUAAGUCUGGGGGAAUAGCUGUUUACAACAAAGGAGGAAGGAUUAUGCAACAACAUUUGGCAAGAAGAAGUGACUGAAAAAUGUGGUCAUCAACAGGUCCUUAUUUCUCUUGCGGUUUUGUAUAUUAUCUUGCAUCCUCCAGAUCUUCAGGUAACCCGAAACACUUUAACUCCACCACUUAAACAGCCCUUUAAUGCCAAACGCCGUCUACCCUGGAUGAUGUCUUUAAUGAGAACUCACUAUUGAACUUAACGAAUGUAGAGAACUAGUUGACUAGAGUCCAGAGAGGUCUUGAGCACUAUAAAUACAUGUCUUAGGAACCCUAAACGAAAGAAUAUCGAACAACCUCAUAUCAUCUAUCAUUACUUCAUACUUUUAUUGUUUUUACUUUAGCUUUUAGGGAGAGAGAGAUUUGUUCUCUUGAACCCUUGUUCUUUCUUUUUCAAUUUCGGUUUCUAUUCUACUUAUUAAUACUAUGUUUUUGAUUUCGUUCAUCAUGUCUGAGUAGUUUUAUUGUUAUAAUGAAGGGAUUUUCGAUGGGGAUUUAUAUGUUCGAUGAGGAUUCCAUGAGUUUUUGAGCCGAAUCUUAGAACUUUUUCUUCUGAAUUCGUUUUUACUGCAUGAGAGUAGCGUCAUGAACUACAAUCUGAUCCAGAUGCUUGGUGACACGAAAGUGUUCAUCAGGUAUCAGAUAUAGUUUGGGAGAGCAAAACAAACAUAGGAGUGGAAACCUACCUAUGGGCGAUUUGUGAAUUAGGACGAGUCUUAAACAUAAUGCAUCUUUUCUUUUCCAGGGCCAGAGUGGAAACCUACUGGUCAGGGUUGAGAGAGAUAGUUGUCUAUGAUCACGACAGUGGCGUAUUCAUACGUCCGUGACUCCAGUUCGAAAAGGUGAAGCUAAGAUCUUAUCAAAUUUACUCUCUAGCAAUGUUUUGAAUCGUUUGUACCCCAACGCCUUCUUUCCCAUUGAUUUACACCGAUUUUCUUUCAAGCUUUAGUUCAAUAUUAUCUUUCCUUUUUAGUUCAUUUUCAUUUAAGCAAUUAGAACAUCCGUUUUACUCGUUUUUAUUCAUUUUCGUUAAGUUUAGUUAUUACGUCAUUUAAUUCCCGUAUUCUCUUUUAAUAUUUCGUUUUUACAUUUUAAACACACUACCAAACCCCCACAAAACCGUUUUGGUUCUAGGCUUCCUUACUUUAUACUUAUUUCAAAGGCUUUUUGCAGGAAAAGAUCCUCCUUCCCUGUGGAUUCGAUCCCUAAGUACUACAAUCGAUCAGCUGUGCACUUGCGGCUAUUGAUUUCAUUUAGGGUAAAACUUGACAACCCUCACGACACCACCACAAUCACAGAGCUAGAUCUACAUGAAAGCCUACUCCUGCCGCCCUAAACCCAACACUUUCUGUCAAGUUUAUUCAGAAAAAAGCCUCACAUCAUCUCUCACUAAAGUGUUUUAGGCUUCAAGGAAGGUUUGGUUCAAGGAAGGGAACUGUCUCAAGAUGAGAAAACAGAUAUUUGAGCUAGCAAAGAGUGGUAAAAAGGGAUAAGAGAGCUCUAAUAUUUUGUUAUACCCAUAAGCUCACAAUGAUAUGCACAAACAUGAUAAUUGGAUUGUCAAACUAUGGUUUUCACUUAUGAAAGGCCAGAAUUAAUCACAACUUGAUCCAACUAACACAGAAGCAUUGAGACACUAAUUCCAAGUGUGGUUCACCCCUGAUUUCAUACCAGUUUUGCAAGCAAUAGAGAAUUAAUAACUAGGGCCAUCAAUUCAAGUUCUUAAAAUGAUUCUCUCUCAAGGAAACCUAUCAUUACCCCUAUGAAAAUGAUUCAACCUACAUGAUUAGGCAACUAUACUCAAUCCUAAAAAUGUAAAUGUAACUAAAUGAACAUUUUUUGUGAUUUUUGUUUCUGAUAUUUCAAUUUUUUUUUGUUUUUCUAUGCACUUAUAUGCAGACUCAAUAUGAAAAGGAAAAUAAGAUCAAGAACAAACAUGGUUAGCAAUACUAAACUUCUCCCCCACACUUAAAUAACACAGUCCCUUGUGUUAUAAAAGCAUAAGAAAGGAGUGUAGAUCAAGCUCAAAAUGCAAAAUGAGAAAAAAAAAUGAAAUGCAAAAUGCUAUGUACAGGUUGGAGUUGUUACCUUCUCAUGGUGGGGUUGGAGACAUUCCAAGUCACACCUGGCAUGAUUUCCCCGAUGUUGAACCCGGUGUGCUGCAUCAUCUCAAGGCUGAGUUUUACACUGGGUUGCAUUUGUCUGAUGUUGUCCCAGGUGUGGAGCAGUUUUGUUUCAGGGAGAAUCUACACCGGGUUGCAUUUCCCAGGUGCUGAUCCAGGUGUGGUGCUGCACGCUCUAGGGAGAUUCUACACCGGGUUGCAUUUCCCAUGUGCUAAUCCAGGUGUGGUGCUGCACGCUCUAGGGAGAUUCUACACCGGGUUGCAUUUCCAAGGUGCUGAUCCAGGUGUGAUGUUCCCCUAAGGAAAAUUUUCCAACACCAAGGUGCAUAUGGCCAUUGGUGACCUCGAUGUGGCCUAGACCGGUUUCAACUUGGUGCAGCUUAGCUUAUCCUUCCUUUUGGCACCAUUUCUCCUUCUUUUGAAAACUCCUGAAGACCUAUAGACCUGAACACUCUCAACAAACACAAUAAGAACAUCCUAAAAAAAAUAAAAGAAAGAAAAGAAAAGAUUAAAAAGAGAUAUAUGUUGGGGUCGGUUUUCACCCCAAACAGAUAAAACCAUCUUAAAAUGGCUAAGUAUGGAAGAAAGACAAAGUAGCCGAGCCGUCCACCAAAUAUGGGCCGAGCCGUGCUCACCAGGACAAGUGGGAGAGCCGUGCUCACCAGGACAAGUGGGAGAGCCGUGCUCACCAGGACAAGUGGGAGAGCCGUGGUCACCAAGACAAGUGGGAGAGCCGUGGUCACCAAGACAAGUGGGAGAGCCGUGAAGAAAGAUAGAUGGGCCGAGCCGUAUCAUGAGAAAUGGGCCGAGCCGCACUUCAACAUGCUUGGGCCGAGCCGCGCCUCGGUGAGGUGGACCAAAUCAUGUCUCGACUCAAAUGGCAAGUGGGCCGAGCCGUGGAGAAGUUCAGAUGGGCCGAGCCGUGGAGAAGUUCAGAUGGGCUGAACCAAGGCCUUGAGAGACGAAGCCCAUAGAAACCCUAGGCGAAAUACAAAGGCGGUGAGCCGCACGAGGCGAUAAGGAAAUAUUCCAAAAAUCUCUCCCGAGAUUCUCGGCUAGGCGGUUCAGAGAAUUAGUAUAAAUAGACGAUGUAUACAAUUCAUUCUGUAACUUUUGCAACCCUAAGCAAUAAGAGCUAAAUACUUUUACAGCAUAAAAAUCUUCUUUUGAUCUUACUGUUCUUGCGAUUACCCUAGAAGUUUCAGAUCCCUUAGUUUUCCUUAAACAAAUUUCUGGUUGUGCGAGUUUUGGCUCACACAAUAUAUACAAGGAUAAGCUAGGGGUGUCUCCCAAGAGCAGUUUGUUUAAAGUCACUAAGUUGGACUUUUCAUACUCUUUUCUCAAUGGGGGAAAGGAGGAGCUUGUCUUGUACAUGAAUUCAAGCAUGAGGUCCUUGUUCAUCAGCUCCUGAACACCAUCAGAUCCUUUGUCCUUGAAAUCUGGUGUGAGGAUAGCUCUGACCUUGGCAAAUGGUCUUGAUCUUCCGUUGCCUUUAACAUUGUAUUCCACAGCUUCACCAUCAAACUUCCAAGGAGUAAGAGUUAAAACUUGGGAACAAGAGUCAAGAGUGGAUGGUUUGGUGCUUGUUGGGCUCUUAUCUUGGGAGCUUGAACUGUUGCCUUUAUUGUCACAAAUCUCUUUCCCACUUAGUGUAGGAGAUAGAGAUUCCACUCAAGCUUCAUCAUCACUAAAGAAAUCCCCUUCAAACUCAAGAUCAAGUCUUCUUAAGGAUUAUUUCUUCUUCUCAACAGAUGCAAGGGGUUGAGCUUCUUCUAUAGUCCCAAUGCUCCCCAAAUACAUUAUUUCAUAGUGUUUCAACUCAUCAGAAUCAUCGGAUAUAACUCCACAAAACCCAGGAAGAGGAAGCUUAAGAGGAUAAGAGACUUCAUCAUCUAACUUAGUAAGCACCACUCUUUAAGUAUCAAAUUCCAUCCUUGCUCCUGUGGUGUUCAGAAAAGGAGUGCCCAGCAAAAGAGGAAGCUCUUUGGUCUUCUUCAUCAUUACCACAAAAUCAGUUAAAACUAUGCAUUCACCAAUCUUUAGUGGGUAAUCUUCAAGGAUUCCAUAUGGCUUCUUUGAGGAUGAAUCUCCAAAAGUAAUUGAGAAGGGGUGAUGCUUGAGAGUCUUGAUCCCUAGUCUCCCCAACAUGUCUAAAGACAUUACACUGAUGCUUGAUCCAGAAUCACAUAAAGCAUUAUCACUUUCAAAUUUACAAGGGAGCAUGAGAUGGAGAACUUUCCUGGAUUAACUAGCUUUGGAAUAGUUUUGGGUUUCACCCUUGUUGAACCAGUGGUAGAGACUUCAUCAGAUGUCCUUCCUUGAACCAUUCUAUGAUCCUUUCCUUCAGCCAUCUCAGAUUCAUUCUUUUUCAUAUCAAAACAAGCUGCCUCCCCACCUUCUUUAUCAAUGUCCUCAUUAAGAUAACAGAACAGGAAGUCAAACUCCUCUAUGAUGGCGUCCUCCUCAUCAUACUUUGUUAGGCGUUUUGCACUUGAGAAAAAGCCAUGGAGAAGAUUCUCAAUUUCUUGGACAGCAGCAUGAUUCUCAUCAUUGGAGAGGAUUGCAUUGCAGUAUUUUGUUGGAUGUGCAACUGAUGUCCCUGUUAAAGCUUGAAAACUGCAGUGGCCCUUGUUGUUCUCUAGAGUCUUGACUUUGGAAGUCAAGGUUACAAACUGAGUAAGAAGAUCAGAAUAAGUGCAGUCUACUUUGUUGUUGAUCACUGCCAUUUUCUUGUUGAAGUCCAUGGCACCACUUUCUUGACCUUUGAGGAUUUGCUGGAGCAAGUUCUGAACUACUUGAUCUUUAUUCCCUAGGGAAAAUAAUGACAAAUGGAAGAAAUCCACAUUUUUAGCUCAGAGUCAGACCGUCAGAAUUUCAGCCUCAAAUGAAGACUUUUUCACCGUCUGAUCCCGCUCAAAUUUGGAGACAAUCAAAAGGAGACAACCAGAUUUCCAUAGCACUUUACAUCACAAAAAUCCAACGGUGCAAUCAAAUUUCCAAUAAGCUCCUAUUUGCCUAUUUCAUCAUUUUUGCACCUUCUUUCACCAUUCCUCCACCUUGUUCCAUCUUUUCCACUCCAAAUGACCUCCAAAGCACCUGAUUAACACUCCAAGUAUGCAAGACUCACUUGGACCUAAUGCAAAGUCCUAAAACUCUAAAACAAAGAUAAAACACAAUUAAUCUAUCUAAAAUGCAUGCAUAAGACUCUAUUCUUGGACCAAAAAUGCAUACUAAACAAGCAAUGAUAUGAAUAUAUCAACCCCCCCCCUCAAUUAUCCUUUGCUUGCCCUCGAGCAAACAAGAACAAAUGAGAGAGAGGUUUGGGGUUUGGGAGUUCACAUUUCUUGAAAGAGAGAGAGAGUUGAUCAGAAACAGAUUUCAAGCUCAUGGUUCUAGUUACUAGUUGUGGGAUGCAAUACAAAGAAUAUUUUGGAUGCAACAAAUUCAAACCCUUACCUAUACAAGCAUUCUUAUCCUUCAGCAUUUUGACAUUCAUUAAGUUGUAACCAUGUGUAUCUAGUGAUGGUUUUUCAAAUGAGCUUGUUUGUCUGAGGGAUAAGGUUAUGAGACAAAGAUGGUCUUAUUCAAUGCUCAGGUGGGUCUCAAGGGAUCAUUCUAAAGGAAUAAACUUUAACAAAAGGCUAAGGGUAAAAAGCAACUGAUGCAUACAAGAGUAGAAUUGUAACACCUGUGUUCGGGAAAACCUUACCAAGUGGGAAAAUUAAUUAAGGGAGUUAUGAGUUAUGUAAACCAAAAAUGAGGAAAAACCAGGAGGUUAACUGAGGAAGGUCGGAUGAGUUUGGUCGGAGGAAAUUGGGUUUGGUAGGGUGAUUCUGACUCAAGUCCAGCUUUCGCCGAGAUAAAUCGAGUUUUGCCGAUCUAAAAUCAGCUGGCCUGGAUUUUUGGGAAGUUUAGCUGGAAAUUCCGACAAGCCGAGUUUUUCGUGACUUGGUCGGAAUUCUGAAUUUCCAUCAUUUAAAAUGCAUAUUUAGGUCCAAACCAUGUUUUCUAUCAUGCAUUUUAAGUCCUUAGGUUGCAUUUUAAGGUUUAGGAACUUGCAUUAGGCCCAAGUGAGUUUUUCAUAGUUUGGAUGGUUAAAACAGGUAUUUGGAGAACAUUUGGAGUAGAGAAAGUGAUCCAGCUGAAGAAAUGGUGUUUAGAGCCCCGAGUGUUACCGGCAUCAGACUGUACCGGAGAGAAGGUUUUAUCGGCUAAAAAGCUUACCGGGAAGGUUUCCCGUCGACCAAAAUGCUUACUGCUUGUCAAGAGGUUUAUCGGGUGAAAAUCAUGUCUUGGUCGAUGCCGGUUUGGUGCCAAUGCGGUCAAAAAUGCUGAUCAGAACAUGGAGUGGUUCGGUUUCAGUACGUACCGCAGGCUACAGGAUUCUCGGCUAAACAUCACAAGCAGGUACAGGAACCUCGGGCAAAAAGCUUCCCGUGGUACAUGAAAGCUCAGCAUAAAUCUCUUGUUCCCGACACGCUUCAAAGAUCAACCAUCCGGGGAGUCUUAACGUCCGAUUCAGCUGACAGGGUCUGCAUCAAAGUGGGAGAUGAUCGGGUCACGGUUCCAUAACAGUGAAAUCAUUGGAUUUGGAGUCGUGAGCUGAGAGUAAAGCUCACCGGAAGACACACCUGUCUUGCUAUAGUUUCAAGACCGAUCAUAUAAGUCACAAAGAUUGCGUGGGACGAUGGCAUACCAGUCCGAUUCAGUUGCCAAGGCCUUCAUCAAGAUUCAAUUUCUUUGAGUUCUCUUUCCAGAACAUCUAAGACCAUCCCUUUUGGAGCUAUUUUCUGAAAGAUACCGUCCCCGGAGUAAACACUGGUCCAAGAGCUUCUUUUUGAUCGUUUCAAUGCACUUCAGAGACGAGCCGUCCGGGAAACCUUCCACUUCCCAAGCGCUAAAGGUUAAUUCAUAAAAGUUUGAGAUAUUUGAGUGCUAUUUCCACUGAAGUUGGAAUCAAGCCAUUUGAAUCCAUAUCCUGGAUGUUACGCUGCCCCGAAUGCAAAGUGGUCCGAGGAGACUUGGAUUGUGCGAGAUGGUUCUGCGACUUGGUUUACUCGCAGCACUUAGAGAUUGAAUUCUGGAAACGAGCUGCGAGUGGAGAUAUGUGGGUAAGGCAACUCUGAGCAUGGGUAAAUAUUUCCGUGCUUAGAAUAUUGAUAUGAUCGUGACCAGCUCAGAGGAGGAGGAACCAGAGGUAGCUGGCAGGAUCACUCGUUCCAGAGCUAGAGAGAUGGCUAAAGAGGCUCUCACACUCAUGGCCGCAGAGGACAUCGAUCAACUGGAGGCUGGAGUUCACAUCUUCAACAUCUCUAUCUUGAAGAAUGAAGAACCCAGUAACAAUGACUAGGUAACUUAGGUGAUGAUUCUGUACUCUUUUCCUUGGUGAGGAUUUUGGAAGGCAAGGAAGUUCUUCUCCAAGGUUUUUAACGAGGCAGAAAUCAUUGCUACGUCGAGUUACUUAGAAGUUGUUACUAAUGGGUAAUAACGUGCAAAGUCACAUUGACUUGUGCACUAGUUGUUUUAGGCGCACCACUUAGGAUUUAGAAGGGACGCCUCGCUGUUUUAUUUUUAAAUCAAACUUCGUGUUGUUUUUAUUUCAGACCUCAUGUAGUUUUGUAUUAGGGCUGCGAUUUCUCUCUAAGUCUAUUUAAGAGAGAAAAUCGCCUAAGUGUUAUUCAAUGAAGAAUUUUGAUCAAACUUUUAACGUGUUCUUCUCUCUUUGAUUUCUGAGAACUAAAAACUCUGAAAUUCGAUAUGUUUACAAGAGAUUCUUCUAUCUCUCCAUCAUCACCUAAUCGAUCAUCACACCACGUCCACCUUCUCAUCCCACCCGAUCUGCCGCAUCACACCACCAUAUCUAUCUUCACUGGUUCGAUUAUCAUAUCCCUUUCACGACACCAUCGAUCUCUCAUCGCGCCACCAUCGCUGCUUCAUCGCACCAAUAUCAUCGCAUCUGUCCCUCCAAGUCACGAUCUCGAUUCACUUGUUGCCUUAGCUUCAGAGUUGAUCACCUAGGAUCGUAUCAUGUGGUAUCAGAGCCAACUCUGAACCAAAGGCUGAGAAAUCUCUAACCCUAAUCGCGAUUUUUGAUUUGAAUUCGUGUUUUGAUUGUUAGGGCUUAGCGAGUUCUAUUUGUGUGCAUCGAUCUGUUUCCUUUUGAAUAUUGUAUCGUUAUUGCUUUGUAUCGUUAGCGAGUUCGUUUGCUAUUGUUAGGGUUAGUCAAGUUUCGCAUCGUUCGUUGUUAUUCCUGCUGUUCGAUCGUUCGUUGUUGUUCCUGCUAGUCAUCGAUCGUUUUCUAUUGUUAGGGUUAGUCGGUUUGCUAUCGUGUUUGUCUCAAGUUUGUUUGUGUCGAGUCCUAUCACAUCAUAUCGAAUUUGGUAGAUUGAGUUUAGGGCUUUGAUUGUCUCGUUCUCGUUAAACUUGAUAUUUAUUUGCUUCGUUUUCGUUUAGGUUUUGUUAAGAGAGUCCUUGUAUUUUCGUUUUUCUCGUUUAGGCUUGUUAGGAAAUCUGUUUUUGUGAUUUCGUUAAGUUUGAAUUAAAAAAAAAAAAAAAAAAUUCUUUAGUUUCGUUAAGUUUGUUUUUAGAUUUCGUGGGGAUCGUUUAAUUUUUUUUUUUAUGAUGAGUUUAGUUCUGCUGUUUUUGUGAUUCCUUCUAGAACAAGUUACUGCGAGUUUUUUUUUAAAAAUUUUUUGCAGGUACCAUGGAGCUUUCAGCUGAGGCGAUGGAAGCUCUGAACCGAGCAAUGUCUCAACAAAUUAAAGAAGUGAAUCAAGCCAUAGCAACUCAGCUCACACAACAAAUCGAACAACUCAAUGACAAGUUCGAGACGAAGUUGAAUGAUCUGCUCAAAGACCUCAGUGCAAGUGGAGAAGAGUCGUCUCAAACUCCAACUCCUUCGGAAGCAAUGCGCUUAGCAAAGGGUAAAGGGCACAUAGGAUCUUCCCGGAAACUUCCACGCCACCCAAAACCUUCCAAAGCCAGGACUAAAGCUAAGUCCAGUCGAAGCCAGAUUGGGGGCAGAGAGACUACGUUUAAUCCGAGAAGGAAUCCUACUGGUGCCGAACGAGAUGGCCCCAGAGUAGAUCGUCAGCACCGCAGAGAGGAAUAUAUUGCUGGGCAUCGAGUUACCCUGGAAUCAGACCCAGAAUACUAUGAGGAGGACGAAGCUUCUGAUCAUAGCCGAGAAACUGUGAGACGAGAUCGAGGCCGAGGACAUGGUCGAGAUGAUGAUCCUCUACGUCAGCAGCUGCGUCAUAUCAAAAUCCAGUAUCCUCCUUUCAAUAGAACCAAUGAUCCCGAAGCUUAUCUAGAUUGGGAAAGGAAGAUGGAGUCUAAUUUUCUGGUCCAAGGAACUUACGAGCUCAACAAGGUGAAGAUUGCAGUUUCAGAAUUUCAUGGGUAUGCGCUUCUAUGGUGGGAGCAGUUGGGAGUCACCAGAAAUCGCCUUAGAGAACUUCCAAUUACUACUUGGGAUCAGCUUGUUAUACAGAUGAGGAAGAGAUUCGUUCCAGCCCAUCAUCAGCGCGAAAUACUCAACAAGCUUAGGCGCCUCGUCCAAGGUACGAAAUCUGUUCGAGAUUAUUAUCAGGAAUUGCAAACUUUGCUCAUUCGUGCAGAUUUACGAGAAGGAGAAGAGAUGGUAAUGUUGAGAUUUCUUGGAGGACUUAACCGAGAAAUUCAAGACAAGGUGGAACUUCAGGAUUUUGCAGACAUACAAGAGAUGGUGCAUAAGGCUGAAUUGGUAGAAUCUCAAGUCAAGAGGCGAAAUUUCAAGUCCACAUUCACGCCUAGUGUUUUUAAGCCUAAGGAGAUCAGCAAACCAGCUUACUCCAGAGACAUCAAACCACCCUCUACUGGAAUUAAAGAAGAAGCUAAAGCUGAGUUCAAACCAAGAAGUGGUACUUCUAUCAGCAAUGUGAGGUGUUUCAAAUGUCAAGGAAUGAGACAUUACUCUCGAGAUUGUCCAAACAAGAAGGUUUUCUUGUUACAAGAGGGAGGAGAGAUAAUUCCUCAAGAGGACUCAGAGGCCGAAUAUGAAAUAGAGGAAGAGGAAGAUGCUGCUGCCGUGGGUGAGAUGCUGGUUGCCAGAAGGACUUUGAGUGUUCAGAGUCAACCUGAAGAGACUUGUCAGCGAGAGAACCUGUUUCAUACGGAUGCUUCAUUAAAGAGAAAGUUUGUAGCCUGAUCAUAGAUGGAGGAAGUUGUACUAAUGCUGCAAGCGAAGAGAUGGUUAAGAAGCUCCAGCUCAAGACUAUUCCUCAUCUAAGACCGUAUAAGUUGCAGUGGUUGAAUGACAGUGGAGCCUUGACCGUAUCUCAGCAAGUUAUGGUUUCUCUAUCUAUUGGGAAGUAUGAAGAUGAGAUUCUAUGUGACGUCAUUCCCAUGGGUUCGAGUCAUGUGUUGCUAGGCAGACCGUGGCAAUCAGAUCGUAGGGUGAUACACGACGAUUACACCAACAAGCACUCAUUCGAGUUUAAGGGUCGCAAAAUUACCCUCCUACCUCUCACACCAACCGAGAUUUACCAAGAUCAGAUCCAGAUGAAGCUCAAGGAGAAGGAGAAAGUCGCCAACAGCCUCUACAUAAACCACAGUGAAUUUUCUAAACUCUUUGAUCCUGAAAUGACUACUUUUAUGUUUGUGUACAAGGAAUCCCUUGUUAGUACUAACCCUUCACAGGAGCUUCCUAGUGCUAUGUUUGAGAUUUUGCAGGAAUACAAGGACGUGUUUCCAGUAGAAAUUCCACCAGGGCUACCUCCAAUUCGCGGGAUAGAGCAUCAGAUUGACUUGGUACCAGGAUCAGCUUUACCUAACAGGCCAGCAUACCGAACCAAUCCUGUAGAGACUAAGGAGCUGCAGAAUCAAGUGGAAGAGCUGAUGAGCAAAGGCCAUAUCCGAGAAAGCUUGAGUCCAUGUGCGGUUCCAGUUCUGUUAGUACCAAAGAAAGAUGGUUCCUGGAGGAUGUGUGUAGACUGUCGAGCUAUCAACAACAUCACUGUGAAGUAUCGACAUCCGAUUCCAAGACUAGAUGAUAUGCUGGAUGAGCUCUGUGGAUCGACAAUCUUCUCGAAGAUAGAUUUGAAGAGUGGGUAUCAUCAGAUCAGAAUGAAGGAAGGGGACGAAUGGAAGACGGCAUUCAAGACAAAGCAAGGACUCUACGAGUGGCUAGUUAUGCCGUUUGGCCUAACCAUUGCGCCCAACACCUUCAUGAGAUUAAUGAACCAUGCCCUGAGACCAUUCAUUGGCGUGUUCGUAGUGGUUUAUUUCGACGAUAUCCUCAUCUACAGUAAAGGUUUGGAAGAACAUCUAGAUCACAUCAGAUCGGUUCUUGAUGUUCUUCGCUCUCAAUCUCUCUUUGCUAAUUUAUCUAAAUGUUCAUUCUGCACAAACAAAAUUGUUUUCUUAGGCUUUGUAGUGAGUGCAGGAGGAGUUAAAGUAGAUGAAGAGAAGAUAAAAGCUAUCAAGGAGUGGCCAACCCCUAAGAAUAUUAGAGAAGUCCGAAGUUUGCAUGGUUUAGCAGGAUUCUACAGGCGUUUUGUUCGUGACUUCAGCAACACCAUAGCCGCGCCCUUAACAGAAGUAAUCAAGAAAGACGUGGGGUUCAAGUGGGGAGAGGCACAAGAACAGGCUUUUACAGCCCUUAAAGAGAAGCUUAUCAAUUCGCCCUUACUAGUACUUCCUGAUUUUACUAAGACUUUUGAGAUUGAAUGCGAUGCUUCUGGUGUAGGUAUUGGAGCAGUUCUUAUGCAGGAUAAGAAGCUCAUCGCUUACUUCAGCGAAAAGUUAGGAGGAUCAACGCUGAAUUAUCCCAUGUAUGAUAAGGAGUUAUACGCAUUGGUUCGAGCUCUCCAGACGUGGCAGCAUUACCUAUGGCCUCAGGAAUUCGUCAUUCAUACCGAUCACGAGUCUCUAAAGCACCUCAAGGGUCAGCAGAAGCUUAACAAAAGACAUGGGCGAUGGAUGGAGUUCAUUGAGACAUUCCCCUACAUUGUUAAGUACAAAAAAGAUAAAGAUAAUGUGGUCGCAGACGCAUUAUCCCGGAGGUACACUCUUAUUUCGACUUUAACAUCAAAGUUGAUUGGAUUUGAGCAUAUUAUAGAUCUUUAUGAAUCUGAUACUGACUUUUCUGAGAGCUAUGCCAAAUGUCAUAAGUUUGCCUGUGAGAAAUUUUAUAGACAGGAUGGAUACUUGUUCUUCAGUAACCGAUUGUGCAUACCACGAGGAUCCAUUCGAGAGUUACUGGUACAAGAAGCUCAUGGAGGUGGAUUAGCAGGACAUUUCGGUGUCACAAAGACACUUCUUGGGCUACAAGAGCACUUCUACUGGCCGAACAUGAAGAAAGACGUUGAGAAAAUCUGUUCUAGAUGUGUCGUAUGUAAGAUGGCUAAGAGUAAAGUUCAACCUCAGGGUCUGUAUACUCCUUUGUCUAUUCCAUCUCAACCUUGGACUAAUAUCGCUAUGGAUUUUGUAGUUGGCUUACCGAGGACCAGAAAUGGUAGAGAUUCUAUUUUUGUAGUUGUUGACAGGUUUAGCAAGAUGGCUCACUUCAUCGCUAGCCACAAGACAGAUGAUGCUGUGAAUGUAGCUAAGUUGUUUUUCAGGGAAGUAGUAAGACUGCAUGGAAUGCCACAGGUUAUCGUUUCAGAUCGAGACACGAAGUUCUUAGGACAUUUUUGGUGAACGCUUUGGGCUAAGCUGGGAACAAAGCUCUCAUUCUCAACUACAUGUCAUCCUCAGACCGAUGGACAGACGAGGUGGUGAAUAGAACGUUGUCCACACUUCUAAGGACUUUGGUGAAAAGUAACCUCAAGACUUGGGAAGAGUAUCUGCCUCAUGUCGAGUUUGCUUACAAUCACGCUAAGCAUUCCGCUACUCUCUUUUCUCCUUUUGAAAUUGUAUAUGGGUUUAAUCCACAAUCACCUCUAGACUUGAUCCCUUUGCCUUUAAGUGGAAAAUGCAGUUUGAAUAGCAAGGAGAAAGCUGAACAGGUCCGAAGAAUACAUGCUAAGGCUAAGGAGAACAUCGAGAAGAAAACAAAGCAAUAUGAGAAGCAUGCCAACAAAGGACGAAAGGAGCUGAUUUUCGAAGAAGGAGAUCUGGUGUGGAUCCAUCUGAGGAAGGAGCGAUUUCCAGCUGAGCGAAAGAACAAGCUAAUGCCCAGAGUUGAUGGACCAUCCGCAGUCAUUAAAAGAAUCAACAAUAAUGCCUAUCAGAUUGAUCUUCAAGGUAAGUAUGAUGUUUCUGAUGCUUUCAAUGUUUCUGACUUGCUUCCUUAUGUUGCAGAUUCCGAUAUGAGGACAAAUCCUUUUCAAGAGGGAGAGGAUGAUAUGAUCGUGACCAGCUCAGAGGAGGAGGAACCACAGGUAACUGGCAGGAUCACUCGUUCCAGAGCUAGAGAGAUUGCUAAGGAGGCUCUCACACUCAUGGGCGCAGAGGACAUCGAUCAACUGGAGGCUGGAGUUCACAUCUUCAACAUCUCUAUCUUGAAGAAUGAAGAACCCAGUAACAAUGACUAGGUAACUUAGGUGAUGAUUCUGUACACUUUUCCUUGGUGAGGAUUUUGGAAGGCAAGGAGGUUCUUCUCCAAGGUUUUUAACGAGGCAGAAAUCAUUGCUACGUUGAUAACUAAGAGUUUUCAGGCUCUUAGGAGGGUUAUCAAUCCCCUUGUCAAAGUAGUAUAAGGGGUGUCAAACCAAGCUUGUAAACGAGACACUAGCCUAUGUCAUUUGUUCUCUUAAGUCAAGACAAGAAGAUAAAAGUUUGGUGACGAUGAUUAACAGGCAGAUAAGCAAUAAAAUUAAAUAAAAGCAGAGAUUUAAACUAAUCAAGAUGCAAACAAAAAACAGGUGACUCAGAUGAUGAUAAUAUGCGAUAAGGGAAGAGACUCUAGACAAGAUAAUCGACUCGGGUGCUUCCAAGCUAAACUAAUGGGUUAAUGAAUUAUUUUGUCAAGCGAUUUCAUUUAACUUUGAACUCAAGGCAUGUUAAUCUUCUCAUGAAAGUAUCAAACAUCUAAACUGAUCCUCCUUCAUACCAAAAUGUCUUUUUAGAAGCACGAAUCAAUCAGCAAUAAGAUUCAAUUCAAAUAUGUCAUUUAAGAGAACAAACUAUCACUCUCGCGAUGAAAGACUCUUAAACCUUUAACCGAGUGGUUCAGACAUUUCUACAAACACUUUUGAUGCGAGAUAUGCCUCAGAUCUGAACCUCAAGUGACAUGCUUGGAUCCAGCCUAGAGAUCUCGUCGGUUAAAGAAUGAAACAUGCAAGACUAGACACCUAAACCCACUAACCUAUCUUGAAAGCACCCUAAUCUACUUAUCUAAAGCCGCUUAAACGACUACUCACUGAUCAUAACGAGCUCACUAAGUCCUUUGCAAGACGUGUAGCUGGUCAUGAUUAGGAGUUUAAUGCUGAUAAUAAAAGAAGAAUAAAGAAAGAACAAGAUUCAGAUGCAAAAACGAGAUAUCGGAUUAGAUUAAUAUGGUUUCACAAAAGAGGUAAGUUCUUAAACGUAAAUGGAGAUAAAAGAUAUGAUGAUUAGGUUUUUGGUCAUAAAAUGUAUUUAUAGUAAAGGGAAAGUGUCGCGGGUCAGCCCGGAACAAACCGGGUACUGAACCGCUUCUUUGGGUUGAUGGGUGAGUGCCACGGUGUGUCGGAAAGUGAAGCCGAGGUCUUCAUGCCGAGGUGUGCACGUGAGUCAGGAUCCAGAUGAAGAUCUCGUGAAGAACAUGUCAAGAACAUGCAUGAACCCUAGUCUUUGAUCCAUCCUCACGUGUGUGUUCUUGAGCCAUUCUGUUCUUGAUUCUAAGUUCGUGACAAGGGACCUCGGGAUUAAAUGUCGAGGGGUCAUGAUGUCGAGGUGCUUGGGAGAACACAGUCCGGCAUGCACGCCGAGGUCAUUACACCGAGGUGUACUUUCAACACUUAGUCGUUUCCAGCUUCAGUUCCUACGUAUGCAUGCCUCGAUCAAAUCAUGCCAAGGCUUUGGCACGAGGUCUAGUCCAGAAUACUUCCAAGAUAUGAGCCUCGACUUGAGUGAUGCUAAGGUAAAGAUACUGAGGCUUGUGAAAACACUUAGCGCGUAUCGCAACUCAUUUAGGCUUGUAUCGACCAUGUCACCUUCCGGAAGCAGUAACUUUCAGCACACGACUCCAAUUGCUCUGGAACCAGUUUCACAGUCAAGAUGACUCAAUAAGCUCAAACUUUGGUGAAGGGACCGUUGGAGCUUGGGAAGUGGAAGGCUUCCUGGAUUUCACAUCUUUGCACCGCAUCGGAUUCACCGGAAAAUAAGCUUUUGAACCAAUGUGAACUCCGGACCUUACUUUUGAACCACUGCUCCGAACUGAGCGAUUCUAACUGUUCUGAGAAGGCACUUCAUAGAUCUCAAACUUUGAUGAAGACAGGGCAGGCUAGUUUGGUCCGGAAAGGCUUCGUCCGCCGUGAUCUUUGGAAUCCGCCGUUCCGUUCUCGGAUGCGCGUAAUGCUGGUGCAUCUUUCGGAAGCUGUAUCUUUCUCCUAACUGGUCCGAAUUGGAUGACUGUAACUGCUAUAAAAUCUUUGCUUGAUUUUCUCCAACUUUGAUGAAGACCCCGCCAACUGAUUCGGACCGGAAGGUUCCCCGGAUUGCUGAUAUCUGAAUUGCGCGGGCAAGGACAACUUUUGGUCGUAAAAACCUUCCCGCGGUAAGGAAAAUGGCCGAGGGCUGUGUACCGCGGUAAGCUUUUUGGUCGUAAAAAUCCUUGCCUCAGUCAAAAACUUGUCCCGUGGUAUUUUUGCACUCGAUACUUGAUUCUGGCCGAUCGGUAAGGUUUUUGGCCGGUAAUGAGCAUCCGGUAAACAUUUUGGCCGAGGUUUCCGAGCAGCCGGUACGAGAUUUGGCCGAGAAAUUCCUCCAAGCGGUUUCACCAUUUUUGACCCUUUUCUUCACCGUUUUAUUUUCUGUUCCUCUUCUUAGGCUCCAAUUGGUCUCCAAAGCUCCUGAUAAAGACUUCAUAACAUGCAAAACUCUUUGGGACCUAAUGCAAGCCCUAAGUCCUAUUUUGACGCCUAAAGACUCAAUUUACAUGAGAAAACACAUGAUGAGGAUUCUAUAAUGCGAUCUAAAUGAUGUAAAAUAUAGACAUAUCAUAUGUCGAGUUACUUAGAAGUUGUUACUAAUGGGUAAUAACGUGCAAAGUCACAUUGACUUGUGCACUAGUUGUUUUAGGCGCACCACUUAGGAUUUAGAAGGGACGCCUCGCUGUUUUAUUUUUAAAUCAAACUUCGUGUUGUUUUUAUUUCAGACCUCAUGUAGUUUUGUAUUAGGGCUGCAAUUUCUCUCUAAGUCUAUUUAAGAGAGAAAAUCGCCUAAGUGUUAUUCAGUGAAGAAUUUUGAUCAAACAUUUAACGUGUUCUUCUCUCUUUGAUUUCUGAGAACUAAAAACUCUGAAAUUCGAAUCUCUUAAAAACUAAUAUAUUUACAAGAGAUUCUUCUAUCUCUCCAUCAUCACCUAAUCGAUCAUCACACCACGUCCACCUUCUCAUCUCACUCGAUCCGCCGCAUCACACCACCAUCUCUAUCUUCACUGGUUCAAUUAUCAUAUCCCUUUCACGACACCAUCGAUCUCUCAUCGCGCCACCAUCGCUGCUUCAUCGCACCAAUAUCAUUGCAUCUGUCCCUCUAAGUCACGAUCUCGAUUCACUUGUUGCCUUAGCUUCAGAGUUGAUCACCUAGGAUCGUAUCAAAUAUGCUAAGACAAGCUGUGCGACUUGGACAUGCAUGUUGGCCGAGAUGAAACCGUGUAGCACAUGUGUUCGUGGAUCAGACCGAGUUGGGCCUGAAACUUGGAAGUGAAGGAGACCAACUCGCACACAUACUUCAAGACCUGUGCUAUAUGGGUGUGCGAGUUAGAGAGCAAAAGAACCUGAACCGCACAUAUGUUCGUGCUUUACACCGAGAAGGAGAUGCGACUCAGUCUACAAGAUUUUAUCUCGCAAGAUCAUUCACCCAGAAUUGUGCGAGUUGGGUGUGCGAAUUUGAACUGAACAAGACCAACUCGCACACAUAUCUUCUCCAGAUCGCGUCUUGGUUGUGCGAGUUGAAGAGGAGAAGACCUGAACAGCACAUAUGUUCACAGAACAGACCAAGAUAAGCAUGCGGCUGAAGCUGAAGAAGUUUAGACGCACAAGACUAGUUUCAUGGCUGUGCGACUCAGGCCUGCGAGAUGGGAAACACUUGACCAAGUCGCACACUUAGCACAUUGACUCAGUACCCAGUUUGUCCUGGGUUGACCCGGUCCGAGCUACUAAGUAUAAAUAUGUUUUAGGGUUUUUACCAAGACCCAAGCUUUAUUCUCUCUAAUUGUUUUGCCUCUUUUGUGAAAAGACUCCCCUUUGUAAGAGAUAUCUACUUUUGUGAGUCUUAAUCAAGAGAAAGCAAGGAUCUUUUGUGUUUAAAGCUACAAUCUAUCAUUAUCUAUCUUUUCCAUCUUCAUUUUCCAUCAUUAAUCAUGCCAAUCUACUAUACUUGCAAAGGUUUAAGAGAGAUUAGUAUGAUUAGUGAGUAGUUUGCUUAAUGAGGUUCUAGAUAUGUAGGUUAGGGUGCUAAAGUGCUAUAUUAGGACUGCUUAGGGCUAGAUCCAUGUUUUCAUCUCUCUAAAUAGCUGAUCUCUAUGAUAGAUCCUUACAAAGCACUUGUGAUCUAGAAUCUGGAUUUUCAUGUACCAAAACUGUUUGUUGAAAUUCCUGAAAGAGCUAUAUUAGAGUUUUAUGCAUUAAUGCCAUGAUUGUAAUGCCCUAACCGUGAGCUAAGACGGCCGAAAAUCAAAGUCACGGUCUGGACUAAGGGAUGGCUUGAGAUGAGAAUGGGGACCAAGAGAGGCAUUUGUGUCGAGACAUAAUUGGGUUUGGCCGCACAGUUCAAGUUUUAGCCGAGGAAGCUGAAUUCUGGUCGGGAAAAAGGGGUUAAGGCGGGAUGGAAACCGCACAACCAAGGGACAUGAUGGCACGGAUCCCAAGGAUAUUGGCAGACAAGACUUGGUGUGCAUGUCAGCUAUAUAGGGGGCAGCCAGCCACCAAUGUCAGCAGUAGUGCGGGCUAUAGAUCGGACUAGACUGGACUGGCUAGAGAGGGGACAGCAAGCCACCGACAUCAGACCUAGCGUGGGCUAGUGGUCGUACCAGUCAGGGACAGGACAGCGCUGCUGCCAGAAUGGACCAAUCCAGGCCAGUUAGGUGUCAAAACCCACUAAGCCUUAGUUUUCCCUAUAAAUACCCGUACCAUUCAGCCAUUUUCUCACUUCUGUUCUAAGCUUUAGAGAGAAAGUUAUAGAGAGAUAGUUAGUGAGAAAUAAAGUGGUGAAAGGAGCGCGGAGGCGUUUUCCGGCGAGGUGUAUCGCAGGAACAUGAUCGAUCGGUAAGCUUUAGAUUUCGGUUAUAAAUCUAAAUUACCUUAGGCUCGACUUUUACUUAGACAAUGUCUAUAGAUCCAACGGAAGUCUCGAAGGAGCGAGCAGGGGAUCUAGAGUGUUGGUCCAAGAAAGGUGAGUUCCAAACUUAGGGAUGGUGCUGGGGUUAACAUGAUGGGUUUGGAUUCAGGGUUUGGAUUCAGGGUUUAGGGUUUAGGGUUUAGGAUUGAAUGAUGUUAACCAAAUAUCCUGUCUAACUCGGUCUUAAUCUCAGCCAAGAGUAACUCAUUCUGCCUUACUAUCCAACUUUUAAGCUUUGAAAUCUGUCCACUUUCUACGCUUUCAUCUUCAGAGGAGUUUUUGCCAUUGGCUCUUUUUCCUUUAAGGUUUAUGUUUUUCCGUUUAAAGUGUUUUCUGUUUUUUCUUUGGUUGUGUGGAUGGCUCCGCUUGAAGUGUUUUCUGCACCAGCCAAUAAAAGGAAAAAGAGGGGAAAGAAAGGAUCUAAGCCUGCGGGAAAUGAUCAAGAAAGUGAAACAACAACGUGUUAUAUCUGGGAGAAAGAAGGGCACUUCGCAAAGUCUUGUUCUAUGAGGGGGACAGAAGGAGAACAGGUCAAGGUGAAGUGUUUCACGUGUUUAGAAAGAGGUCAUUACUCCACUACUUGUCCUGAGAAAAUGGAAGAACCGUUUAAUGCCACAGCGACGCAACCUGCAAAACAAGCAACUGAACCCUCGAUCAAGAAGCAAGCAGCCACGAGAAAAGCAUUCGCAAUAGAAUUAGAAUUUCCGAAACCUUCAGGCUCUGGGAAGAGUCCCAUUGCAAGUACGCUUGGGUUCUAACUCUCUUUUGCAUGGAAAUUAAAUGUACCUUGGUUGCGUGUUUAAUUUGGUUGCUUGGUGAAAUAUAUUCUGGUUUGAAUAUACUGUGUGGAUAAGAACACUACGUGUUGGUGGUAACCCCACACAUGUUUUGUUCGACUCGGGAACAUUGCAUAGUUUUGGGAUUCCUGAGGUAGCGUCAAGGAUUGACAAAUGGGAAAAGUCGAGGGAGGUUAGGAUCUCUGUAUUAACCCGAGGAUAUAAAACAUUAGUGGCCUCGCAGGAGAUGAUAGGUGUACCUAUACAGGUCCGAGAGAAAACCUUUUUAGCAUACUUUUUAGUAGCACCUACUAGUCAAUUUGAGGUAAUCCUGGGGAUGGAUUGGCUGUCUAGACAUCGAGUGCAUCUAGACUGUGGUCGAGGGAAUAUCAUCUUCGAGGAAGGCCAACCAUCAAAGAUUACUUAUCAGGGCAUCAGGCUAGAGACAGUGACCUCAUCGAUAGCAGCGGUUUGAGCGGUGAAAGAACUAGAAGCUGGGGAACCUUACUUAGUUGCUAUCAGUGUUGUAGAGGAAGAGAAGGAUAAGGAGUUAUCCGUGGAAGAUAUUCCUGUGGUGGGGGAAUAUGAGGACGUGUUUAAAUCACUGACGGAGUUCCCUCCCCCUAGGAGCAAUCCGUUCACGAUUAAUUUGGAACCAGGAGCGGCUCCAAUUGCGAAGACUCCUUAUUGGAUGGCACCAGCGGAGCUAGCAGAUGGCACAGUUGAAGGACCUUUUGGAUAAAGGCUUCAUCCGACCUAGUUCAUCGCCUUGAGGAGCUCCAGUGCUAUUUGUGAAGAAGAAAGAUGGAAGCAUGCGACUUUGAAUCGAUUAUCGAGGGAUCAACAACGUCACGAUCAAGGACAAGAAUCCACUUCCGAGGAUUGAUGAAUUGUUGGAUCAGUUGUAAGGAGCAAGCUGGUUCUCUAAGAUAGAUCUGGCAUCAGGGUAUCACCAGAUUCCAAUCUUAUAGAGGGACUUAAUGAAAACGGCGUUCAACACUCGGUACGGGCAGUACGAGUUUGUGGUGAUGCUUUUUGGGCUAACCAAAUGCGCCAGCGGUCUUCCUGAGAUUGAUGAACGAGGUGUUUCACAACUAUUUGAAUAGUUUCGUGAUCGUGUUUAUCGAUGACAUCUUAAUCUACUCAAAAACUAAGGAGGAGCAUGGCGAGCACCUGAGGAAGGUCCUGGAGAGAUUAAGAGAGAGGAAGCUGUAUGCUAAGUUUAGCAAAUGCAGAUUUUGGAAAAGGGAGAUAGGAUUCCUCAGACACCGGGUGUCAGAACAAGGGGUGUAAGCAGAUCUAGAGAAGAUUACAGUUGUCAAGGAGAUGCCUCGACCCACAACUUUAACAGAAGUGAGAAGUUUUCUAGGUUUGGCGAGAUACUAUCAGAAGUUUGCCGAGCUAAAAUCAGCUGGCCGGGAUUUUUGGGAAGUUUAGCUAGAAAUUCCAACAAGCCGAGUUUUUCGUGACUUGGUUGGAAUUCGGACAAGAUUUGUCGGGAGCUGAUAUGUUCAUAAUUUGCAUCAUUUAGAAUGUAUAUUUAGGUCCAAACCAUGUUGUAUAUUAUGCAUUUUAAGUCCUUAGGUUGCAUUUUAAGGUUUAGGAACUUGUAUUAGGUCCAAGUGAGUUUUGCAUAGUUUGGAUGGUUAAAACAGGUAUUUAGAGAACAUUUGGAGUGGAGAAAGUGAUCCAGCUGAAGAAAUGGUGUUUAGAGCCUUGAAAAAGGUAAAAAUGGCUUCUAGGGUGUUAUCGGCAUCAGACUGUACCGGAGAGAAGGUUUUAUCCGCUAAAAAGCUUACCCGGAAGGUUUCCCGUUGACCAAAAUGCUUACUGCUGGUCAAGAGGUUUAUCGGGUGAAAAUCAUGUCUUGGUCGAAGCCGGUUUGGUGCCAAUGCGGUCAAAAAUGCUGAUCAGUACAUGGAGUGGUUCGGUUUCAGUACGUACCGCAGGCUACAAGAUUAUCGGCUAAAAAUCACAAGCAGGUAGAGGAACCUCGGCCAAAAAGCUUCCCGUCGUACAUGAAGGCUCAGCAUAAAUCUCUUGUAAAGAUCAACCAUCUGGGUAGUCUUAACGUCCGAUUCAGCUGACAGGGUCUGCAUCAAAGUUGGAAUUGAUCGGGUCACGGUUCUAGAACAGUGAAAUCAUUGGAGUUGGAGUCGUGAGCUGAGAGUUAAGCUCACCGGAAGACACACCUGUCUCGCUAUAGUUUUAAGACCAAUCAUAUAAGUCACAAAGAUUGCGUGGGACGAUGGCUUUCCAGUCCGAUUCAGUUGCCAAUGCCUUCAUCAAGAUUCAAUUUCUUUAAGUUCUCUUUCCAGAACAUGUAAGACCAUCCAUUUUGGAGGUAUUUUCUGAAAGAUACCGUCCCCGGAGUAAACACUGGUCCAAGAGCUUCUUUUUGAUCGUUUCAAUGCACUUCAGAGACGAGCCGUCCGGGAAACCUUCCACUUCCCAAGCGCUAAAGGUUUAUUCAUAAAAGUUUGAGAUAUUUGAGUGCUAUUUCCACUGAAGUUGGAAUCAAGCCAUUUGAAUCCAUAUCCUGGAUGUUACGCUGCCCCGAAUGCAAAGUGGUCCGAGGAGACUUGGAUUGUGCGAGAUGGUUCUGCGACUUGGUUUACUCGCAGCACUUAGAGAUUGAAUUCUGGAAACGAGCUGCGAGUGGAGAUAUGUGGGUAAGGCAACUCUGAGCAUGGGUAAAUAUUUCCGAGCUGAGAAUAUGCUAAGUCCACAAGCUGUGCGACUUGGACAUGCAGGUUGGCCGAGAUGAAUACGAGUAGCACAUGUGUUCGUGGAUAAAACCGAGUUGGGCCUGCAACUUGGAAGUGAAGGAGACCAACUCGCACACAUACUUCAAUACCUGUGCUAUAUGGGUGUGCGAGUUAGAGAGCAAAAGAACCUGAACCGCACAUAUGUUCGUGCUUUACACCGAGAAGGAGAUGCGGCUCAGUCUACAAGAUUUUAUCUCGCAAGAUCAUUCUCCCAGACUUGUGCGAGUUAGGUGUGCGAAUUUGAACUGAACAAGACCAACUCGCACACAUAUCUUCUCCAGAUCGCGUCUUGGUUGUGCGAGUUGAAGAGGAGAAGACCUGAACAGCACAUAUGUUCACAGAACAGACCAAGAUAAGCAUGCGGCUGAAGCUGAAGAAGUUUAGGCGCACAAGACUAGUUUCAUGGCUGUGCGACUCAGGCCUGCGAGAUGGGAAACACUUGACCAAGUCGCACACUUAGCACAUUGACUCAGUACCCAGUUUGUCCUGGGUUGACCCGGUCCGAGCUACUAAGUAUAAAUAUGUUUUAGGGUUUUUACCAAGACCCAAGCUUUAUUCUCUCUAAUUGCUUUGCCUCUUUUGUGAAAAGACUCUGCUUUGUCAGAGAUAUCUACUUUUGUGAGUCUUAAUCAAGAGAAAUCAAGGAUCUUUUGUGUUUAAAGCUACAAUCCAUCAUUAUCUAUCUUUUCCAGGAGACUAGGUCGCAGCAAAAGAGGAAUGGCCGAGACAUCUUAAGUCCAAAUACCUGCGACCUAGUCAUGCUACCUGGGAACAAAGAAGCUAGGCCGCACGUAUGUUCGCAUUUUACUCCAAGUUGGGCAUGCUAGCUGGGAAGCAUGAAGACCAGGUCCCAGCAGGAAAAGAAAGGCCAAAUUGUUUAAGUCCAAAAACCUGCGACCUAGUCAUGCUACCUGGGAACAAAGGAGUCUAACCCGCACACAUGUUCGUAAAUUACUCCGAGUUGGGCAUGCUAGCUGGGAAGCAAGGGUUCCAGGCAGCAGCAAUGAGGAAAGAUAAAACCGAGCUGAAGGAAUUUUACUGCAACUUAGUCAUGCGGGGUAGGCACAAAAGAUCCCAGGUAGCACAAAAACAUUUCCGGUUCUACACCGAGACGGUCAUGCGGCUCGAUCCCGACGGUUUCUGGUCGCACAAAGGAGAGAAAGGAGGCCGGUCAACGAGAAAAGGACGGGUCAAAGCCUUGACUGGUCAAAAUAGAUCUAUUGACCACCAGUCCAAAGGCUUGACCCUGUCCCACACUCUCUCUUCCUCACCAUAAACCCGACUUUGCAACUCUUUCUCUCAUUUCUCUCCAUUGUUUUCAUCAUAUCUCUCUCAUUUCUCCACCAAAUUUGUUGAUUCAAAGUGCUCUGAACUCGUUUUUGAGUUGUUAACAUCAUCCUGAUUGCAUUUCGAGCUCGUUGCAUCUUAAUCCCAAGGUAUUUCAUUCUGUUAAAAUUCACCUUUUUCCAUGUUCUUCAAUGGUGAUUUUUGAACUUGAAGGUGUGGAAUUGAUUUUGAUAGGUUUUUUUAGACCUUGGGAUUAUUUUUAUAAAUGCUAGGGUGCUAGAUAGUCUUGGAAAACAGAGCAAUUUGUUGGUAAUUCCUUGUUCUUGAGUUUUGAAAAUUGUUGCAAGAAAUUCAUGAGAAAAAUCAAUUUUUUUUUAAAAAAAGAAAUGAAUUAGUUUCUUGCUGAGUCCUUGCUUUGCACUCUUGUUUUUGCAUUGCUAUGAACUUAUUGGAUUGAUGCUUGGCUUGAGAAACCUGUUCAUGUGGUUUUAAAAUCGAUUCUUGCAAAUUUUGUGAAGCUUGUUCUUGUUCUAACAUUGUUUUUGAGAAUCUCUUGGCAGAUGACUGAAAGAACCAACUCUCUGGCCAAGAAGAAGGGCACUGCAUCCAAGGGCAAGGGUUUGGUCUCAGGGUCUUCACAGCCAAGAGAAAAAGGCCAAGGAGCAAAGAAUACCACAAAGCAAGGAAAAUGUGAUCCAGCGCCAAAAAGGACAAGGCAUGAAGGGAAAGCUUUGGUGGUUGCUUCUGGUUCCAAGAAGAAAAGGAAACAGUUGGCUGUGGUAUCUAAGGGUGAACAGACUGAAAGUGCCUCAAGCAGCUCAGCUGGUGGUUCACAAGGCACCAUUGAAGAAGGAUUAAAGAGGUUCAAGAAAACUGAACCAGAAACACUUGAUUAUCUGGCUAAGUUUCAACAGAUAGAGAUCCAGCAAGGGAGGUUCCCUGAUGUGGACUUUCUGAAGAAGAUUGGCAUCUAUGAAGAUGUCAAAACUUUGCUUGGGAACAUGGGUGUUGAGUCACUUUUGGAGAUGAGAGAGAUCACUUAUGAAGAGGAGUCUCAAGAGUUCUUGGCUUCCUUUGAAGCUUUCAUUUACUACCCAAGGGAUUCAAGAAUUAUUCAAGGAGAUGGGCUUGGACAUGUGGAGUUAACUGUGAAAGGGAAGGACUAUUCAGUGUCAUUCAGAGAAUUGAAUGAGAUUUUUUGGUUUUCCACACCUAGAAAAGCUCUUCUCUCCAACCAGGUCAAUCUCAGAAAAGAUGAAGUUCAACUUCUAUGGAGAUCAAUUGCUUCUGGGAAGUACACAGCUGGAACAGCUAAGUCCUCUUGGAUAAGGAAUCCAGUUCUGAGAUAUGUACACAAGAUUCUGUCUCACAGCUUCUACUUCAAGAUUGAUGUUGGAAGAGUUCACAAAGGCGAUCUGAUGCUCCUUGGUGUGGGGCUUAAACAGCUGAUGCCAACUCAUGAAGAUGGGAAACCCUAUGAAGGGUAUGAAUACCCACUUUGCCUUGCCUCUGAAUUAGCAAGGUCUUUGAUGUUCUACAAAAAGUGCAUGUGGGGUUCUACAAAGCAAGAUGCAAAGCUGACCCAUGGAUGGGUAGUAACAAAGAUCUUGAAGGCCAAGGGGUACAGAUUCAAGGAGAACAAGGCAAGGUUUGAUCUGAUUAAUGAAGCCCAUUUGUGUAAGAUCGGUUUCCUUCAAGGAAGAGUGGGUACCAAGGUAGUAUACAACUUCAAGACUCUCAUCAGUGAGCCAGCACAAACUCUCCUGCCCAAUCCCUCCAUCACCACAGUCCAAGUUAAGAGGAACAUUCACUUCUUCUUGCUGAAGGAAGAGCUGUACAAUGUCCAAACUGAUCCACAAAUCCUCACAUACAAGCAAGCUUGCAGAGAAGAAGCUUCCAAGGGAAAGAGAGCAACCGCUGAAGAUGCUACCACAAGUGCUGCUGGUGCUCAAGAUGCUGAUCUGCCUCCACCUCAAAAAUGUUUUGGUGGAAACAGAUACCACUUUGAAUAUUACAACUGGGAGGAACCAGGCACUUCAGGGUUUAGAGCUCAACAAAAGAUUGGUAUUCUCCAACAAUGGUGCAAGUACCAAGACAAAACCAUCCACAAGAUGGCCAAGUGCAUCAAGGAGAUGAAGAAUAGGAUCAAGAAGCUUGAAAACCCUUGCAAAGGUGGGGCUCCAGCACCAGUUUCACCAAGGAACAGAGAGGAAAUUGGAGAGAGUUCCAUGAACUGCACAGCCCUGGUCACAUAUGGCACAACUUGGGUGGAUCUUGACGACGGGUCUGAUGAGGCAAGCCAUCACUCUUGGGAGACACCAUCCGGUCACACUUCAAACCCCUCUUACUCAUUGGGGUCUGACUUCAACAGCUCUUAGGUAACACUCUAAACCUUGUAAAUAUGCAUGUAGAUUUUCUUUUUCUUUUUGCAUUUUACUUGUUUGUUUUGUUUUCACUCCUUUCUCAUGUUUUUUAUAACACAAGGGACUGUGUUAUUUAAGUGUGGGGGAGGAGUUUCAUCUUUUAUUAACCAUGUUUUCUCUGUUCUUAUUUUACACUUUGAGUCUUGAGUCACAUUCUAGUUGCAUAUUCAUGUAGUCUCAUCUAAGUGCAUAUAAAAAAACCAAAAAAAAUGGAAAAACCUGAAAACUUUUCACAAAAAAAAAUGAUCAUGUAGUUGCAUUCUCAUUUUUAGGAUUGAAUCUAGAUUGCAUGUUCAUGUAGGUUGCAUCUUGCAGGGAGUAAUGAUAGGUUUUCUAGAGAGUAGAUCACUUUGAGAACUUGAACUGAAUAUGCUUGUGAAUCUUUUUCUGUGCUUGCAAAGUUUGAAAUGAUCUGAAUCUGAGAAGCAAGUUUGAAUUGAACUCAACUCUAAUUAAGUGUGAACCUUGAACUUGACUUGAAAAUAUCUUGUGAUGCAUUGUUUGAAAAUGCUUGUGGAUACCGAUAUACAUACUUGAGCUAGAACCAUUGUUUUUACCACCCUUUUUCCUUAGCUCAAGUAGCUGAAUCCGCAUCAUGGAUCAGUUCCCUCACCUUGAACCCAUCCUUAUUUCAAGCCAAUGUUUGUGUGUGAAUUGAAAGGCCACCUUGGAUCAAACUUAGCAGAAAGUGUUAGGUUUAGAGCGACAAGGGCAGGUCUCAUUGAGUGCUGUGUUCCAACAUCAAGGAACUGAGAGUUUUGGCGAGGAAUAAGUGUGGGGGAAAAGACUUGUUGGUGAGUGGAAAAAGGUGAGAUAAGUGGAAAAGAGAAAGUGGAAAUAGCUAGGGGAAUGAAAGAAAAAAGAAAUCAGUCUUGGAGUUUUGAGUUAAAGAAAGUGAGCUCUGGUGUGUUAAAAAGAAAGAGUCUAGCCUCUAAGUAAAAGGAAAAGAAAAGAAGCCAAAGAGCUCAAAUGUUUUGAAAAGAAAGAAAAAAGGAGGCUAGAGGUUGCAAAAGAAAAAGAGCUGUGUAAAGUUUGAACUCCAAGACUUGAGAGUGAAAGUGAAAAGUAAGUCCCCUAGUGAGAGGAAGAUAAGUGUGAAAAGUGAGGUUCUUAAGAGAGUGAGCAAGUGAGAAAGCUUUGAGUAGACGGUGGGGUGUGAUGAGUCUUUGCCCUUGUAUGCAUAGGUUGCUUUUUACCUUUAGCAUUCUGCCAAAGUUUGAUCAUUCACAGAGAGAUCCCUUUGCUGCAUUAAACCCACUUGAACACUAAUGAGAUCAUUUUAAUCUCAUAGCCUCUCCCUAGCCAAGCCAGCUUGUUUAGACAUUGCAUCAUGAGAUUCACCUGAUAAAAACUUAAUGAAUGUGAAAGAGUUGAGAGAGAGAAGAACUUGUGGAGAUUCCUUGCUGAGUUGAUAUAUAUCUGAGUAUGGCUUUGCAUUGCAUAAUUGAGCAUGAACUUGAAUUCUCAUUGUGAUCACUUCUCUCAAAAAGUAAAUGUGAACUCCCAUGCACUCAACCUCUCUCUCUCAUUUGUUCUUGUUUGCUUGAGGACAAGCAAAGGACAAGUGUGGGGGAGUUGAUAUGUUCAUAAUCUGCAUCAUUUAGGUUGCAUAUUUCAUUCCAAAUCAUGUUUUAUUUCAUGCAUUUUAGGUCCUUAGGGUUUGUUUUAGAACUUAGGAGAUGCAUUAGGUCCCAAUGAAUCUUUGCAUGUUUUGAGUGUUUAUCAGGUGUAUUUGGAGCUAUUUGGAGCUGAAAAGAUGAAUCCAGAAAGUGGAAUGGUGAUCAAGGCUUGAAAAGUGGUGAAAUUGGUUUUUUGGAGGUUAUCGGCCAUUCUCGCGUACCAGGAAGGUUUUUAUCGGCCAUUUUCACGUACCACGGGUAGACUUUAUCGGCCAAAACGCGUACCGGCUAUUGAAUCUCUCGGCCAAAAUUUCCGGGUGCAGACACGUUUCCGAAAUCGCCUGUCCGGGGAACCUUCCAGUCCGAUUUAGAUGUCGGGUGCUUCAUCGAAGUUGGAUAGGAUUGGAUCACGGUUCCAUAGCAAGUGGAAUCAUGGAAUUCGGACGCGUGAGCAGAAAGUUAAGCUCGUCGGAAGGAACCCCUGUCUCGAUGCUGUUUUGGACCAAGCCGAUGAGCUCCGAAGAAUGCAGAGGACGGUGCACUUCCAAGCCGAUUCAGUUUCUGGGGCCUUCAUGAUAGUCAGAGACAUUCGAGUCCUUUUUCCAGAACGUCCAAGAUCAUUCAAUUCGGAGCUAUGAGCAGGAAGAUACUGUCUCCGGAAUGGACACAUGUCUAGACGCCUCUCUCUGAUCGUGUAAAUGCACUGCAAAGAUGAGCCCUCCAGGAAGCCUUCCACUUCCCAAGCACCGAAGCUUCCUUCACCAAAGUUGGAUAUAUAUAAGUCCUCUGUCCUCUGCAACCGGAAUCACUCAAUUCGGACAAGUAUCUUAAAAGUUACACUCUCUGGAAUGUGAAGUGGUCCAAGCUGCUCUGAAUGCUGCGAGAUAGUCUUGCGACCUGGUUAACUCGCAGGCCUGAAGAUGAAUGCCUAGAAGUUGAUGCUGCGAGUUGAGAAGUGCGGGUAAGCUAUCACUAGAUGAGGUCUGAGGCUCCCGAGCAUGAAAAACGCUAAGUCCACAAUCGUGCGACUUAGGCAUGCGAAUUGGCCGCGCCUGGAACUAAGCCGCACGAUCACUCGCAAUCUACUCCGACUUGAGCCUGCGACCUGUGUGUAAUGGAGAUCAACCCGCACGGUUUGUACAUUCCCCAGAAACCGCCUUGGUCCUGCGAGUUGAAGAAUAAGAAGAUUAAGCCGCAGCAAGACUCGCAAAACACUCCUACUUGGGCGUGCGGCUAAGACAAAGCGGUUUAAGUCUCACAAGACAAGUUCUUCAUCUACUGAGACUUGGGCAUGCUACCUGGGAGACACUGGACCAACCCGCAGGAUUUCCACUUUACCCAUUAAAGCCGGGUCAGGACCCGGUUCGUCCCGGGCUGACCCGGUUCGUUUUUAGAGAGAUAUAAAUACUUUUUAGGGUUUUUUCCUAAAGAACUAAGCUUUAUUCCUUUUUUCUCUUGCCUCUUUUGUGAAAAAGACUCCACUAAGAAGAGAAAUAUCGAUUAUUGAGUGUUUAAUCAAGAGAGUUUAAGAUAUCUUUGUGUUUAAAGCUGUUUUCUUCUGAAUCUAUCAUCUAUCUCUUCAUCUAUACACUUCUAAUCAUGAUUAACAACACAUCUUGCAAAGGAUCUAGUGUGUUGAUCAUGAUUAGUGAAUAAUCUCCAUAUUAAGGUCUUAGAUAUGUAGAUUAGGGUGCUUAAGUGGUAGAUUAGUGAGCUUAGGGGUUAGAUCAUGCAUAUUCCAUUCUCUACAACUUGUUCUCUAUGCUAAAUCCAUACAAAUCAUAUGUGGUCUAGAUUCUGGGCAUUUCAUGCACCAAAAGUGUUUGAUGAAAUGCCUGAACCAAGGUUGUUAGAGGUUUAAGUGUUAUUCAUCAUGGGAAUGAUUGUCUAUAUGCUUAAAUGACAGAUUAAACUGAUUCUUAAUGCUUGUUAACUCAUGUUUCACUGAUGAUGAUUGGGUUAGAAACUGUUUUAGCAUAGGAGUUAAUACCUUCAUGAGAGGAUUAACUUAAUUAAAGAUGUUUAUGUUGAAUGGUUUGCUUGAUCAUAUGAUUCAUUAGCUCAUUAGUUUAUCACUGAAGGCACCCUAAUCCACUAUCAUGUCUAAGACCUUUCUCAUCAUCAUACAUACAUUUUCAUCACUUGUCAUUUGUUUAGUUAUUGUUUAAUCAUUUCAUUAGUCUUUAAUCCUGUUUAAGUUUGUAGUUGUCUCUAGUUAACCAAACCACUGUUGUUUGCUUGAAUUAAGAACUUGAUCACAUAGUUUAGUGUCUAUCACCACAUUCUUGGAUUGAUAAACCCCUUGUACUACAAGACAGGGGAUUGAUAACCUCUACAAAGAGCCUUGAAAACUCUUAGUUAUCAUGUCUGAACCAAGCUAGAUCAAGAGUAUACUGUUUGAUUUACAUGGAAGUGUUUUAUUGAGCAUAGAUGGUAUAUCAUGAUUGGUUUUUAAAGCAUCUAUUUCGUUUGUUUCUCUAAUGAUGAUUGGGUAUGAAAGAAUGUUUGAGAUUGUGUUUUGAUGCUUGAGAAAGAUUGAAACUUGUGUUGAAUCAUAAGCUUCUUAGAUCAUUAAUCAUCAUUGUCAUUAGCUACUUAGUUAGAUCCUGAAAGCACCCUAGCCACCUAUCAUAUCUAUAGCUCUAUUCUUCAUCAUCUCAUAUUCAUCAUCUUAUUUAGUGAUCUUGCUUUGCUUACUUAGCAUUGUUUAGUCUUGUUUUUAGUUUACUUGUUUAGCUUUCUCACUUGUUUGAACACCAAAAUCUGUCUAUUUUGCUUGAAUUAGGUAAAAGCUUACAUGAACUAGUGUCUGAACUCACCCUUUUGGUUUGACACCCUUUAUACUACAUGAUUAAGGGAUUGAUAACCCACUAACAGAUGAAAACUCUUACUUAUCAAUAUACUCUUGGUUAUUGGUUCUGAGUUGCUACUAGAUGAAUUGUCUCCAGGGUUUGCAUCUUUAACAAACAAUCCAUACUCUUCAUCUUCUGAGAAGAACUCUUGAAUCUCAUUGUCACAAGUGUACACCAUGUUGCAAGUUACAUGAGUGUUGGAUUUGUCCUUUUCUUUUGAUGCUUGCGCAGUAAUUGAGAAGGCAGCUUAAUCAAACAACCUAGAUCGGGUCACAAGGGGUUGGUUUUCAGUUGAACAUGUUUCAGAAAGAGGUUGAAAGGACUCCUAGUCUGAAAAAUCAUGCUCCAUUGUGGGUGAAGUGAUCAGGCCAUGGUGGAAGUGAGCCUGGCCGCGGGUGAAGUUCUUGCAUCUGCGGUCAGCUCCCUCGGGCUUACCAUGCUUGUUUCUUCAUUCCAUUCUUCUCCUUUGUUGUUCUCUUGCUUCCAGUUGUCUGGCACGUCUUGGGUAUCCAAAUCUUUGGUUCCAGUGUUCAGAUCAUUCUCCUUUAUAUCUUUAGAAAGUUUUUCAACUUUCUCUUCUACUUCAUCUGGAGCAUAGACAACUCUAUUCCGUCUUGUUUUCAACCUUAGGUACGCCUUGCCACAGCUCCAAUGUGUAGUCGUAGGUUUGGUUCUGGCUCUCACUCAGCUCCUUAUCCAAGUCAUCGAUCUUGAAAUUUAGGGUUUGCAGCUCCUUUUCACAUUGUCGAAUGUUAAACUUGUUCUUCCCUUGCUCUUCUUCGACAAACUCCAUUCUCUGAUUCAACACUUCAUUGUCUUUGGUUCUCUUAUCCUCCAGUGUCUUCACGUGCUCAGAGAGGUCAUCAAACCUCUUAUUAAGGUCGAUGGUGAUGGCAUCUAUCCUUGUUCACAGGGCAGUUUCAACGAACGCUUGGGAAUCAAGGAAUUGGUUCAGUUUGGCUUCCAAUCGAUUAAGCUGGAUGUUAAAUUGAUUUUUCUCAAAGUUCUGGUGCAGAAUAUGAGGAAGCAGGGGAUGAGAUGGUCGUCGAUUCACCAUGGGUAGCAAAUAGGGUUCAUCAUGGUGGGCUGGAGUUCACGAGCCUCCAAGGUGGUGGUUCUGAUGAAGGGUCCGAUCUAGGUGGUUGGAAUCAUGCUUGAAUGGUGAUUCACAUGCACAGGGAGCUUAAAACAGGUUGCAAAAUCUUUGCUCGGGAUUAGGGUUUCUUCUUGGAUGAUCCAUGCUUCAAGGAAUCUGAAACUAGGGCAAGCAGAAGAAAGAAUAAGCAGAAAAAAAAGUUAGGUGUUUAUGAGUUCGGUUUACUUCCUUUGGCGUUUUGGCAGAAACUCGACAUAUAUAUACCUUUCUGCGGUUGAACCUUCUCGGUUUUAACCUCCAGCGGCUAAGAAUUCCUCGGCAACGGCGCCAAAAACUUUGAUGGACAUGAGGGUCGCAGGUGUUUUGCAAGUCCGGUUGUCCGAAGUUUUAAUUUUAUAAAACCCUAAUGUCUGAAAGUGCACAGAUGUACGUUGUAGGACUUAUGGUGUUGAUCCACAUGGAAGAUGUCUAAUCUGCAAGGAAACACCAAACUGGGAGAGUAAGCAAAGUCAUAAACUCAUGGGGGUUUGGGGUUUUUGGUUACGGGAUCCUAAAAUAAUCCUAAUCUAGUAUUUACGAGAAACUAAAUGCAAUGCCAAUGAGUUGCUAAAGAAAUAAUUGAAAGGUGUUCGACUCAAACUAAGAACUCUAGACUAAUAGUAUGCGAUUUAGACUUCUCUGGUUUACUCUAAUCGAUGUCAAAGCAUUUUCCAAUUAGCUUUCGGGCGAUUUAUCCUUAUCUAUUAUUGGGAUAUGCAUGGAACUGGAAUAGACAUGUGUAUGAUUAACCCACUCUCGUCAUCUUAACCAACUAAUCAUGUAAAUCAGACAGUUAACUCUCGCUCUCAUGCCAGGAAUAAGAUUAUGCAUUUACUACUGAAAUUGUUUGCUCACAUCUUCUCUACAGGUAGCUCUCGACUAUUGUAGCUACUAUGUUUUUCUGAAGCUAGGUAUGGAUGAUCUGAUACAUUACUCUUGUGGCUCUGAUCGAUCAUAGACUCAGAGAAUAGGUCAUGAAUCUAUUCUCAUGCAGUAUGAACAACUUAGAAGAGAUGAGAUCCAUAAUAUUGUUUAGAAACUUAGAAAUCCAAAUCGAACAUGUAUACCUAUCGAUGACUCUUUAGAAACUUGACUCUCGGGGACAAAUCUACAUGAUGCAGGGAAUGAUAAAAGACAUGAAAGAAUGCAUAAAAUGAAUUAGAAAAGCUAAUUAGUUAAAAAGAAGAAAGAACAAUGGAUCCACGAAAAAAUCCCCUUCUCAAUCGUCUAACCCUAAGAAAACAGAGUUUGGCGGCUCAAAAACUCAUUACAGGAGCACACACCCGAUUAAAGCUGCUAAGAAAUAUAUUUAUAGGUCCUAAGGUCUUCCACAUCUCAUUUAGGACUUCUCUGCAGAGAAAAGACGAAAUGGGCUUUGAUGUUGGGCCUUGUGGCUCCGCAUAGGUCCACCGAGGGUGAGAGUCUCCGGGGCAGGUAAAACACUUGUUUGCCGCAGGUGAGAGCCUUCCGGUACUGGUGAAUUUGGUUAACUUGCUCUUCAUAUAUCUUUUGACUGCACCGUUAGAUUGUCCAGCUAUAAAGUGCUAUGUUAUCUCCUCUUGAAUGUCUCCCAAUUUGAGCUGGAUCGGAUGGUGAGAAAGUCUUCAUUUGAGGCUGAACUUCUGACGGUCUGACUCUGAGCUAAAAAUGUGGAUUUCUUCCAUUUUACCAUCUUUUUCCUUAAGUUUCCUGAAAAGAGUAUUGAAACUACAAACAUAGAGAAAUCAUGAUAAAAGUUUCUAAUAAUGAUUAAAACCUUCGAAAAAGCAUUUGAAAUCAAUGGUGAAAAUGGAUACAAAUAUGGUAUUAUCAGCAUGACAGUAGUUAGGAAUGAGAAUGAUGAGCUAAUCCCCACCAGGACUGUGACAGGGCAUAGGAUGUGUAUUGACUAUAGGAAGCUUAGUGCUGCCUUUAGGAAGGACCAAUUUCCUUUGUCCUUCGUAGAUAAAAUGUUAGAGAGGCUGGCAAAUCACCGAUACUAUUGUUUCCUUGAUAGGUACUCAGGUUUCUUUCAGAUUCCUAUAUACCCAAAUGAUCAGGAAAAAACAUAUUUUAUUUGCCCUUAUGGCACAUUUGCCUACAGAAGAAUGCCCUUUUGGCUGUGUAAUGCUCCUGCCACCUUCCAGAGGUGCAUGCUUUCAAUAUUUGCUGAUCUAAUAGAAGAGAACGUGGAGGUGUUCAUGGAUGAUUUCAGUGUCUAUGGACCCUCUUUUUCUUCAUGUUUGUCUAAUCUAUGUCAGGUAAAGCAAAGGUGUGAGGAGUCCAACUUAGUGAUGAAUUGGGAAAAAUGCCACUUCAUGGUGAGGAGGGCAUUGUGCUGGGACACAAGAUCUCAGAGGCUGGCAUUGAAGUGGACAAGGAAAAAUUUGAGGUUAUGGUGAAUCUGCAAGCACCAAGUUCAUUCAAAGAGGUGAGAAGCUUUCUAGGCCAUGCAGGGUUCUAUAGGAGGUUCAUCAGGAACUUUUCAAAGAUUGUAAGGCCGCUGACAAGACUUCUAUGCAAGGAGGUUGAGUUUGUGUUUGACAAAGAAUGUGAAUAUGCCUUCACCAUGAUCAAGCAAGCUUUUAUCUCAGCCUUCAUAUAGACAAUUGCCAACUUUUCAAAGAUUGUUGGCAAUUGUCUUUGCCUUUGACAAGUUUAGAUCUUAUCUGGUGGAGUCUAAAGUGGUGGUUUACACAGAUCAUGCAGCUCUUACAUACCUGAUGGCAAAGAAAGAUGCAAAGCCUAGGUUGCUGAUAUGGGUCCUUUUUCUUCAGGAAUUUGACAUGGAGAUUAAAGACAAGAAGGGGAUUGAAAAUGGAGUUGCUGAUCAUUUGUCCAGGUUAAGAGGUGAGGAUGGGAUCAUACUUGAUGAUUCACUUCCAAAGAACAUAUUAUGAUGGUGAAAGCUUUGAAUGAGCUGGGGGGAGGGGGGGGGGGGGUCAAGUCCAUCAAGGAAAGAGGUUUGCGAUGGUUUGCUGAUAUUGUGAAUAUCUUUCAUGUGGAGUUGAACCUCCUGAGAUGAGUAACUACCAGAGGAAGAAGUUCUUCAAGGACAUCAAGAGGUUCUUUUGGGAUGAGCCAUACUUGUUUGUGCUUAACAAGGAUCAUUUGUACAGAAGGUGUGUAGCUGAAGAAGAGAUUCCAGGGAUUUUGUUGGAGUGCCAUGGAUUUUCUUAUGGUGGCCACAAUGCUGCUUUCAAAACUGUGGCAAAGGUCUUACAAUCAGGAUUCUGGUGGCCAAGCAUGUUCAAGGACGCUCAGGAAGUUGUGAUCAGGUAUGAUGUCUGCCAAAGAGCUGGAAAUCUCUCCAAAAUAAAUGAAAUGCCUCAGAAUCCGAUUUGGGUGGUGGAGAUCUUUGAUUCUGGGGUAUAGACUUUAUGGGGCUUUUCAUAUCUUCACAUGGGAACCAGUAUAUUUUUGUAGCAGUUGAAUAUGUCUCAAAAUGGGUUGAAGCUGUGGCAAGUCCAACUAAUGAUGCCAAGGUGGUGGUGAAGUUGUAUAAAACCAUCAUUUUCCCAAGGUUUAGAGUACCCAGGGUUGUCAUUAGUGAUGGAGGCAGUCAUUUUAUAAAUAAGGUAGUCAUCCCUUAUCAUCCUCAGACAAGCGGUGAAGUGAAGGUUUCAAAAAGACAGAUCAAAGCCAUUUUAGAGAGGACAGUGAGCUCAUUAAGGAAAGACUGGUCCAAGAAAUUGGAUGAUGCAUUGUGGGCUUACAGGACAUCUUUUAAAACUCUCAUUGGAACUUCUCCAUUUAAUAUCCUUUAUGGGAAAGCUGCCAUUUGCCUGUACAACUUGAAUACAAGGCAUUAUGGGCAGUUAAGGUUUUGAACUCUGACAUAAAGAAUUCUCGAGAGAAAAGGCUCCUUCAACUUCAUGAGCUUGAAGAGAUUAGGCUUGAUGCCUCUGAAAGCUCAAGGAUCCAUAAGGAGAAGACCAAGACCUUACAUGAUCCGAGGAUAAUGAAGAGGGACUUCAAGGAGGGAGAUCUUGUGCUGCUGUUUAAUGAUAUGUUCAUAAUUUGCAUCAUUUAGGUUGUAUAUUUCAUUCCAAAUCAUAUCUUAUUUCAUGCAUUUUAGGUCUUUAUGUGUUGUUUUAGGACUUAGGGGUUUGCAUUCGGUCCAAGUGAGUCUUGCCUGUUUUGGAGUGUUUACAGGUGAUUUGGAAGCAGUUUGGACCUGAAAAGAUGAAGCCAGAAGAAUAAAUGGUGAUUUGGGCUUUGAAAAUGGUGAAAUCAGCCUUUUGGAGGUUCUCGGCGCUAGCCUAUACUGCUGGAAGCUUUUUUUCGGCGAUUUUCAUGCACCGCGGGUGGAUUUCUCAGCUUAAACAUGUACUGGCUGUUCAAGUUUCUCGGCCAAAUUUCCCGGAUGCAGAUACAUCUCCAAGAUCGCGUUACCAGAAGGUCUUGCCGGCCGAUUCAGUCUCCGGGGUCUUCAUCAAAGAUCAAGAUAAUUGAGUCUAGAUUUCAUAACAGUUGGAAUCUAUAGAUUUUGAGCCUCGAGUUGGAAGAUACGGCCACGCGAAGACAGACCUUUCUCGUAUCCGUUCCGGAGCAAUCCCAUACGUUUGGAAAGAUCUCAUGUCCGGAGAGUUUUAACGUCCGAUUCAGAUUACAGGGUCUUCAGAAAACUUGGAGAUGAUCAGGUCAAGGAUCCAUAACAGGUAGAAUCAUUGGAUUUGGAGUCGUGAGCAGAGAGUUAAGCUCACCGGAAGGCACACCUGUAUCGCUACAGUUUCUAGACUGAUCCGAUGAGUCACAAAGAUUGCGUGGGACGAUGCCUUUCUACUCUGAUUCAGUUGCCGGGGUCUUCAUCAAGAUUUGAGAUCUUUGAGUACUACUUCCAGAACAUCUAAGUUCAUCCAGUUUGGUGCUAUGUGCUGAAAGAUAUCGUCUCCGGAGUGAACACUGGUCCAAGAGCUUCCUUUUGAUCGUUUCAGUGAACUACAGAGAUGAGCCGUCCAGGGAACCUUCCACUUCCCAAAGUUCACGAUAUUUGAUUUCUGUUUCCACUGCAGCUGGAAUCAAGCCAUUUGGAUCUAUAUCCUGGAAGUUACGCUCCCCUGAAUGCGAAUUGGUCCGAGGAGAUUUGAAGUCUGAGAGAUGGUUUUGCGACUUAGAUAACUCGCAGCGCUUAAAGGAUAAUUUCUGGGAAUUGAGCUGCGUGUGGAGAUGUGUGGGCAGGGUAACCCUGGAUGAGAUCAAAGGCUCCCGAGCAGGAAAAAUGCUAAGUCCACAAAUGUGCGACUUGAAAAUGCGAGUUGGCCGAGUAGUGAACUAAACCGCAGGAACACUCGCUGUUUACACCGAGUUGGGCAUGCGACUUGGGAGUGAAGUAGACCAACUCGCACACAUACUUGAAGUCCUGACCUACAUGGUUGUGCGAGCUAGGGAGCAAAGGGAACUGAACCGCAUGAAGACUCGCGGUUUACACCGAGAGAGGAAUGCGGCCUGGCUUACAUGGUUUUAUCUCGCUGAAGCUUCUUUCUAGACGUGUGCGAGUUGGGCAUGCGACUUGGGACUAAAGGAGGACUAAAUCGCACACAUAUUCUCCCCAGAUUUCGUCUUGGUCAUGCGAGUUGAAGAGAAGAAAUACUGAAUCGCAUAAAGACUUGCUGUUUACACACAUAUGCGGCUGAGACUGAAGGACUUAAGGCUCACAAGACUGUUUCUAUGGCUGUGCGACUUGGGCAUGCGAUAUGGGAAGCUCCUGACCAACUCGCACACUCGAGAUUUUACACAUUAAAUCCGGGUCAGGACCCGGUUUUUUCCGGGCUGACCCGGUUCGUUUUAAGACCUAUAUAUAGUUUUUUAGGGUUUUACCCUAAGGACCAAGCUUUAUUCCUUUUGUUUCUUGCCUAUUUGGUGAAAAGACUCCCUUUUAGAAGAGAAAUAUCGAUUUUUAAGGGUUCUAAUCAAGAGCGUUUGAGAGAUCUUUGUGUUUGAAGCUGCAAAUCCAUCAUUAUCUAUCUUCUCCAUCUCCAUUUCUUAUCAUUAAUCAUGCCAAUCUUCUCAACUUGCAAAGGUUUAAGAGAGAUUAGUAUGAUUAGUGAGUAGUCACCUUAAUGAGGUUCUAGAUGUGUAGGUUAGGGUGUUAAAGUGUUAGAUUAGGAGUGCUUAGGACUAGAUUAUUGAUUCAUCUCUCUAACAAGCUGUUCUCUAGGCUAGAUCCUUGCACAUCACUUGUAAUCUAGAUUCUGGGAAUUUGAUGCACCACAAGUGUUUGAUGAAAUUCCUGAAAGAGCUGUAUUAGAGGUUUAAGCAUUUGCUGCAUGAUGAUGUCUUGUUAUUUGCUUGAAUGAUCUUUUAGAACUGUUUCUUAAUGCUCAUUGAUUCAUAUUUCACAAAUGAUGAUCUGGUUUGAAAAUGGAUUAGUGUAGAGGUUAAUGCCUUCAUGAGAGGAUUAAUCUAGAUUAGAGUUCUAAACCAUUUGAAUCAUGUCUCAUCAUUGUCAUUAGCAUUUCUAGUGUAGCACCAACGCACCCUAGCCAACUAUCAUGUCUAGAAUCUCAUGCUUCCAUCAUCUCAUAUUCACAUUACUUAUCAUUUACUUAGUUCUUGUUUGAUCAUUUCUUUAGCUAUUAAUCUUGUUUUAAGUUCUUAGUUGUCAUUAAUCAAUCAAAACCUCACUUGUUCACUUGAAUUGAGAAAAUGAUCAAAUAGCUUAGUGUCUAGCACCACAUUCUUGGAUUGACACCUCUUUUGUGCUACUUUGACAAGGGGAUUGAUAGCCCUAAGACCCAAAAAAUCUUGUCUAUCAAUUGGCGCCGUUGCCAAAUUGUGGAUUGUUUAGCAUUAAGCUUUGAUCUGUUCUUGAGAUCAAGUCUUUUCCCUUUUUUUUACUGAUCACUCUGCAAGUUCUGUCUUUGUUGUCAGGUGUAUGAACACCAGAUCAAGGUCAAGAAGCUGUGGUCCACCAUUUCCCCUGAACGACAACAUCAAUCUCUUAGUGCCAAGAAGAAGAAGAGAUAGACGUCCUAGGGAAACAGAUAGAGCAGCUGAUAUGGAACAGCAGAGAGAGCACCACGUGUUUGACAUUGAGCACCCAGGCUCAAGAGGAGCAACAGGCUCAGCAUGGUAAUGGAGCUCAAAGGAAUCAGGUUCAAGCUGACAGAAAUGAGCAACAGGCCUUUGUCAAUAUCAACAUGGCACAAAGGAAUGAGAGGCAGGCUCAGCAGAAUCAGCAGCAGGCUCAUAGGAAUGAGCAACAGGCUCACUACAUUCCUCAGCAUCAAACUCAAAGGAGACAUGAUCCUCCACCUGUGUUUGUUGGGGAAAAUGACAGGGCCAAUGCUCAUUAGUAUGGAGCAGGGAUUCAAGCACCACCGGUGCAAAACAACAAUUUUGAAGUCAAGGCAUAUUUUCUGAAUAUGGUCCAAAACUCCAAGUUCCAUGGAUUGCCAAUGAAAGAUCCUUUGGAACACUUGGACCAAUUUGAUAAAGUUUGUGACUUGACAAAGAUAAAUGGAGUAUCUAAGGACAGCUUCAAGCUCAGAUUAUUCCCCUUCAGUCUUGGUGACAAAGCAAACCAAUGGGAGAAGAAUCUUCCAAGAGGCUCUAUUAAGACUUUGGAGCAAUGCAAGCAGGCAUUUCUGUCUAAGUUCUUCUAAACUUCCAGAACAGCAAAGCUAAGAAACCAAAUCUCCAGCUUCACUCACCAUACCAAUGAGAGUUUUGGUGAAGCAUAUGAGAGAUUCAGGAGCUACACUAACCAAUGCCCACACCAUGGGUUUAGUGAGGCUUCUCUUCUCAGCACACUUUACAGAGGGGCUCUUCCCAAGAUUAGGAACCAGCUGGAUACUGCAUCAACUGGAAACUUUCUGGGGAAGGAGAUUCAUGCUGCUUUAGAGCUGGUUGAGAACUUAGCAAUGAGCAAUGAUACAUAUGGCAAAGACUUUGAUAGAACCAAUAGGAGUGAGAGUUCAAGCAGGGAUCAAAGGUAUGAAGGAUUUUAAAACACUUGAAAGCAAGCUGGACAAGGUGUUAUUGGCCACUCAAAAGCUAAUGCACUUUGUAGGAGAGUAUGAGGAACCUUCUCAAUGCUUUGAUAACAUCAGUGAAGAAGGUCUUACUCAGGAAGAGCUAAACUAUAUUGGGAAUCAGAGGUUCCAAAGAUAUCAGUAUGCCAAUGUAGCCAACCCACAAGACCAAAUUUACCCUACCUCUCAAGCUCCACAGAAUUUUGUUCCCAAGAACAACUUUCAAGGGUCUUUUCAAACAAAGAAUCUGUUUGUUCAGAAUCAGGGUUACAGUCAGCAUCAGCAACCACUUCAGGGUUCUGGUUUCAGUUCACAGCAGCAGCCAAAGGCACCAACAGGGUUCAGUCCACCACAGUUUCAACAACAAGCGCCGGUUCAGCAUCAGUUCCAGUCAGCACUGGUUCACCAGCAGCAAAAGAAUGGGUCGGACAUGGUUGGGAUUCUACAACAGCUGCUCCAGGGUCAACAAAUGUUUGCAAGUCAGUAUGCAUCUAUGCAGCAAGACAUCAAGGAGCUGAAACAGAAUCAGGCAUCCACUUCAGGAAGCCAAGGUGGCUUACCUAGUAAGCCUGAACCAAACCCAAAGGAGUAUGCUAAAGCCAUUACAUUGAGAAGUGGCAAAGAGCUACCCGGUAUAGAGCACAACAAUGUGAUCAUUGAGGACAAUGAUCAAACUGGUGGGGAGGUAGCCCCAAGGGAUGAUCAAGAUGCUGAAAGAUCAAAGAAUUGGAAGGACAAAGAGGUGGAAAAGCCAGCAAAACCAGAAAAGCCUUAUGUUCCACCACCUCCCUAUCAACCUAAGCUCCCAUAUCCAGGAAGAUUCAAGAAGCAGAUUGUAGAUAAAGCAAGGGCACUCUUUGAGAAGAUUGUUAAUGAAACACUACUUACAGUGCCUCUCAUUGAAGCAUUUCUGAUGAUGCCUAAGCUGGGAAAGUUUCUAAAGGAUGUUAUCUUGAACAAAACCAAAGAGCUACAGGGUAUGGUGGUGCUUAGCCAUGAGUUUAGUGCCAUCAUUCAGAGAAGUUCAGUCCCAACAAAGCUGUCUGAUCCAGGGAGCUUUACUCUCCCUUGUGCUAUAGGUCCAUUAAUGUUUUCUGGUUGCCUUUGUGACUUGGGUGCAUCUGUCAAUUUAAUGCCAUUCUCUAUAGCAAGAAAACUUGGAUAUAGAGUGUUCAAACCUGCUAGAAUCUCUCUUGUUCUAGCUUAUAGAUCUGUAAGGUUACCUGUUGGGAUGCUAGAGGACUUACCAGUCAAGAUAGGUGGUUUUGAAGUGCCUACAGAUUUUGUUGUUUUAGAGAUGGAUGAAGAACCUGUUGAUCCACUGAUUUUGGGCAGGCCAUUCUUGGCCACAACAGGAGCAAUCAUUGAUGUAAGAGGUGGCAUCAUUGAGCUACAACUUGGUAAAGAAAAGUUGAAGUUUUAUAUCAAGGACAUGAUGAAGAAGCCCACCAUAAAAGGCCAAUGCUUCUAUGUAGAGACCAUGGAUCAACUAGCUGAUGAACUGCUUGAGGAAUUGAAUACUGAUGAUCCUCUUCAAGUUGCCUUAACCAAAUAACAAGGAGACCAUGGGUUCUUGCCGGAGGAGAGUGAAGGAUACAAGCUGUUUUUGGACAAUGCAAGAGAACUUGGUCCUGAGGCAAGGUUUUUGGAAUUGGAACAAAGUGGCCCUGAGGUCUUGGAUAUCAGCGGCUCAAACACAAGCGAAGGAGCAGUUCAGAGAGUCAUGGCCGUGGGUUCUAAAGUUGAGAAGCAGGCUGGGCCGUGUGAACAGAUUGGCAACAAGGGAAAUGCAAUCUUGCAAGACAGCUUCAGUGCUGAUUGGGAUGAGUCAAAGGCACCUCAGCUGGAACUCAAACCUCUUCCUAAGGGGCUUAGGUAUGCUUUCUUAGGUCUCAAUGAGUCUUAUCAUGUCAUUAUCAAUGAUAAGCUGUUAGAGGACCAAGAGCAUAGGUUGUUAGAAGAGUUGAGGAAACAUAGGAGAGCCAUUGGCUACUCUGUGGAUGACAUAAAGGGUAUCUCACCCUCCCUAUGCACUCAUAGGAUUCACUUAGAAGAGGAAUCUAUGUCAUCCAUUGAGCACCAAAAGGCAUCUCAAUCCCAACUUAAAAGUGGUAGUGAAGAAAGAGAUUCUCAAACUCCUAGAGGCUGGGAUAAUUUAUCCAAUCUCAGACUCUAGAUGGGUUUCACCAGUACAUGUGGUGCCCAAAAAGGGGGAAUGACAGUGUAUAAAGAAUGAGAAGGAUGAGCUGAUUGCUACAAAGACUAUAACUAGACACAGGAUGUGUAUAGAUUAUAGAAAGCUCAAUGCAGCCUGUAGGAAAGACCAUUUUCCUUUACCUUUUAUUGACUAAAUGCUAGAGUGGCUUGCAAACCAUCCCUUCUUUUGUUUUCUAGAUGGUUACUCAGGAUUCUUUCAAAUCCCCAUAGAUCCAAGAGACCAAGAGAAGACCACAGUCACCUGUCCCUAUGGGACAUUUGCUUAUAGGUGCAUGCCAUUUGGGCUGUGCAAUGCUCCUGCUAUUUUCCAGAGUUGUAUGAUGUCUAUUUUUUCGGAUCUGAUUGAGGAGAAAGUUCUCAUGGAUGACUUCUCAGUCUAUGUACACUCAUUCUCCUCUUGUUUGUCUAAUCUGUCUCAGGUCCUGGAUAGAUGUGAGGAGCACAGCUUGGUGUUAAAUUGGGAAAAAUGUCACUUCAUGGUUAAAGAGGGAAUAAUGUUGGGGCACAAGGUCUCAGAAGCUGGAAUAGAAGUGGACAGAGCAAAGGUGGAAGUGAUGGUCAGUCAAGGGGAUAAGAAGCUUCCUUGGGCAUGCAGGGUUCUACAGGAGGUUCAUCAAAGACUUCUCAAGAAUAGCUAGGCCUUUGACUAGGCUAUUUUGCAAAGAGGUUGAAUUUUCUUUGAUGCUGAGUGUGAGGAAGCUUUCAAGAAUAUCAAGGAGGCAUUGAUCAGUGCACCAAUUGUCCAGGCCCCUGAUUGGUCAUUGCCCUUUGAAGUGAUGACAGAUGCUUCAGACUAUGCAGUUGGAGCUGUGCUUGGCCAGAGGAAGGACAGAAAACUUCAUGUGAUCUACUAUGCCAGUAGGAACCUUGAUUCUGCUCAAGAAAAGUAUGCAACCACAAAAAAGGAAAUGCUGGCAAUAGUUAUUGCAUUUGAUAAAUUCAGAAGCUACCUGGUGGGAUCAAAAGUCAUUGUGUACACUGAUCAUGCAGCCCUCAAAUAUCUCAUGACUAAGAAAGACGCCAAACCUAGACUCUUGAUGUGGGUUCUUCUCCAGCAAGCGUUUGAUAUGGAAGAGCAGGACAAGAAGGGUAUUGAAAAUGGAGCUGCAGAUCAUCUUUCUAGGCUGAGAGUGGAAUCAGAUGUCCCCUUAGAUGACUCACUUCCUGAAGAGCAUCUAAUGGUUGUCAAGACCUACUUAAAGGUGGAGCAGGCUGAUGUUAUAAGAGUGAGGAGUUUACCUUGGUUUGCAGACAUUGUUAAUUAUCUCUCUUGUGGUGUAGAGCCACCUGAACUAUAUGCUUAUAAGAGAAAGAGAUUCUUCAAAGAGGUGCAAAGGUAUCAUUGGGAUGAACCUUAUCUGUAUGUGCUGAACAAAGACCACCUCUAUAAGAGAUGCUUAGCUGAAAAAGAGAUGCAACCAGUGCUACAGGAAUGUCAUGGCUCAGCUUAUGGGGCGUCACUUAGGAACUUUCAAGACAGUGGCCAAGGUGUUACAAUGUGGGUUCUAGUGGCCUACAAUGUUCAGAGAUGCCCAGGUGGUUGUAUCAAGCCGUGAUCAGUGGCAGAGACAAGGCAACAUCUCCAAAAGAAGUGAGAUGCCACAAAAUCCCAUCUUGGAGGUGGAACUUUUUGACUGCUGGGGUAUUGACUUCAUGGGUCCUUUUGUGAGCUCAUAUGGGAAUCAGUACAUAUUUGUUACUGUGGAUUAUGUGUCCAAAUGGGUUGAGGCUGUUGCUUCCCCAACUAAUGACUCUAAGGUGGUGGUCAAGCUCUUUAAAAGAACCAUCUUCCCAAGGUUUGGGGUUCCUAGAGUGGUGAUAAGUGAUGGAGGUUCUCAUUUUGUGAACAAAACUUUAGAAGAACUGCUAGGGAAGCAUGGUGUCAAACACAAGAUAGCUAGUCUAUAUCACCUUCAGACCAGUGGCCAAGUAGAGGUUUCAAACAGACAGAUCAAUGUCAUCUUAGAAAAGACAGUAAGCAACUCAAGGAAAGACUGGAGCAAGAAGUUAGAUGAUGUUCUCUAGGCCUAUAGGACUGCUUACAAGUCUCCCAUUGGAACAUCACCUUUCAAUCUGUUGUAUGGGAAGAGCUGUCAUCUACCAGUGGAGCUUGAGUACAAGGCUCUUUGGGCUUAAAUGUUGAACUUUGACAUUAAGACAGCCCAAGGGAAGAGGCUACUCUAGUUGCAUGAACUUGAAAAGAUCAGACUCAAUGCCUUUGAGAGUGCAAGGAUAUACAAGGAGAAGACCAAGAACUUGCAUGAUCAGAAAAUUCUCAAGAGGGAGUUUAAGGUGGGAGAUCUGGUUAUUUUCUUUAGCUCAAGGCUCAAGAUCUUCCCUGGUAAUUUGAGGUCAAGAUGGUCAGGACCAUUCAGGGUUUUAGAGGUCAGAAGCUAUGGAGCAUUGGUCUUGGAGGGAAAAGAUGGAAAGGAUUUUGUGGUGAAUGGACAAAGGGUCAAACACUACCUUGUUUCUGAGAAGAGAGAGGAGGCUUCUACAGUUCCUCUUGAUGAUCCACCAGCCUGUUAAACAGGUUUUCAAAGUCAAACUUAGCGACAUUAAACAAAGUGCUCUUGGGAGACACCCCAAGAGUAUCCUUGUACAUAGUUCUUUUGAUCUUUUCUUUUCUUUCUUUUUAUGUUUUAGGAUCUUUUGAUGGGUUUUUGUGAGUUGUUCUCAGGUUCCAGGUGACUUUUGGAAGCUAUGGCUCAGGGACAAAGUGGAAUGGAACAUGUGAGAAGGCUGAGAAAAGGGUUUAAGGCAUAAAAGUUUGAUGUACACCUGUGCGCUACUUGAGUGUGCGGCUCAGUCAGGCCAGAAACCAACUCGCACAAGAACUCGCUGUUAACACCUACUAAGUGUUGCUGUUCUACGAGUUAUGUCUGCGAGUUGGAUACAAAGGAGACCAGGCCGCACUAAUUCUUGUUGUUUACACCGGCCUGGGCGUGCGAGUUGAUUCAGAAGAAGCCAGGCCGCACACCAGGAGAAAGAGUCUGAGGCGUUCAAGUGUUAAAAUGUGCAACCUGGUCAUGCGGCUUACAUCAAGGAGGGACCGAGCCGCACUAAAACUCGCUGUUUACACCGAGUUGGUCAUGCGGCCUGGCUCAAUAUCUUCUCAGGUCGCAUGCCAGGAAAAGGGCGUGCGGUUUGGAUACAAAGAAGACCAGGCCGCAGUAAAACUCGCUGUUUACACCGACCUGGUCAUGCGAGACGGUCCAAGAGCAGCCAAAGACGCACACUAGGAGAAGCACCUGUGGCGUUCAAAUAUUAAAAACGUGCGACUCGGACCUGCGGGGUAGUUCAAAGAAGAUCCCAGGCCGCACUGAUGCUCGCCGUUUACACCGGCCUAGCCAUGCGAGCUGGAACAAAGAAAUCCCAGGCUGCACACAGAGAAGAAGAACAGAUCAUCCAAGGCUCAGAAUGUGCGACCUGGUCAUGCGAGCUGGAACAAAAGAAGACCAGGCCGCACAUUAACUCGCUGAAUACACCGGGUUGGACGUGCGGGUUUGUUGAAGGUCACGCCAGGUCGCAGCAUGAGAGAAGGGACCAUAUCGUGAAAAGAAGAUUUUUGUGCGACCUGGGCAUGCGAGACGGUCAACUGAUAACACCGUAUUUUGACUAUUUUUAUGGAUCACUUAAUGUCUUUGACAUGUGUUUUUACUCCAUUUUCAAAGGUUUUCAAAGGAGUUCUAUGUUUUUCGGAUUUUAAAAGACUUUUUAGGUAAUUUGGGAUAAAGUGGCAUAAAUUGGAACAAAAAGACUCUUUUGGAUAAAUGCAGACUGUCAGAACUCUCAUGGAGAGACGAAGACCUUCUCACCGUGUGAUCACCCUCAAAAUUGAAAAACUUAUAGAAGAAUCAACCAGCUUUCAAAUGCACUUGGUUUGGAGACAUUCUAACGGUCUGAUCUCAAGAUAUUUCAAUAGCCCCAAAGACACUCGAAGACGGCCAGCAAGUCACGCGACCGCGGCCACCAGCCUAUUUCCUGCGCUCACAAGCUUCUCGACCGCGGCCAACCACCUAUUUCCUGCGGGCGGCCAACUCAGAUUAAAAGCCCAUAUUUCUGAAGCCCAAAGUCAUUUCUCAGCCUUAAUUUCGGAACCCUAGAGACCAUAGAGUGUUGAAGGCUAUAAAUACUUGUCAUUUAGGUCGUGUUUAGGGAGAACCUAGACACUUUUACAGAAACCCUUUUUCUUUAGCCGUUUUAUGCGAUUUUUAUAGAAGAUUGUUCAAGUCUGAGUUCUUCAAUAGAGAAGCUUUCUUUCAUCUCUUUUCUUUACUGUUUUUUAUUACUUUUAUUAAAACCAAUGAUGAUGUCGACCUCAGCCAUGUCUGAGUGGAUCCCAAGUUGGGCUUAGGGUUCCUGAAAGGGGCUCUCAUAAUCGAUUAAGACAUCUAGGUUUAUAGAUCUGGGAUUUUAACUUCGUUUUCUGUUUAUUCUCGUUCUUAUUGCAUGUAUGCUUGAUUAAUUACCUAGUAUCUGAUCUAGAUAGUUAGUGUUGCGAAAGUUCUCAUUAAGUAUCAGACCUAGAAUGAAACUGGCAAUUUUUCCGUAGAAGUGGAAACCUACCUGCGGCAAGAUCGUGAGUACUGACGAGUCUUGUGCAGCUCUUGCGUUCUCUCCCUUCCAGGGCCAGAGUGGAAACCUACUGGUCAGGGUUGCGAGAAACAGUUGGUUAUGAUCACGAUAGUGAUGUAGUCAUACCGCCGUACUCUAGCUCUAGAACCCUAUAUUUCGAUAUCCGUCAAUCCCAAUCUAUAAUCCCUAGUGUUAAAACCGAUUAUGAUCCCUGUAGAGCUCCCAAAAGCUCAGCGUUUUUAGCCAUAGUUUACAAACCAAUCGAUUUUUACUUGUUUAUCUAGAUCUGCAUUUUAUUCACUUUAGUUCGAUAUUUUGCUUGUUUCAUUUGCUUUCAUUCAAUUUUUCUACUUGCUCUUUAGGAUAAAUUUAUUUGCUUUCUUUCGUUUUAGUUUAGUCUGUGACAAACAACCAACCCCUAAAACUAAUCUAGUUUAGACAUAAAGUUAGAAAUCGUAGAAGAAUACCAGACACACAAAUCUCUGUGGUCUCGAUCCGUAAAUACUACAACUGAUUAGCUGUGCACUUGCGGCUUUUAUUUGUUUUUGUUAAAGGUAAAACGUGUUCCCUCACGCAGUUGACACGCAUCAAAUUUUUGGCACCGUUGUCGGGGAAUUGUUUCGCUGCCUUUUGUUAUUUUUCUUGUUCUAAUUUCUGUUCUAGACACCUGAUCUCUAGUUCUUUCUUAAAGUUUGCUGAAUUAUCUUUCCCUUCUUUUGUUUUUCUCUGAAUUGCAUGAAUACCAGGCCUGUAGAAAACAUUCCAAUUCUAGACGAGACAGACAGACACGAAAGAGAACUUCGAAGACUUAGACGAACGCAAGGAAUGGCCAACGACGACCAGCCUGGAGAUCCUGUUAACCGAGCUUUAAACAUGGAUCAUGACGGGUCCGAACAUGGAGAAAAUGAAGAGAAUGAUCACAGAGAAGGUAAUCAUGCUCGACAAGAUGGAGAAGAGGAUGAACUUCCUCCAAGAAACCAUCAAAACCGCGAGAGAGAAGAACGUGAAGACCUUGAUGCACCUAUCAAUGCAGCCAAUGGUGACCACCAGGGGAUGCAGCCGAAUGGACACGUUAACCGCACUGUUCAGCCAGCAAAUCAACACCGAAGACAAGCCAGGAACCAUCGCAUAUCUGAUUUCGAUGCACCUACUCAGAAUUUUCAGAACCGAUUCGCAAUUCAAGUACCAUUUCCGAACCGGAAUGAGUUUGAAGUCAAACCUCAAAUCAUCUCAUUGGUGAAACAAAACCCAUUCCAUGGAGUUCCUUCUGAACAUCCAAUGGAUCAUAUUGAGCUCUUUGAAUAAAUCUGCAGCAUGAUGAGAACAAACCAAGUUCCAGCAGACUCUUUAAAGUGUAAGUUGUUCCCUUUUUCUUUAGCAUACAAAGCUCACCGUUGGUUGAAAUCUUUGCCUGCAGGAUCGAUUACUAAUUGGGAAGAAUGUAAAACUGCUUUCCUGAACCACUUCUAUACUAAGUCGAGGUCGAACUUGUUGAGAACCAAGAUCUCAAGUUUUCAGCAAGGACCGACUGAACCUUUCUAUGAAGCCUGUGAACGUUUUAAGGAGUGUGAACAUGAUUGCCCUCACCAUGGAUUUCCCGGAUCAAGCCUGCUUAGUACAUUUUACCGAGGUUUGUAACCAAAAUACAAACUUUCGCUUGAUACAGCUAGCAGUGGAGAUUUUGGACAAAAGAUGAUAGCACAAGGAAGAGCCCUCAUCGAGAAUUUGGCUCAAGCCAAUAGCAAUGAUUUUCCUGAAUAUGAUCGCUCGACAAAGCAAACCAGAGCAGACAACAAGGAGAUAACCAAGUUGAAGAACAUGAUGAGCCAGCUUUUGAAAAGCAACAAUCGCCAAAUCCAUGCUUGUGAGACCAACAAUGGUGCAGAAUAUGAAGGACCUAGUGAUAUCGAUCACAUUAAUCCAGCCUUUCAAGAAGAAGAAGUGAACUAUGUAGGAGCUCAAGCACCAUAUCCAAAUCGCUUCAACAAUGGCUUCAACAACAACUUCCGGAAUGCGAAUUAUAACAAUCUCUCUUACCGCAAUCCAAAUGUGGAGAAUCCUCAAGAUCAGUACUACCCACCACAGCAAAAAUCUUUCCAAAACAAGUUCCAAGGUGGAAGUUUCGGAGGGACAGGAGCUUCUCAACCGCGACAGCCAUAUAACUAUCAAGGUACAGGUUUUAACAAUCAAUUUGUACAACAGCAAGGAGUCAUGACGAAGCAGCUAGCUUCACAAAUUGGAAGACUUGAACAGUCCAUCCAACAGCUCUAUAUGACAAACGAGAAAGCAUCUAAGGACAUGAACGUGAAGGUUGACUGCAUGUACAAUGACCUGAACGGGAAGUUUGAAGCUUUAUCUUCGCACGUCAAAAAGCUAGACGUACAAGUUGCCCAAACAGCCGACUCUAUGAAGAGACAAAGUGGAGCUCUUCCCGGAAGAGUUGAAGAUAACCCCAGAGAUUUUGCAAUGCCAUAACCACACUGCCCGAAGAAGAAGCCAGAACUGAUGGAAAGGAUGAAGAAACCCCAAUCUUUGUACCACUUUACAAGGAUGUCGAUGCCAAGCAACCACCAUUCAAGGUACCUCAACGUUCACCGUUUCAAAGGCUUACAAAAGGCGACGAUCUAGGACGUUUUGUUUUCCAAUGUUUCCUCUCAGGAAUCAAGUUCACAAACUGUCUAUGCGAUUCCGGAGCCAAUGUCAACAUCAUGUCAAAGACACUUGCCGAAACAUUGUGCAUAAAAACUUUAAAGACAUCGACGGUCAAGGUUAUCUUUGGAGAUUGAUCUCAAAAAGAUAUUGAAGGGGCGAUUCAUGAUCUACAAGUUCUAGUAGGGGACAAGAUUGUUCCAGCAGAUUUCCAAGUCCUGGAAAUGGAUCAAGACAAGGAGAGACCACUCAUAUUUGGGAGGCCAUUUCUAGCUACAGUAGGAGCAGUAAUCAAUCACGCGAACCGGCAUGCUGUCUUCCUCAAUGUAGAUCGCAGAAGGUUUUAUCCGACUGUACUAGAUGAUUUUCCAAGCAAAGGAAACCAGCCAAAAGAGAAAGAAAAGGAGAAGCCGAGAGCUUUUGCAAAGAUCAAGAUCAUCAUUCCACCAGAUACAACGGAAACUAGUGAGGACCAAAUCUAGGAGCUGAUCAAAAACACAAAAAGGGUUUUAAACAAUGUUAAAGUCCGAAAGAAGAGUAAAGGAAAGAAGACGACUCCUCAAGGAGAAGAAUUUAAACCUCCAGCGACCGGAAAUGAUAAAGGCACAUCAAGUGGAGUGCCAUUUAAAUCAGCCUGAUUUUUCAUGCCUACGUCGAGCUAAAUGACUUAACACAAAAGCGCUUAAUGGGAGGUAACCCAUUUAGGUACUCUUUCUUUUAGUUUUCUUUUCCUUUUUACAAUUUAUGUUUUUUUUUCUUUUAAGUUUCAGGUAUUCUUAUAAAACAAAAACACAAAAAAUCAGAAAAUUAGAAAAACCAAGAAAAGAGGAGAGGUUUUUGGCUGCUCGGCCGGGCAUAAACCUGAAAGUUGGACGAAGGCCGCAGGAAAAAGGGCCGCGGUCGCGACCAACCAACCCGCAGCCAAAGCAUCAUCGACUGCGGCACCGUGAAUGUGACCGCGGCCGAGCCUAUAAUCACCGCGGUCGCGCGUCUCCUCACUGCGGCCGUUGGUCGUUGAAACGGGAACUCGGACUUCCGCCACUUUUCAAAAGUUUGCUGUGUUUCCCGGUGAUUCUUGGUGUUACCCGGUGUUUCCCUGUGAUUCCCGGUGUUACCUGGUGUUUCCCGGUGAUUCCCGGUGUUACCUGGUGAUUCCCGGUGUUACCUGGUGUUUCCCGGUGAUUCCCUGUGAUUCCUGGUGAUUCCCGGAACAUUCCCGGAAAAGCCCGUUAAGAUUUUCUGUAAGUUUUAAACCACAUGUUGCGUACAAGACAAGAAACGUAAUUUCCCAUAAGCUUUUGAAUUCCCGGAAAUUUCCCGUUUUUGCUACAAAAACGCUUUUUAAAGAAAGAAAAUGCACUUUUUGGAUCAAAAACUCCUUUUUAUCUUCUCUUCCAAAAGACUUGGAGAUUUAGGAGAUAGAACAUCUUUUUCAAUUCUUAAGCUUUUUAAGAGAUUCUUGGCCCAAACAUCACUCUUUUUCAAAGCUGAUUUCAAAUAUAUCAUCAAAUCUCUCUUUCCAGCAAGGUGUGAAGCUCAAACUCACCAUUUUUAAUUGAUUUUGGAAUUUAGGGUUUCCUUAAAAAGCCCAAAUCUUGGUUUCUUAAAAAGGACAAUAGAUUAUCCUUCUAGGUUAUCUGAAAAUCGAUUUUAACACCUAGCUUAAGAGGAAUUGAGAUUUUUGAAAUUUGGAUUCUACAUGCUUUAUAAAAAUCGAAUUUGGAACAGCAAAAUUGAUGAAUUUGACUUAGUCUUGUGUGAUUAGUGAUUAGUAUUAGGUAACCUAUAUAUUUGACAUGGAAAUUGCUCACUUAAACCGAUUUUUAGAAGAUUUCUAUGUUGAGAACAUCAAAAAUCCGAAUCUGGUCAUGAACUACUCGAUUUCUUCGAUUCAAUGUCAGUUAUGCUUGCUUGUGGUUUUAACUAAUCUCUUGAUCCUAUGAGUAGUAUAACUGAUCGCUAAUGUGUUAAAAUCAGCAUCCAUAUUCACUCUUUUUCCAAGAAUCAUCUCAUCUUGUAGGAAAAAUGGAACAAACCAGAUCCCGAAGAAGCCGUCGCACUGGUGACAGCUCUGAGGACACUCCCGAUGAUGUUACUCUUGGAGAGUACAUGCUGAACCAAGCCAGACCGAGAAGAAGAAACUACGUGAUGAGACUGCUCCAGCACUCAAGAGAAACUCGAGCAAUUCCCGAGCCACCACAGAUCCGAUACAUUGGGAAAGAGAUCAACCCGAGAGUGGACUAUGCAAGACGUUUCAAGAAGCUGAACAUCAAACCGACGCUCUGCAUUGAUUAUCAUACACUCGAGAUGCUUGGCAUUAGAGAAGAUGUAAUCUGGUACCUCGAUGCACUUAAGCUGAGACCCUACAUGGAGCUGAACCUUCCAACAUAUCCCGAGCUAGUCUGCGGGUUCUUAGCAACUGUCACCCUCCACCACACGAAGAGGAGGAACCCCAGAGCAUCUGACGGCAUCUCGUCGUUCUCUAUCCGCUGACAGACAUACUAACUCACCAUUCCUUCACUUUGUGAAGCUCUUAAGCUUCCAUACACUGAUGGCAUUCACCUUAAAGAGGAACCCGAUUUUGACUUGUGGAGAGAGAUGGGUCAUGGCGUCUAUGAUAGCGGGAGAUACUCCGUUUUUGAGUGUUUCAUCCAAAAGAGUUCUUGAGUGUUUAUCAUCUUUUCAUCAUCAUCUAUCCAUCAUCUAUCUUUUUUCAUCAACUAAUCAUGCUUAACUACUCUUCUUGCAAAGGAAUCAGAGAGUUAAUCAUGAUUAGGGAGUAGUCACCUUAUUAAAGUUCUAGACAUGUAGGUUAGGGUGCUUAGAGGUUGGAUUAAGCAUGCUUAGGACUAGAUUUAUGCAUCUCUGUCUUGUUUAGCUGAUCUUAUUGCUGGGUUUUAGAUGAUCUCUCUAACAAUGUCACACAUUUCAUCACUUGCGAGCAUCAAAGAACUAAUAACUAGGGCCAUGAACUAAACUCUUAUAAUAAUGCUCUCUCAAAGAAAUCUAUCAUUUCUCCCAUGCAAAUGAUGCAAACCUAUAUGAUUAUGCAACUUUAGACCCAAUCUUAACAUGUGAAUGCAGCUACAUGAACAUUUUUGUGAUUUUUUUUUCAAAUUUUUCAAUUAUUUUUGAUUUUACUCCCCCACACUUAUCCUUUGUUUGCCCUCAAGCAAACUAGAACAAAUGAGAGAGAGGGUUGGAAUUUGGGAGUUUACAUUUCUUUAAAGAGAGAGAAUUGAUCAUCAAAACAGUUCAAGCUCAUGGUUCUAGGUACUAAUUGUGAAAUCCAAUACAAGGAAUACUUUGAAUGCAACAAAUCCAAACCAUGACCUACACAAGCAUUCUUAUCUUUCAGCCUUUUAACAUUCAUUAAGUUUUAACCAUGUGGAUCAAAGUGAUGCUUAUUCAAAUGAACUUGUUUGGCUAAUGGAUGAGGUUAUGAGACGAAAAGGAUCUCAUUAAAUGCUUAAAUGGGUUCAAUGCAGUAGGGGAUCUCUCAUUAAAUGAUCAAACUUUGGGAGAAGGCUAAAGGUAAAAAGCAACUGACGCAUACAAGGGCAAAAACUCAUCUAAUCCCUAAUACCUAAGAUGCCUCUAACACAAAGUCUCACACUUCUCUCCUCACUCAUUUUUUCUCACUAGGGGAUUCACUUUUCAUUUAUAAACACUGGCUUUGGGGUUUAAACUUUAAAACUUAGCUCUCUUUCACAUAGCACCUUCCAGCCCCUCUUCUUAUCUUUUUGGACACUUUAGCCUUUUUGGCUUCGUUUCUUUAUUUCUUUUCACUUAAAGGCUGGAAUUUUCCUUUUUAAAACACCAGAGCUUUCUUUUGUUUGAAAUCUAGACCCCACUCCAUUUUCUUUCCUUUUCCAUCCCCUAGCUCUCAUUACUCUCCACUUUCCACACAUCUUUUCUUUAACCUCUCACCAACAAACCAUUCCCCCACCCUUAAUCCUUGCCAAGACCUCUUAGUUCCUUGAUGAUGGAACUAAACAUCAUGAGGCUUACCCUUGUCUCUCUAAACCUAACACUUUCUGCUAAGUUUGAUCCAAGGUGGCCUCUCAACACUAACAAACAUUUGACUUGAAGGAAGGUUGGGUUCAGGGUGUGGAAACUGAUCCAAUGUAUGGAAUCAGCUAUUUGAGCUAAGGAAAAGAGUGGUAAAAAUGGGCUUCUAGCUCAAAUAUGUAUAAGUAUCCACAAGUUCAUCUAAACAAGCAUCACAUGAUAUUUUACAGUCAGGUUAAGUGUUUCAAUUGCUAAGGCUGAAUUCAGUUCAAAGCUUGUUUCAAUCAAGGUCUAAACAAUGUCACACAUUUCAUAACUUGCAAGUAUCAAAGAACUAAUAACUAGGGCCAUGAACUAAACUCUUAAAAUGAUGCUCUCUCAAAGAAAUCUAUCAUUGCUCCCAUGCAAAUGAUGUAAACCUACAUGAUUAUGCAACUCUAGACUCAGUCUUAAGAUGUGAAUGCAGCUACAUGAACAUUUUUUGUGAAAAGGUUUUCAAAUUUUUAAUUUUUUUGUGAUUUUAAAGGGAUCUCUGGAAUCAUUGAGUGAAAAAGAGAGAGAUUGAGAUGAGAGCCAGGGGAUGUAAAAGAAAAGAAAUCGGAUUGGGGUUUGGUGUUCAACAAAAAGAAACCUCUUGAGUUUAAAAAGGAAAGUCUAGCCUCUAAGUGAAAAGAAAGAAAGAAAAGAAGCAAAAAGGCUCAAAUGUCUAAAGAGAUAAGAAAAGAGGCUAGAUAGUACAAGUGAGAAAGAGUUAAGUGUAAAGUUUAGACCCCACGGCCAGAGUUUGAAAAUGAAAGUUGAAUCCCCUGGUGAGAAAAAGAAUGAGAAUGAAGUGAGAAGUGGGUUAAGAAGGCAAAGAAAGCAUUGGAAAAGGGGUAGCUUAGGUGUGUUCUUCAUGGCUUUAGAUUUAAGGUAAAAGAUCAAUUUGGGGCAUUGGUUUCUUUUUACCCUUAGCCUUCUUUUGAAGUUUAUUCCUUCAUAGAGUGUUCCCUGAGUUGAAUUAAACCCACCUAAGCAUUCAAUGAGAUCAUUUUUAUCUCAUAACCUCAUCCCUCAGCCAAACAAGUUCAUUUGAAUAAGCAUCACUUUGAUCCACAUGGUUACAACUUAAUGAAUGUUAAAAGGCUGAAGGAUAAGAAUGCUUGUGUAGGUCAGGGUUUGAAUUUGUUGCAUCCAAAGUAUUCCUUGUAUUGCAUCUCAGGACUAGUAACUAGGACCAUGAGCUUGAAUUCUUUUGAUGAUCAACUCUCUCUCUUUAAAGAAAUGCAAACUCCUAAGCAUCAAACAUCUUUCUCUUAUUUGUUCUAGUCUGCUUGAGGGCAAGCAAAGGAUAAGUGUGUGGGAGUUGAUAUAUUCAUAUCUUUGCAUGUUUAAGAUGCAUUUUUAGUCCAAGAAUGGAGUCUCAUUCAUACAUUUUAUAUAGAUUCUUCAUGUUUUAUCUUUGUUUUAGAAUUUUAGGACUUUGCAUUAGGUCCAAGUGAGUCUUGCAUCUUUGAAGUGUUAAUCAGGUACAUUGGAGCCUGUUUGGACUGAAAAAGGUGGAACCAGUGGAAGAAAUGGUGAAAUUGGCAAAAAGGAGGUUAUCAGACAUUUUGUGAACUGCGGGCAGCUUUUUCUCGGCCAAAAACCGUACCACAGGUUACGUCUCUAGGCCAAAAACCUUACCGCGGUACAUGUCUCUCGGUCAAAAAUCCCUACUUGCCAAUAUAAUUCCAAAAUUGCCUGAGACGAAGUCUUUCCCGGUCAGUUAAGUCUCCGAUGUCUUCAUCUAGAUUUGAGAUCAUUGUGUCUAGUUUCCAGAACACUUGGAAUCACCUGAAUUGGAGCAGUGAGCGUAAGGUUAUCGCAAGCAGAAGAAGAACACGUCUCGGAGACUUUUCUGGAUCAUUCUUGUGCGCUUUAAAGAUCAGCCACCCGGGAAAACUUGCUCCCUCCAGAUGCAAUCGGGGUCUUCACCAAAGUUCGAGGCGGUUGAGUUGAAUUUCUUCUGGAGCUGGUACCGAGUCUCUUUUGGAGCAUUGGUUCGAUAGUUACACCGGUUCAAGUAUUCACAUGUUUUUCACAGAUCCUGAGUGUUCAAGUGAAAAUUAUGCCUCGAAAACACUACCUCGACUCAAUCCAACUAAAGGCAUGUCUUCUCAAUUCUCUUUAGGCACACCUCGACAUGAAGGCCUCAACCAUAUAACCUCGAGGCAGCCUCGUUCAGAAACUUCAUCUCCAAAAUGGCUAAGUGUCAAGCUUUAUACUUCAUCAUGAGUUUCGAUCUAGAAACGACUAAGUAUUAGACUAAGCCUCGACUUCUAUGCCUCGACUUACCUGAACCGAGGCACCUCUACAUAAAAAGCCUCGACAUGAAGACCUCGGCUCAUCAGGGAACCCGAGGCAAGCACCGAAUGAAAACAUGCAAGACCUUGGGUUCACCCCAACACGAUUUCAACCUGAGGCCAAAGCCAAACCAAAUGGUGCAAAACCUUGACCUCUGACCUCGACAUAUUCUAUCCCGAGGCCUCUUCUCUUCACCCGUCCUGAGCAAGAACAACAACGCCUCGACAUAUAAGCCUCAAGAAUAAUCAAACCCAAGGCAUGCAUGUGUUCUUAAGGCUUAACCCAGAUUUCACUGCCUCGGGUUGGAGGCUUCGGCUUGGAGAUCUGGACAUUGACCCGAGGCACACUUACCUUUACCCAAGAAAACUGGGUCAGUACUCAGUUUGUUCUGGGCUGACCCGGUCCGAACCUUAGGCUAUAAAUACAUUUUGUGGCUAAAAACCCUACUUACCUUUCAUCUACUUUUGUUCCUUGCUUCUUUUGUGAAAUACUCUUUGUGUUAAGAGAUAUCUUUGGGGUUUUAAUCAAAUCAAGAGCUGUUUCUUAGCAGUUUAUCAUCUUAUCUUCUCAAAUCACAUCAUUAAUCAUGAUCAACAACACAGCUUGCAAAGGAUUAAGUGUAUUGAUUAUGAUUAGUGUGUAAUCUUUUUAUAAGGUUCUAGACGUGUAGAUUAGGGUGCAAAGGUGUUAGAUUAGGGAGUUUAGGAGUUAGAUCAUGCAUUUUCCUUUCUAUAAUUAGCUAUUCCUAAAGCUAGAUCACUGAUAUUCACUUUGGUCUAGAUCAUAGGCAUUUCACCACUCAAAAGGUGUUUGAUUAUAUGCCUGAACCAGCUAAUUAGAGGUUUAUGCUUUGUUCAUCAUGGAAAUGAUUGUUUAAUGCAUAAAUGACAUAUUAGAGCUUUUUAAUAAUGCAUACUGAUUAAUAUUACACUAAUGGGAAUUAGGUUUGAGUAUGGUUUAGUGUAGAGAUAAAUACCUUCAAGAGAGGAUUAGUCUAGAUUUGAGUUCUAAGUUGAUUGGAUCUGUUUGAUUGUUUAUCAUUAGCUCUCUAGUUUAACACCAAUGCACCCCGAUCAAGUAUCAUGUCUAGAACCUUUGUUUUCAUCAUUUUCAUAUCAUCAUGACCUUGCCAUUGUUUGUUUUGCUUUUUUUGAUCAUAGUUUAUACUAGUCUAAAUACAAUUUCACCACUUGUUACAAAACGAACUCAUUGCCUCUUGGAUUAAGACUGCAUUCAUGCAUUCUGGUAUCUAGAUAUCACACGUUGGAUUUGACACCCCUUAUAUUGCAAAGACAUUGGGGAAUUGAACCCACAAGAACUGAAAAAAGAUCUUGUUUUAGCGAUCUUGGGUGAAUCCAUUGGGCUGGCUUAGCACUUACUGCGGGUAGGAAAAGCUUGGGUUGAGGCGAUAGGUUUUGUGUCAAGGCGCGGGCUAGGAAUGCGGGCACGACAAGGCCAGCGAUACGGGUCGAGGCUGUGUGAUCGCAGGCAAGUCGAGGCGAACGGUGUGGGUUCUAGCCGCGAGUCGGUUGCACGGGACCGCAGGUCGAUGGCACGUGACCGCGGGCAGGACCACUUCACGGCUGGUAAAAACUCGGGCCUGCAGUCGAUGGCCUUGUCGCCUCGGUCGGGUCAUAUGCUACCGCGGGACAGAGUGGCUCACGAGCCGACUCAUUCUUCUCUGUUUUCUAUCGUUUAGGGGUUUAUUUCGAAUCUUCUCUCCAAUAUUUUUGUGUUUUUUGGUUUUUUGAAUGUUUUGUGGUUUUUAUUUGAAGCCUUAAAUGCAGAAAAAAAAAAUUAAAAAAAAACAUAAGUAAGACGUACUAAUUGGGUUACCUCCUAUUAAGUGCUUUUGUUUAACGUCAUCUGCUCGACCUUUCAGAAAGAAGUUAUGCUUGAGACGAAGAUUCUCCUUGGAUGGAUGUUCCUUGGAGUUUCUUGAGUUUUGUUGAUCUAUCUUCUUCUCCUUGAAUUACCAACUUCUUUCUUUUCUCGUUCUUUGGGACUUUGACAUUUUUCAAGAGUUCCUUAGUACUUCAAUCAGUCGUUGGAUUUGUUCUUCGUUGGUCUCUGUUAAAUCCGGUGGGAUAACGAUUUCAACUUUAACAAAAAAUUUUAUCUUGUAGCUUGGCUUAUUCUUUUUCUUGUCUGUUUCCUUUGGCCGACUCCCUUUAGUCUUGCUCUGGUCGUCUCGGAAUUCAUCACGGACUGUAGGGUAGAACUUCUUUCGAUCUAAACUCAAGAAAACAACACACCUGUGGUUGCGAAGAACAGGCAGCCAAAGAUCAAUGGUCUUUCCUUGUCAUAUUCCAUCUCAAGGACAUGAAAAACAGCUGGGACAACCUUGUUUUCCUACAAGUAAUAUCAGGUCAUGGGUUGUUCCUUCGAUAUCUUUUUGAGACGAAUCGCCAAAGACCACUUCAAUGGUCGAUUUCUUGAGUGUCUUGAUGCCUAGCUUCUCGGAAAAUGUCUUUGACAUGAUGUUGACGUUUGCUCCGAAUCGCAUAGACAAUCCAAAAAACUGAUCCCUAAAAUUAAACAAGAGAAAGAAAAACGUCUCUGAUCAUCAGCUUUGGAAAGCCUUUAAAGCGGACGAUGUUAAGAUACCUUGAAAGGUGGGUGGUCUGUUAGUUCAGCCUCGGAUUUGACACUCUAGAGGUAAAAUAAUUGGAGACUCCUUGGCUUCUUCAGGCACAGAGGCUGAGAUCUCGGUAGCUUCUUUAUCAGUUACUGGUUUCUUUCCUAUAUCAUUGCAGAAACACUUCAGGUUAUCUUCAACUCUUCCGGGCAAACUAUAUUUUCUCUCUUCAUCAGAUCAGUGGUUUGGGAUACAUGAACAUUUAGCUUCUUGAUAGACUAGAGUUUUCAAGCUCUUAGGGUAUCAAUCUCCUUUAUCUGUUGUAGCAUAAAGGGAUAUCAAUCCAAAAAUGUGGUUUAGUACACUAGUCUAUCAACUUUGUGUCCUAAUCCAAGCAAAUAAGUAGAUUGGUUGUAACAAGUAACAAAUGAAAGCUAAACGAGACUAAAACAAUAUAAAAAUGCAAACAAAGCAAUAAACAAAGACAACACAAGAUGAUGAUGAUAUGAAUAUGAUGAAACUUAUAACUCUAGACAUGAUAGUUGGCAAAGGUGCAUCAGGGUUUAAUUAAGUAGCUAAUGAAAAUGAUAAUGAAUGAUCUAAGCAGCUUAGGAUUCAAGCAAGUUUCAAUCUUUCUCAAGCAUCAAAACACAAUCUCAAAAAUCGCUCAUACCUAAUCAUCAUUAGAGACACAAUGAAAAAAAAGCAUUAAACACCAAUCCUAAUAUACAAUCUAUACUCAAAACAACAUUCCCAUGUGAAUCAAACAAUUGAAUCUUGAUUUAGCUGUUUCAGGUUUUUCAUCGAACAUCUUUUGGGUGGAUGAAAUGCCUAAGAUCAGGGUUAAAGAUAUCAACUAAAACCCAGCAUUAGGAUCAGCUAUACAAGACAGAAAUGCAUUAAUCUAGUCCUAAGCAUGCUUAAUCAAACCGGUAAGCACCAUAACCUACAUAUUUAGAACGCUAAUGAGGUAACCACUGACUAAUCAUGAUUAACUCUCUGAUUCUUUUGCAAGAACAGUAGUUAAGCAUGUUUAUCCUUCAACCUUUUGACAUUCAUUAAGUUGUAACCAUGUGGAUCUAGUGAUGCUUAUUCAAAUGAACUUGUUUGGCUGAGGGAUGAGGUUAUGAGACAACGAUGGUGUCAUUCAAUGCUCAGUGGGUGCAAUGCAGCUCAAGAAAUCACUCUAAAGGAAUAAACUUUAACAUAAGGCUAAGGGUAAAAAGCAACUGAUGUAUACAAGAAUAGAAUCCUAUCUACCCAAUGCCCCAAAUUGAUCUUUCACCUUAUCUAUAAACCCAUGAAAAACACACCUAAGCUACCUUUUUUCCAAGACUUUCAUUUCUUUCUCAACCCACUUCUCACUUUAUUCUCAUUUUUUUUUCUCACCAGGGGAUUCAACUUUCCUUUUCAAACUCUGGCUCUGGGGUCUAAACUUUACACUUAGGUCUUUCUGACUUGCACUAUCUAGCGUCUUUUCUUUCUCUUUAAACACUUGAGCCUUUUUGGCUUCUUUUCUUUCUUUCUUUUCACUUAGAGGCUAGACUUUCUUUGUAAACUUAAGAGCUUCCUUUUCUUUGAACACUAGACCCCAAUCCAUUCUUCUUUUCUUUUCCACCCCCUAGCCCUCAUCUCAAUCUCUUUCUUUUUCACUCAAUGAUUCCCAAGAUCCCUUCCUAACCUACUCUAGUCUCAUGAUGCAGAGCUAGAUCAACAUGAAAGCCUACUCUUGUCGCUCUAAAUCCAACACUUACUGUCAAGUUUAUAAAGCAAGGCUUCACAUCGCUCACUAGAGUGUUUAGGCUUCAAAUAUGGCUUAGUUAAGGGCAGGGAAAACUAUCUUCAUGAUGGAGAUCAGCUACUUGGGUUAACAAGAGUGGUAAAAAGGAAGAAGAUAACCCAAGUAUGUAUAUGUAUCCACAAGUAUAUCAAAACAAACAUCACUUGAUAAUUCAAAGUCAGGUUAAAAGUUCCACUUGCUAAGGCUGAAUUCAAUUCAAAGCUUGCUUCAAUCAAGGUCUAAACAUUGUCAUACAUUUCAUCACUUGCAAGCAUCAAAGAACUAAUAACUAGAGCCAUGAAGUAAACUCUUUAAAUGAUGCUCUCUCAAAGAAAUCUAUCAUUACUCCCAUGGUAAUGAUGCAAACCUAUAUGAUUGUGUAGCUAUAAACUCAAUCCUAAAUGUAAAUGCAACUAAAUGAACAUUUUUUGUGAAAGUUUUCGAUUUUUUUGGUUUUUUUCUAUGCAUUUAAAUGUUAUGUAUGAUAAAAGUGAAAAUUCCUCAGACUAACCCUUAAGGUUAAUGUAUUGACAAACUUAGCCUAACAUAUCCAUCAGCUUACUAGAGUAACCUUAGAAAGUUGGUGUUAUACCAUUUUGUCCAAAUAAUGAAUAUUAUUACCAGAUUGCCAUUCUAUUUUAAAAAACCUUAAAAUAAAACAUAUUACAAAAAAAAAGAAAUCAUAAUCCAAAACAUUCUUAAAAUCGAAAAUCGAAAAUACAAAAACAUAAAAAUAGAAGCUGAAACCCUAAUCUCCUCCGGCGGCGACUGUAAAGGCGAUUUCGCGACGAAGGAGACGAUUUCGGCGAUUUCGCGACGAAGGAGACGAUUUCGGCGGCGACGAAAGUUUUUCGGCCACUCAUCUCGUAAGUGUUGACGUCUGGGUUAGUUUCUCGUCGCGGACAAGUUUUUGACUUUGGUUUUCGCGACGGUUGUGUUUGGGUUUUACUCGCGACGGUUGUGUUUGGGUUUCAAUGGUGGUUUCGCGCUAACGUCAGAAGAGAACUCCAUCUUUUCGUUCGUAGUCGAAAACCCUUUACCCAGAAAUCGUAACCCUUUGCUUUUUUUUGUUUUCAGGGAAGUAUUAUCGGCGGGUUCCGUCUUUCGAGAACGGUUUCUACUGAGCCCAGACGAUUUCCGGCGACCAAUUUCUGUUUGUAGUGGUUCGGUUCUAAUUUCUUUUUGGUAGACUUUCAGCAGUUGGUUGCAGUUGUUCGAUUUGUAUAUGCUUAACGGUAGAUUUAUUCGUGUUUAACGGAGUUCUUUUCUAUGUGAGGUAGAUUUGUUUUCGUUUCAUUGUGUGGUAGUAUUGUUGGUUUAUUUAUAUCAUGUGUGGUAGAGUUGUGGUCGUAUUUGGUAGAGUUAUAUACUAUAGUUGCUCCCGGGUUUGGUAGAUUUUAUAUUAUAGUUGCUUUCUUGUUUGGUAGACAUGUUCAUGGUAGAUUUGUUUUCAUAUGUGGUGAGCGUUUGGUAGACUUACGAAUUCUAUAUUUGCGUUCUCUCUUUGUGUGUGGUAGAUUUAUGUAUUUAUUUGGUAGAUUUGUGUUCUAUAUUUUCUUUUCUUUUAUUUGUGGUAGAUUUGUGUUCGUUUUGGUAGAUUUGUUAAUGUUUUGUGGUAGGUAUUCUAUAGUUGUUGUCGAGUUUGGUAGAUUUGUUGUUGUUCAUGGUAGAUUUGUUUUGAUGUGUGGUAGAUUUGUAAGAUUUAAAUGUUUUUAUUUGUUUGCACCACAUGGCUUCAGCUAGCGGCUCAAAGGAUGAUCCCCAAAGAUUGUACCCGGAAGGCAAAUCUCCUUUGCUGAAGAAGAGUUGUCAUCAUAACUGCAAGCUUCAUGAGUUCAUCAUGAUGAUCAGGGAUCACCUUGGGGAAGAAAUUUACAACGACAUCAUGAAUAAUUCUCAAGUUGGCGUGCUACUGAAGCUUGCAUUGACUUCGUUCAUAUGGAGUGCUAAGACGGUUCAGUAUUUUGUGAGCAACCAACUGAAGGUGGAUAGGAAUCAUGAGUUAUGGACUCUUAUUGGAGGUCGCCCNNNNNNNNNNNNNNNNNNNNNNNNNNNNNNNNNNNNNNNNNNNNNNNNNNNNNNNNNNNNNNNNNNNNNNNNNNNNNNNNNNNNNNNNNNNNNNNNNNNNCCCGAUGUAGAUGACUCGGUUGUUCCUCUUCUUAGGUGGACUUCAUCACGGUGUCGUUAUGUGGUCGAGACUCUUUUGGAGAUGGAUAAGAGUGAAACCGAGGACCACCAAGGUACUGGUACCUUAGCUGCUAUUUAGUUGGUAGAGUUUUUUGAAUAAUAGCUUAGUGUUUGGUAGAGUUAUUAUAUACAACAAUUGUGGUAGAGUUAUUAAAUGUGGUAGAAUAUAACAUUUGGUAGAGUUUUUACAAUUUGGUAGAGUUUUAACAUUUUGGUAGAGUUUUUACAUUUUGGUAGAGUUUGUACAGUUUGGUAGAGUUUUUACAUUUUGGUCGAAUUUUUGAUUCAGUUUGAUAGAUUUAUUAAUAUCAUGGUAGAUUUAUUAAUAUCAUUUUCUAUGGCAUGGCAGGUUCAGGUUAGACAUCUAAUGGCGGUGAAGCCCUUGGAGGAAAUAUAUCCUGUCUGGGAAGGUGAACCCCGACGUGUAGACGUCGAUAUAAAGGUGCAUAACAUGAUAUGCGAUAUUCUGGAUGGAAGCUUGGAUGAGGGGUUCUGGGAAUCUCCCAAAAAUGUAGGUGGCGAUGCAACAGGUGGCGCUGCAACAGUUCAGACGCCGAAACAGUCGAAGAGGAAGUUGGAAACUCCACGCGUGGAGAAGAAAAAGAAAGAGAAGGUGAAAGAGGCUGAAGCAACGGAUUCAACUCCGAGAAGCAAAAGGAGAAGGGAAAGAGAGGCAAGGAAAGAAGAGACGAAGCACAAAAACAAGGAGAAAAAGAAACGUAAGAAGGAGGAUGAGGAAGAAGAUGAUGAUUUUAACUCGCCGGUGAAGCUACUAAAGGAUGCAAUUGAAGAAAAGAGAAAGGAGAAAAGGGAGAGAAAGGAAAGAAAAGAAAGAAAGGAGAAGGAAAGAGAGAAGGAAAGAGAGGAGCAGGAGAGAGAGAAGCAAAGAGAGAACGAGAGCAAGAAGAAAGAGCCCGCUGUGGAGAAGGAGGAUAGGACGAAUGAGAUCCUCAUGGCAAUCAAUGGUUUAUCAACGACGGUAGCAUUGCUAAACAGCAAUGUCAGCAGUGCUGUAAUUCGUAUAGACCACCUGGAUAAGAGGAUUGCCGUUAUCGAGGAUAAACAUGAAGAGAAAUAGGAGGCCAUGACGAAUUCUGGGAACAAGGUUGACAACGACCAUGGUAACAAUGAUUAUAAUGCCGGUGAUGCAGAAUCCAAAACCUCACCGAAAACCCCUAGAGCAAAGGCAUCUCCUCCAGCAGCAGCGCCAGUAGCAGGAACGUCAACGGGAGGUGGAGCAGGAACGGGAACGGGAGCUGUGGAAAAAGAUCCGGUACGCAAGUCUCUCUUCUAAUGUCAUGGAGACAACAUUCAACUAUGUUUAAACAGAUCGUUUUCCUUUCCUUUAUGGUAGAUUUGUACGAAAUACUUUUUUACUUUGGUAGACUUGUAUUGAUGGUUUUUUUAAACUUUUCCUGCACAGUAGACUUUUAAUGUUUUCUUGGAAUACAAGACUAACUUUAUGUGGUAGAUUUUUGGCAGUGAUAUUUAUAUUAGGUAGAUUUAUAAUUAAUUCGGUAGAUUUUUAGGUAGAUUUAGUUAUGUUAUUAUUUGGUUUGACUGAUGUGAAAUUACUAUACAUGCCAAGCAGUCAUGGAUGAUGGAGAUGCAUGAAACAUCAGAGCCAGGUUUUCCUGUUGCAAGAGUUGUUAGAACCCCAGCGUCGAGAGGAAAGACUGUAACCAAAGUGAAAAAAGAACCUGCUGAUCCUAAAGAGAAGAAUAAAUCAGGCACAAAGUCAAAACCUGAUUUAAAAGACAAAAACGAAGAAAGCCAGAUAAUCAAUAUAAGCGACGUUUCACGCCCACUACAGUCUAGACGAGUACAGAUCCCAUCCCUGCAAGACGAAGACGACUCAGCGAUUGAAGCUAUGAAGAAACGCUUAGAUAAGCUGGUGGAACAUGCAAAAAAUCCACCUGCUGAGAAGGAAAAAAGGGGACGCAGCCUUGCACCGACCCAGGUUUCACCCUACCUUGGUAACUCAGUGGUGAGACGCAUCAUGGACCCAGCAGGUCCCCCUCCUGGGAGGUAUGAUCCUUUUGAAGCGGUGGACAAUCGAAUACUGGAUAAUCUAACCCGCUACGUAGCUUUUGAAGCAUAAGUCAGUUUUAAAUUUCCAUGGUAGACUUACUUGUUUGAUUUGGUAGACCUAUUGUUUUAUAUAGUAGACUUAUUACGUAUGUGGUAGACUUACUUCGGAGUCUGGUAUGUCUAUGUCAUUUUUCNNNNNNNNNNNNNNNNNNNNNNNNNNNNNNNNNNNNNNNNNNNNNNNNNNNNNNNNNNNNNNNNNNNNNNNNNNNNNNNNNNNNNNNNNNNNNNNNNNNNNNNNNNNNNNNNNNNNNNNNNNNNNNNNNNNNNNNNNNNNNNNNNNNNNNNNNNNNNNNNNNNNNNNNNNNNNNNNNNNNNNNNNNNNNNNNNNNNNNNNNNNNNNNNNNNNNNNNNNNNNNNNNNNNNNNNNNNNNNNNNNNNNNNNNNNNNNNNNNNNNNNNNNNNNNNNNNNNNNNNNNNNNNNNNNNNNNNNNNNNNNNNNNNNNNNNNNNNNNNNNNNNNNNNNNNNNNNNNNNNNNNNNNNNNNNNNNNNNNNNNNNNNNNNNNNNNNNNNNNNNNNNNNNNNNNNNNNNNNNNNNNNNNNNNNNNNNNNNNNNNNNNNNNNNNNNNNNNNNNNNNNNNNNNNNNNNNNNNNNNNNNNNNNNNNNNNNNNNNNNNNNNNNNNNNNNNNNNNNNNNNNNNNNNNNNNNNNNNNNNNNNNNNNNNNNNNNNNNNNNNNNNNNNNNNNNNNNNNNNNNNNNNNNNNNNNNNNNNNNNNNNNNNNNNNNNNNNNNNNNNNNNNNNNNNNNNNNNNNNNNNNNNNNNNNNNNNNNNNNNNNNNNNNNNNNNNNNNNNNNNNNNNNNNNNNNNNNNNNNNNNNNNNNNNNNNNNNNNNNNNNNNNNNNNNNNNNNNNNNNNNNNNNNNNNNNNNNNNNNNNNNNNNNNNNNNNNNNNNNNNNNNNNNNNNNNNNNNNNNNNNNNNNNNNNNNNNNNNNNNNNNNNNNNNNNNNNNNNNNNNNNNNNNNNNNNNNNNNNNNNNNNNNNNNNNNNNNNNNNNNNNNNNNNNNNNNNNNNNNNNNNNNNNNNNNNNNNNNNNNNNNNNNNNNNNNNNNNNNNNNNNNNNNNNNNNNNNNNNNNNNNNNNNNNNNNNNNNNNNNNNNNNNNNNNNNNNNNNNNNNNNNNNNNNNNNNNNNNNNNNNNNNNNNNNNNNNNNNNNNNNNNNNNNNNNNNNNNNNNNNNNNNNNNNNNNNNNNNNNNNNNNNNNNNNNNNNNNNNNNNNNNNNNNNNNNNNNNNNNAAAUGGGGGACAGAUGUUGAUUUCGUGUAUAUCGCCCACAACGUGAACAACAAACAUUGGGUAGCCGUUGAGGUCGACAUUCCCAAAAAAAAGAUCCGAGUGUUUGAUUGCAUUCCAGAUUUAUACAGAAAAGGCGAGGUGGAGGAGUCUGUGAAGCCUUACGCGAGGAUGAUUCCGCUGUUGUUGAAACAUAUGGCACCACCGGAGCUCAAGAAGGGUAUGAAGGAGGGGCAGUUUCAUAUCUACAUGUAUAAAACAGCGGCACUAAACAGACAGACAGGUGCAAUGCAGCUCUGUAGAUUUGGUAUUUUUAUUUGGUAGACUUUUAACUAAUUAUCGGGUACUUGUUAUCAGGUGAUUGUGGCGUCUUUACUUUGAAGACCAUCGAGUGUUUGGCUUUGUGCCAUAAAUGGGACCAGCUGAAAGAUAGCAACAUGCCUCUCAUUCGUAUGAAAUACGCAGCUGAGAUUUUUGAUGAGGUACAUGAAGCAGAAGAAUCCCGGAUGUCUGAUCCUAACCCUCGAAGUUUAUUUGAUGACAAGUACGGUUUACAGACAGACUCCGCUAACUGAGAUCUUGGUUUGGUAGACCUUUGGGAUCUGAAAUCGUUUUUUGGUAGAUUUAAUACUCAGAUCCAAACUAAUUGGUAGACUUUUGGUAUCGGAUGUUGUAUUUUGGCCGAUUUAUUACUCAUAGCCAGCCUCUUUGGUGGUCUUUUGGAAUUUAGACGUCGCUUGUGUUUUGGAAUUUAAAGCGACUCGCCAUGGCUGUAAAAGGAACCUGCUUUGUAGAUUUAUAACAUGAUUGGUAGAUUUAUUGCAUGAAUGGUAGAUUUAUAACAUGAUUGGUAGAUUUAUUGCAAUAUUGGUAGAUUUAUAACAUGAUUGGUAGAUUUAUUCCAUGAAUGGUAGAUUUAUAACAUGAUUGGUAGAUUUAUUGCAAUAUUGGUAGAUUUAUAACAUAAUUGGUAGAUUUAUUAUUGUAAAAUAGUAGAGUUUAGAUAAAACAAGUUCCAGAUUUACAAGUACAUAAAACAAGGUUUUCAAGCGGAUUAUUGCAGUCUAUAAUAGUACAAAUACAAGGUUUUCGAUUUGUCAACUAAGCUCGACAAGUUAGGCGAUUAUGUCCGCCUUGGCCACAGUUACCACAUUUGGGGAUCUUCCGAGGACGUUUACUCGCCAUGGCGGCCUCGAACGCACCCUUAAUCCGAAUUUUCUUUGGCCUGCCGGGUCGGUUGCGAACAUCAGGCGGGAGACAAAUUUUGGUUGCUACUUCAUCUGGCACAGGGAGUGCUACGUCUCUUGGCAUCACACUAACAGCAUACGCUUGUUGCAAGUAACUAGUGUGGUAGUAAUGAUGGCAAAGAGAGAUCGGCGACAACUUCCUCCUAUCGGCGGCGGCAAGGAAUUUUAUCCAAAUCAAACCGUCGACAAGUACAUGUUUUCUCCGUUAAAUUGACAACAUGUGCAGAUGUUGUGCCUAAAACCUCUGUACGAUGCUGAUCAAUCUCUUGCACAGGUAAGAGUUUAGCAUCUUCAACUCUAGCCUGUCGGCAAGGAAUUAUUUAGAAGUUAUAUAAGUCUACCACAUAGAAGUAAUAACUCUACCAAAUAAUUGAAAGUCUACUUAAUAGCAGAGAUAAGUGUACCAAGUCUACCAAAUAAUAGAAAGUCUACCUAAUAGCAGAUACAAGUCUACCAAAUAAUAGAAAGUCUAUCUAAUAGCAGAUACAAGUCUACCAAAUAAUAAAAAGUCUACAAGGUAAAGUAGUGUCUACCUCCAGCAACUUUUCAAUGCCCGUUGUUAGAGUGGUAGCCAUGUUAUUGGCAUUCACACGUCUUUUAGCAAACCACCUGGUCAGGAGACUUAUAUCAUCCACUAGUCGUACGAUAGGCUUACCUCUUGCAGCAGAUAGCACCUUGUUUAAUGACUCCGCUAUGUUGCUAGUGGUGAAAUUGUACCUAUCACCUUGGAAGUGUACACGACUCCACAUACAAAUAUCUGCCUUCACCAAGUAUGCAUGCAGUGCAGGAUUUGCCUCUUGAAUCUAAGCAAAAAGGGCAUUGAACUCGAGAAGUCUAUAAGCAGUGGCAGCCUUCUUAACAAGCUUGAAUGUUUCAGCGCCUCUGAAUUUCACCAUAAUGUUCUUAUGGAGAUGAUAUGUACAAAUACCCCGACUAGCAAGAGGAUAAACCUUCCCUAUAGCAUUUCCUAUGGAUUUAUGCCUAUCAGAAAUAAUGGCAAGUCCUUCAUCAUCAGGAAUAACACGGUGUAGUUGUGUAAAAAACCAUUCCCAAGACUCAUCGUUCUCAGUAUCAACAACAGCAAAGGCUAUGGGAAAAAUGUUGAAGUUUCCAUCUUGCGUGGUGGCGAGUAGUAGUGUACCUUUGUAUUUUCCAUGUAAAAACGUACCGUCGACCACUACCACUUUCCUCAUGAAGGGAAACCCCUGUAUGCUUGCGCCAAAUGAGAGGAACAUAAAUUUGAAUCUAUCUUCUUCAUCAACUUCUAGCUUGAUUAGUGUACCCGGAUUUGCCCGCCGAAUCAUAUAUAAGUAUGAAGGCAGAUCUUCAUAACCACUUUCAGACGUCCCUGAUACUAGUUCUCGAGCAUACUUUAGGGCCCGAUGGGCUUUCCAAUAGUCAACCUGAAAAUGAGAAUAAUAUAGUGAAGUCUACGAAAUAAGAUAAUAACUCUACCAAGUGAGAUAAUAACUCUACCAUAAAGAUAAUAACUCUACCAAGUGAGAAAAUAACUCUACCAAAUAAAUUAUAUAAGUCUACCAAAUAAAUUAUAUAAGUCUACCAAAUGACCUAAUAACUCUACCAAAGAAAUAAUAUAAGUCUACCAAUAAACUAAUAACUCUACCAAAAAAAAAAAUAUGUCUACCAAUUGAGGUAAUAACUCUACCAAAAAUAAUAAAAGUCUACUAAAAUAGAUAAUAACUCUACCAGAGAAGUAAUAUAACUCUACCACAUACCUUUAUACUAUAUCGUUUUGUCAGAGCUUCGGCGACGUGAUUUGGUAAGACUUUUGGGCCAACACCUCCGACGAAGUCCUUAUAUAGACGGCCUAGAACCUCAUGGGUUGCAUGGCGGGUGCGUUGUGAUCGCACAGUCACAGAACACGUGUGUUCUUGAGUAUAAGUUUUAACCCAAAAACAUUUGCUGCUCCCAACAGUUGAAGCGCGAACCCUCCAUUUGCAACCAUCUACCUAACACUUAACAGUUAGCAAUUUCUUACUCGAAUGAUCGACAUUGUAGUCGAAUUUGUGAGCAAUGGAAAGAAUUUUGAGUCGCAUCUCGAAGUCCUCUUUUGUUUCAUAACGCUGGCCAACGGCUAAGUCUAAAGAUGAAAGCUCUAGACAUUGAAAGUCGGGAAUUGUAGUCGGUCCCCUUUUCUUCGGUGGUAGAUUUAGCGACUCCUCCUCAUCUGAACUUUCACCAUCUGGACGUUUCUCACGUCUACCGUACUCUUCGCCAUCGGAACUUGCACCAUCAGGAUCUUCGCAUCCAUCAAAUCUGGUUGACAAAUCCUCUUCUUCAUCAUGCAUUUCUUCGUCUUGUCCAACUUCAACACCUUGUUGCGGACGAUCUUGGCGCACUUGUUCUUCAGGGACUAGACUAGGACAUGCAUCUCGAUCUUCGUCUUCAUCAACAACUCCCUUCUGAACUUUUUCUUUGAUCUCAACACAUAAACGAACCGUUUCGUUUUCGUUCUGGAAUUGAUGCAAAAAACUCUGCAGCUGUCUUGAAUUACCAAGAAACACAGGAGGUGUAUCUAGAGGUAAUUUCCGCCGGACUUCAGACGACAACAUAUAGCUGAACUGAAGCUCAUAAAGAUGUUGAUCCAACCCGAAAUCUUCAUAUGCGAUUUCAACCAAAUCGGCAAAGGACGUUUUGCGGUCUAUCCCUAUAAAACUACAUCUCUUGGACUGAUCUACGAUGAAGACCCACCUCGUUUUCUUUAAAACCCAGUUACCACAAACCAAAACAACUUGAUCCAUGAAUAUAAAAGUGGAUAAGAGGCACAAGAUCGAAGUAGAAGGAAAAAAUCAAGAGUUAUCCCAAGUUUAACAGCUCGACGGCGAAACCUAGAGGUUGAAGAUGGACUCUGGUUUUGUUCCGUAUUUUAGACAAUACAUACAGGGCAAAAAAGUAAAAUCGCACUGCCCGAUAACUAAGUCUACCACAUUGAUAUUGAAUCUAACAAUUUACAAACAAAUCUACCAUAUAGGUCACUAAGUCUACCAUUAAUAAACAUAUGUACUUGUAAUGUUUAUAGCUCUACCAACUAAAGUACAGUACAUUUAAGGAGGUGAAAACCCAGCAGAAAACAUAAACUUAUGAGCGAGUUUCGAUAUAAAUCGGCUGGUCUUGCGAUAUAAGCGAGUUCAAACGGUAAUAGCGACGUCUUGGCUUCGUCGAUUCCACCGACGGCGAAGGAGUACUCACACAUUAUUUGGUAUGAACAUUCAUAACCGCGGCAACAUAACUUUCAUAAGUCUACUUCAUAAUAAAAACAAAUCUACUUAAGUAAACAGAAGUCUUUCAACAAACAUGAAAGUACAACUACUGAUGCAAUCAACGUGGCCAAUCCAUAGCAAACGACGGUACUACCCACCAGAAAUUGGCACACUCCAAUUUCCAGAAGCAAGAUUCACAAAGUUGAUCCCCAUACGUCUCUAGCAGGUAUUCAUCUCCCAUCCAUUGCAUGUCUGGUACUUUGAGACAACCACAAAUCCUUGUACUUAAAGACUUUUUAUAAGCCUGGAAAACCAUUUCCACCAGUUCCUCGGGCUUCUGGAAAUUGAACGCAGGCAUAAAGAUCUUUUCCAUUGUCGAUCUCAUUUUCUUUGCAUCUUCCCGGGAGAGAGCUUUGACAGAGUUGAAUACCUCUGAUGUGCCAUCCAUGGUUAGAUGUAACAUAGUGUGGCAGUACUUACCCAUGAGAAAUCCGUUNNNNNNNNNNNNNNNNNNNNNNNNNNNNNNNNNNNNNNNNNNNNNNNNNNNNNNNNNNNNNNNNNNNNNNNNNNNNNNNNNNNNNNNNNNNNNNNNNNNNNNNNNNNNNNNNNNNNNNNNNNNNNNNNNNNNNNNNNNNNNNNNNNNNNNNNNNNNNNNNNNNNNNNNNNNNNNNNNNNNNNNNNNNNNNNNNNNNNNNNNNNNNNNNNNNNNNNNNNNNNNNNNNNNNNNNNNNNNNNNNNNNNNNNNNNNNNNNNNNNNNNNNNNNNNNNNNNNNNNNNNNNNNNNNNNNNNNNNNNNNNNNNNNNNNNNNNNNNNNNNNNNNNNNNNNNNNNNNNNNNNNNNNNNNNNNNNNNNNNNNNUCCCACCUCCACGGCAAGAUAAUGUUGAUUAAAUCAACAUUCCUAAGAAAACCCGCUUCGUUAGAGAUGUUGUUAAGUGUUUUGGACGAAACUUUUGCAAGACAAAGAUCCGCAUACGAGUUUGAAGAUAUUUUUAACAAUAUCUCGUACAAAAGAUCAGAAGGAAGCGACUCGAGAUUCGCCAUAGGGUUUAGCGGGAUGGGAAAUGAAUCGUCUCGGUUGUGGUAUUUAUAGAGAACUCACAAGAGAACUCGAAGCGACUCGAGUCAAUAGAAGUUCUCGAAAUCGAUGCGACUGUUCGUUGGAAAAUGCAUCAAGAGAAGUUCUCUAAAUCGAUGCGACGGUUCAUUGGUAACGGUUUAUGGUUACCGUUACCUUAGUCUACCAUAUGGACGAAAAUUGCAAGACGUACAACACUGCAACCAUAAGUCUACCAAACAGUAGGUUUUUUUGUUCAUAGAACAAUUCUUUUGGACAAAAAAGUAAUUUUACUCCAUAAAGUCAAAUGUCUGCCAAACAUUAACUACUAAGUCUACUUCAAGCAUGACAAAUAACUCUACCAUAUAAACAAGUCUACCAUAAGCAUGUCAUAUGUCUACCAGAUCAAGGUUAACUCUGUAAAUACCAAACUUAAUUAAUCUACCACAUUGUUAUUUCAAAAAGUCUACCAUACGGCCGAUAAGUCUACCAGAUUACAUAAACUCUACCAAACAUACAAACAAAUCUACCAACAUCUUGUAAGUCUACUUCAUGUCAUUAUUAAUCUACCACAAAUCAGAAUGAAAUUUAUUUAGAAUAUAAGUCUACCACAAAACAAACAUAUCUACCACAAAACAAAUAAAUCUACCAACAGUUUUUAAGUCUACCUCAUGUAACAUAUAAUCUACCACUCACCGGAAUGAAUUUUAAGUGAAACAAGUCUACCACAAGUCAAACAAAUCUACUACAAUAGCUAAAACUCUACCAACUAUAUAUAACUCUACCAUUAAACAGAUAUAUCUACCGCUACAACUAUAUAUACAACUUUUUUCACAUAAAUCUAUCGCUAAAGGAAAUAAGUCUACCAACUCAGAAAAUAAAUCUACUUCAUUGUCAAUAAAUCUACCGAAAAAGUCAACUAUGCGAGAAAGUCAACACUUUUGUUAACAAGUCUACCAAAACUUUUGACAAGUCUGCCAUUCAUAACAACAAAUCUACCGAAACAUAAUAAAUCUACCUCUCAUCGUCAAAACUCUACCAAGAAAAGUCUACCAACAUUUAAAAACUCUACCAACUCUUGAACAAAUCUACCAUCGCCCUAAUAACUCUACCAACAAAAUUUCUGCGUUGACCAAAUUUUCAUAAGUCUACCGCCAUUGCUUGGUAGACUUAUUAAUUUUUGAGCGCAUAAAUCUGCCUACGUGGCAGUAAAAAAGUAAUGGCAUUUUCGUAAUAAGGUUUUUUUCAACAAAGGCGAAAAGGGUGUUUUGGGUAUGUUAGGUUAGUUUUGUAAAAAAAUAAAAGUGCGUCGAACCAGUAAUAUAGAUACUUUCUAAGGUUAGUGUAGUAAUCCUCCCAUGAUAAAAUGAGACUCAAGAUGCACAAGAGAAAAUAAGAACAUAGAGAACAAAGUUGGAUAACACUAAACCCCUCCCACACACUUAAAUAAUACAGUCUCCUGUGUUAUAAAAGUAUGAGAAAGAGGAUAAACAAACAUGAAAUGCAAAAGAUAAAGAAAAAUGCUAAAUACUCAUGUACAAGUGUUUGGAGUGAUACCUUCUUAUGGACUUGGAGAUGGGGUUGGAGAAAGCUGGAGCAAGAGUCUCUUGUCUUCUGUUCAGCCUGGGUAAAAGGGCGUUCCAAGUCGCUCUGGGCAUGAUUUCCCCGAUGUUGAACCCGGAGUGUGCUCCAUUAUCUCAAGACUGAGUUUACACCGGGUCGCAUUUGUCCAAGGUUCUGCCCGGUGUGGCUAAUGCACGUUUCGAGGCUAGGACCACUCAGUGAUGCAUGUCUCCGAUGUUAACCUCGGUGUAAAACACCACGCUUGAGGUGAGGUUUACACCUCGGUCUUUUGAUGGUUGAGAAAGAUUGAAACUUGCUUGAAUCCUAAGUUGUUUAACUACAUGUCUAGAGCUCUAAGUUUCAUCAUAUUUAUAUCAUCAUCAUCUUGUGCUGUCUUUGUUUAUUGCUUUGUUUGCAUUUUAAUCCUAUUUUUAGUCCCGUUUAGGUUUCAUUUGUUACUUGUUACAACCAAUCUACUUAUUUCCUUGGAUUAUGACACAAACAUGAUAGACUAGUGUAUUAAACCACAUUGUUGGAUUGAUAUCCCUCUAUACUACAACAGAUAAAGGAGAUUGAUACCCUAAGAGCUUGAAAACUCUUGUCUAUUAAUUGGGGCCGUUGCCAGGGCCAAAACGUGUACUGUGGUAUGCGAGAAAAACCUGCCUCCGGUACGUGGUUUGUCCCAUACACUCUACAAUGCCAAUUUCAUCAUUUUUGCUCCUUUUUUCACCAUUUUUUCACCUGUAUUUCCACUCCAAAUGACCUCCAAAGUACUUAUUUGACAUUCUAAACAUGCAAGACUUACUUGGACUAAUGCAAAUUCCUAAAUGCUAAAAUAAUGCCUAAGAGCAUCAUUAUCGGUAAAUCUAUAAUGGAUUUCUUAAUAAUUUUUUAUUAUUAUAUUUGGAUUAAGAACCCUUCUUUAGAAAUUCAAUGUAUUGUAUGUUACAAUGCUAAAAACAUAGGUUCUUAAAAAAAUAUUUAAUAAUUUUUUUGUUUUAUACUAAAGUUUUUUUGUUUCCCUCAUUUCACAGCAUCUAUAUACUCUAACUAAUAUUUGUAUAAAAUCAUAUUAAACAAAUCAGAAGAUCGAAACAAAGUAAACGAUGUUAGUCAAACGCAUCUUGGUUAGCUACAAUGAAAUUAAUUUACACAAGACCAUGAUAAACUAGUAAUGAGAUUCUGUUUGGAUUUUAGUUUUAAUCGAUACCAUGAUAACUAGUAAUGAGAUUCUGUUUGGAUUUUAGUUUUAAUCGAUGAGUAUAACUUAACAUAUGAAUAGAUUUUCUUAUGUUGAUAAAAAAUGUGAGUUCUUUUGCUCCAUUAGCUCGGAAUGUUUGAAGAACAGAAUUGAAAUCAAGAUGAAUCUUCAAAUGAUCCAACAAAUACAAUGCCUUAUUCUCAGAUAAGUUGAUUAAGCAGAGUACUACUUACAUAAAAUCCGUAUAGGAUAGCCAACAACAUCGUUAUUCUCAGUAACAACAGUUUACCAUGUUGUUCUAUAUCUGUGUUAGAAAGAUUGAGACUUACUUGAUACCCAAAUAAAUAUGCUCUUGAAUACCAAAACCGAAGCAAUCAGUGUCGCUAAAGUUCCUUCUCAAAAGUUCGUAUUCUUUAACUUUCUGCCCACUCUCCAUGAGUUGCAUUGCCUUGU
Molecule: long non-coding RNA, 99965 nt
Filed under: Eutrema salsugineum
Lineage: Eukaryota; Viridiplantae; Streptophyta; Magnoliopsida; Brassicales; Brassicaceae
Description: long non-coding RNA (ESAL_LNC001874)
Rfam family: Plant small nucleolar RNA R71 (bases 9676-9782)
Source: RNAcentral